AAAUCUCUACCUAAAUGCAUAAUGCAUAAUCCACAUUUGUGUCUCAUUAACCUAUUCUAACAUUCUACAUAGAUGAUGAUUAACUUUUAACCUAGUAAUUCUAAUUGAACAUUGAUAAGUGCCGAAUUUACGUAUUUUUACAUAUUUUAUUGGUACUUAUUGACUUGUUUUACAAGUGAUCUAAGGAAAAUUCAUAAAAUUAUAGCAAAUAUCAGUAAACUAGCUUUUGAAAGCCAAUAUAGAUACUUUGACCUAAUUAUAUACAUUUUGUAGGGUUAUUUUCUUAAAGAUACAUGGAUUGGAUAAAAUCAAAGAUUACGAGUUCAAGGCAGUUCACUAAGCGAGUUGGAAGCGAGUUAAGUCAAAAAGGUUGAAGUUUCAGGGCAAAACAAAUCGCUAAGCGAGGAGUAGGGAGCUCAACGCGAGUGAAAAUCAUGUAGGCCCUUCCACCUUCCCACCAGGUCUUUGCCUCUUUUGAGCAUGCGGGUAGAAAAAAUCACCUUCUCUUCUUUGGUGCAAGGGGAUAAUUAAAGACUUUCUUCAUUUUCUUUAAUCAUUCCUAAGCCACUAAUGGAUUAAUACAUCCUUCAAAAUUUGGCGGCUUCAACUUAUAAAACUCAUGAAAGGCCUUGUUCUUGUUCCCCACUUUUCAAUGGGGUGGUGGUUGUUGAAAGGUUUUCACUUGUUGCAUCAAUUGUUGUUACUGCAUCAUUUGCACCAUGAGUUAUACUGCUUUUGCUGCGCAGUUCGAGCCCAAUGAUCAUCGCCUACAUUAUCCUCUUGGUUGUGAAAGUGAGUUUCUUAAUAGGUGUUAAUCACAAAUUAGAGAGAUAUAUACUUUAAGAAUAUUGAGAUAAGUGAAUCGAGUGAAGGUUAAGCUUUGAGAAUGCGUAAGAGAUUUUUUUAUAGAUACACGAAAUGACAAAACUAUUAUAAAUUCUCAGACAUAAGUAAACGUAUCUAGGUAGUAUCCAAUGAAAUUUUUUAGAUAUUUUUAACAAUUGAGCUACGCCCUGUGAUAAUGAAGAUUGUUUCAAAUAAAGUGUUGUAAGAGUAUCAAAUAUUGAAUAACACUGGUAUUUGUUUAGUCUGUAAUAAAAAUUUCAUAUAACAAAAUAUUCAACAUAAAGUGUUAUCCCAGCACACAAUGCAUACGAGUGAUGUACGACCAGACCAACAGUGGUUUGACUUUGUUUACUUUGAAUUGACUAGCCCAUUGUUUUUGUGGACUUUUCUUUUUCUCAAGAGUGGUAGUUGUGAACUAGUAGUUUAACUAACUAGUUUGAUUUUGUGUAUUGUUGUUACUAGUUAGUACUACCUCCGUCCCUAAAUAUAGGAGCUUUUUGUCAAAAAUGCGGAGAUUAAGAAAGUUGGUUGUAGUAUUAAAUUUGUGUAUAAUUACUAUUGUUUUUACAAUUUUAUCCUUAAGAGAGAGAGUAAAUUUAUGUUUUCAAUAUAAUAUUUAUUGUUGAUUGAAGAAAAAUGCAAAAUAAAUAAGGGUAUGUUGGUAAAGAAAUAAUUAAUAUACUUGGAAACACCAAAAAGAUCUUAUAAAAAGAGACAAAUUAUUUUUUUAAAAGGAUCUUAUAAUUAGGGACGGAGGUAGUACUGAAGUUGAAGACAAGCAAAACGUGUUUCUAAAUACUUUCUUUACUUUACCUAUUUUAUUUUAUUUUAAAAUUAAAAAGUUUAAGUUCAUGCAAAUAAACUAGAGGGAGUAUAUUUGUACCAAAAAAUGUAAAGGGAGUUUAUAGGAAAUACAUGUUGUAGCAUUUUUGGAGGGUCUAAGUCUAAGUACAUCAAAAAUCAAUGACCUACUAUUUGGCAUUGAAUUCAAUUCAACUUGAGUUUGUUCAACAUGAUAUUUCUGAAUUUCUCCCGUCGAAUUCAAAGUGCGUCGUUAUAACAUAAAACAUAAUCAAAAUUCAAAAGCAUCAAUUUGAAUGUAAUUUUUUUUAACAGUGUCGUUCAGCUAAUGUUAACAAAGACACGUAAAUUCCUCAAAAAAACAAAAAACAAAGACACACGUAAAUGCAUAUUACCAAUAAAAUAAUUAAAAAUUCUUUUAGAGAAAAAUAAUCAGUACAAUACAAUUGGUACUAGUAGUUUUUUCUUUUAAAUCCAAUGAUUGAAACUGAUUAAUAUGCUUUUUGUCUCCUCUCCAGCCAAAUCUUAAUUAAAAAAAAAAACUAAUAAUAAAUAGAUGAAAUACAACUUUGUGGACACGAUGUAGACAUCGUAUAGCUUCUCACUCUCAAAUGCUCAGCAUGGAAAACGAGUCAGGCAAAAAAAAAAGAAUUUUGAUUUAGUCCGACUAUCCUUCAAUUGCUUGAUCUUAGAAGAAGGUUACACAAAUGUUUUUAGUUAAGGUUGAAGUGUUUGAGUUUUGGGUUGAGAAUCAUUGUGUAGAGGUGAUAAAGAAGAUGAAAGUUAAUGAAGUGUUUUAAUAUUCUCAAAUAGUUAAAAUAUUAUGAUUUAUUUUGUGGAUCAAUUAACUAUGUGACUACCUUCUAAGAUGAAUAAAUAAAAAAAUUUAAAUUCAAUUCAAAAAAUUUAGGUAUUGUAAUGUCUCUACCAACUAACAUAUACUUACGAUGUUAAAAUAAUAUGAUUUAACAUGAAUGUAUAUGCAUAAUUCAACUUAUCAAUAUCACGUUAGUCUUUUGUCAUUGUUACAUACAAUCAUGUCAUCAAAUAAUUGUCACAUCAACAUUUUAAAAUUAUAAAAAAACAAAAAUUACUCAUUAUAUGUGUUUUUUGAAAUUGCAACUGUAUUUAAAAAUGAAUUUAAAGGUGGUUAAUGUGUGAUGCUCCAUAUAUUACCGACAUCAUUUACGUAAUUAAAAAACGUCUCUGAAAACAUUUUUAAAUCUAAGACAUUAAAAAUCCAACUUAAAGCAACGACUCUAUCAGUCAUACACGAAGAGAAGAGAGUCAAAGUAUAGAUUUUCUGGUUAAACUUAAAGUUUUCUCAUAUUCUAGUUUGCUAAUUUAUAAGUCAUUUUCGAAAGGCAUUGUCAAUCUGGUGCAUCAUGAACUUAUUUCCUUAUGGAAUAGUUUUGUCUCAAGUAAAUCAUUAAACUGAUCAUUGUCUUUGUAAGUGAUCCUCAAAUUAAUCCAUAACUCUAUUAAUAUUUCAAAAUAGUCAUUGUCUAUGUCAAAAGUUUUUCAAUUAAGUCAUUUACCAUGUGAAAAAAACAUAGAAACAUGUGUUCAAUUGAAAAACUUUUGACAAAGACAUAUACUAUUUUGAAAUAUUAAUAGAAUCAAUUUAAAAAUUAUUUACAAAGACGAUGACCAAAUUGAUGAUUUACUCGUUUGUCUCUUUGGUUUUGUUUUUUUCCUCAUGUUUUGUGUUGUUUAAUUAGCCUUCUAACUUCUUCUUUUUUUAUUUUUUUGGUUUUUUACAUAAUAUAGCGAAAUAAACAAAAUUUUGAUUGUACCAAAAGAAAAAAAUAAACAAAAUUUUGUAUUGGGCAAUACUGUAAUAUAAAUAAAGUAUGAGGGUAAUUUUAAAGUCCAAAAGAAUUUGGUGGUGAUUUAUAAGCAAAUCCAGUGUCACCAACCCACAAAGUGAAGAAGAGAUUUGACACAACACAACUCAUCACUCAGAAUCUCCCAAGGACCGGAAGUGGUAAUUCCCUCUUGUUUUUUCCCUUCAAAAUCUUCUCCUUUUCCUUUGCAUCGAUUCGUCUCUACCAAUUUUUCAUCAAUAAUCAAAAUUCACACUUUUUCACGUUCUUCUUUAUUCUCUUUUUGAAGAAGUUGAUUUGAUGUGAUGCAUGCUUGUUCCCCUUUUUCUUGAUUCUUUAGAUCUUUUUUUUCUUAUUCAGAUAAAAUUAAUUUGUGGGUUUGACUUGAAUUUUUCUGGGUCUUUGAUUUUGUGGCAGUGAAAGAAAAUGGCUUCAGAUCCAAAGCUUCACACUUUCGAUGAUGUGUCAAAGCACAACAAGACCAAAGAUUGCUGGCUUAUUCUUUCUGGAAAGGUAUUUUUUUUCGCAAAAAGUUCUUUUUUUUUUUUCAUGAGUGAUUGAUUAUUCUUUGGAAUUAUAGACUCUGAUGAAACACAAUCAAAAUUGUGAUUAUGCUAAUUAAAUGCUUCUUUUGAUUUUAAUUUUUUGUUGAAGAUGAAGUUCAAGUUUUUGGGAUCAUGCAUGUUACGUAUAUUUCCUGGAUCUUGUGCAUUGCAUGUUGCAGAGUGUUCCUUAUUGUAGUGAACAUGUUUUAUCUUUCUUUUGAACAAUUUUAUCUGCUAUAUAGUUUCCUAUUUUUAAGAUUGAAUGUUGUUGAGGUUUGUUUAUGCUAUGUCCAGAUCAGUGUGGUUAACAAAUGAUGGUGGUCCUGUUCUUCUCUACUUGUAGACAGAUUACAUUUUUUAGGUCUUUUCUUUGCAUCUUAUUUGAUGUUACACGUUUAACUGAAUAAUAAUUGUUUCAUUUUCAUAUAUAUCAACAUUUCAACUUUAUAUGAUAUAUUGCCUGCAUGACAUGCUUUGUUUGUCUACAACCACCUUAAGUUUGGAUUUUAUUUUAGCAUAUUGAAUUAUUCAAAUCUGAACGGUUCUAUAGAUGCUGCAAUUUAAACUUUGCCUCUUACUCAUAGAUGACCAAAUAAUAAAACGAGUCGUUGUGUUAUGUUAUAUAGUAUCCUUUCCAAACACUAGUAAUUUUGCAUGCGAGAUAGUAGUUGAGUAGAAAAAUAUAACAUCUGGUUGACACAAAUUAUCAUCAGAAGUUGAUCAUCCUUUACGUGCAUUACUAGUCGUGUACCGGCUUUAGUCAUAUGUACUAAUAUCUUAACUGUCACAUAAAAUAUGGUUAAUUUGAUUCCAUACCUUUGAUAAGCGAGCAGUAUCGCAAACAAAUGAAAAAAUAAGCACACCCCAACGUUUAAGAAGAAUGAAUAUUAGAAAUAAAUAUUAAUACAAUGAGUUUCUUUUGUUGCAUUUGUAUUUUGUGGGGUUUAUCCAAAUUGAAUGUCAGUCGAUACAUGAAAUAUUUGAAUCAUUGAACUUACCUGCAGAUCUUGAGAUCUAUCUGAUGUUUGAUGCCAUGUGGGACUUGGGAAGGGGAGUUUUAAGUUAAUCUCCCUUCUUAUUGGCAUCCUUUUAAAAUGCAGGGAGGAAAAUAAGGAUUAACUUGUAACCUUCAUAAAACCCUUCUUCCUAUAAUGGGUUAUUAAUUUAUGUGCCAUACUCUUCCUUUUCACAGUUUGAUUCAUUAUCCUUCUGUUCCCCUGUGACUUCGAAACAUAAUGGGGAGUGUUGGUCAAAUAGCAAGAUGUUAGUCAAAUAUGCUCUGAGAGGUGGUCUUCCUCAAUCUUCCUUUUAUAUGGCUUAGAUGCUUUCACUAGCUAUUGUAUUCACAUUGUGAUGCGUUUUAAUGUUUGCCUUCCCCUAACCCAUCUUUCUACAAGACAUUAGCUAGUUAAAAAUCUAGCAGAAGGAAAACCACUUUCACUAUUUUAAACAAUGCCUGAUAUUGUGAUGGCCAAUUGUGAGGCUAUUCUAAUUCCCUGAAAAAUGCAGAGCAACGUGUAUAUUGGCCUGAAUGGUUGCUAUUGGGCCAAAGACAUAGAUUUUACUACAUAGUUUUAGUAUGUGAUAAUGUUAAUGUUAGCUAUGCCUCUUGACGAAAAUUUGUUCUUCAACCAUGUUAGGUGUACGAUGUCUCCCCUUUUAUGGAGGAUCAUCCUGGAGGUGAUGAGGUUUUGUUGUCUGCAACAGGUAUGCUUAUAUCCAUUCGAAAAGGGUAUGUUACUAAAUCACUGAGGAUAACCAUAUUGAUUAUAUUGUACUGUAUCGAUUACAGGGAAAGAUGCAACUAAUGAUUUUGAAGAUGUGGGACACAGUGAUUCUGCUAGAGAAAUGAUGGACAAAUACUACAUUGGUGAGAUUGAUCCAUCCACUGUUCCCCUAAAGCGCACCUAUGUUCCACCUCAGCAGUCUCAGUACAAUCCGGACAAGACUUCAGAAUUUGUGAUCAAGAUUUUGCAAUUCCUGGUGCCUCUCCUGAUAUUGGGCUUAGCCUUUGUUGUCAGAAACUACACCAAGAAAGAGUAGCUCCUUCUUUAUCAUCAUAUUGCACCCUUGUGAGGGGUCUGUUAGCUAUUUAUAGAGGGUCAUUCAAAGGACAGUGUUUAGUUUCUUCUUGGUGUCUUGAGCAUUGAAACUGGAUUAUAAUGUUUUUCAACUUUCUUUGGUAAUGAAUGGUACUGGUGUCAUUGUGACUGAAAAGCCUAAUAAUAAUGUUGGAUUGUGAAUUUCAUCUCUCUUCAUUUAGCAUCUUUGUUUUGUUGAUAUUUUCGGAAGCUUUUUUUUUAUUUAGUGAUCACUCUAAUUCUGAUUUAAUGAGUUUUUUGUAAGGCACUUAAUUUUUAUGGGGAUGCAAAGUGCAAGAUACUCUUCAACUAGAUUAUUGUCACAGGUUGACGGUAAUCGUACUACUGCUUUACACCUGGUAACCAGUGUACUUCAUUUAAAGUCCUUUAGUUCUGGGGCUACUCUGCUUGCAUAGUGAUGAAUAAUUCACCCUGUAGUCUCUAUUGGUGAUAACCACAAGAGGUUACAACUACUAUGGACCAUUAGAGCCUAACUUAUGGUUGUAAGAACAGAAAACAGGUUAAAUGCAAACCAGAUUUGCUCGGGUGAUACUUUUGGUCCAUAUGGUGCGACCCCACCAAACAAUCUAAACAAAGGCUGAAAAAUUAGGCGGAUUUGCAAAACGAUAAUUCUUGUUUCUCUUAUCUCAAUGUAGCCCAUCAUACCUAGGUUGAUUCUCAUUGUUAUUCAACCGCUAACAACAGAUUAACAAUAACAAUCUCUAAGCAAAUGGAUAGAAUUCUCGAAAACGUUGCAGAUGUCGUUUGUAGUUUGAGCAUUGCAUGCACCCUUUCACAAACAAAUUCAGAUCCCUGCCAGCGUCACACAGCUUGAAACACAAGAUGAGGAACCUUGGUGCAGCUGUUCUAAAUAAUAAAAAGUCGAAGUCAGAGAAGGUACCAUUAGAUGUACCAGACCAAGCUAUGCUAUCUGGACCAAGAUAAUACAAGCGUAACAUUAUGGUCCUAGUCCUAGAUAGCUUUAGGAAGAUAACGGAGAUAUUCCCUCCGUUCCAAAAUACAUGCCGCAUUUUUGCAAUGUGCACAAUUUACAUGACAUACUUUGACUAUAUUUUUUUAGCAUGCAAGAUGUUCGAUUUAUCUCAAUAAGUAUUUUUAAAAUUUAAAAAAUUUAUCAUUUUUUACUUUAGAUAAUUAAAAAUAUUAACGAUCAAAGUUGUGCGUUGACAUGUGUAAUGUAGUUUGACUGCAACAUGUAUUUUGCAACAUGUAUUUUGAAACGGAUGAAGUAAUUUAAAAAUGUCCCAGUGACCACCGGAGUAGCAAAGCUACUCAUUGACAUGCAAUUUUCAGCCAAGACAAGGUAUCAUUCAUGCGGGGAAGUAAAACAUCUUUUUUGAGAACCAAUUAUCACUUCAGAAGUCAAUCAUCUUACCAUCAGCAGUACGCCAACCCAAAUUCUUUUGAACCUCUUCCUAACAAGAUGAAACACCUUUCCAAAAUUUGAUCCUUGUCUAGCACUGUAGAUGUGAGGAAUUAGAUCAUUUUCACACUUGGAUUAAAAAAGUUAAAGUUUAGAAUUCGAAUCAUGCCAAACAUAAAAAAUACUAAUAUAACAGUUAACAUAAUUACGUUUGUCAUUGAAAAAGAUAUCAUUACCACAUUGGUAUUUAGAUUGAAUCGUUCUAGCCCCAUGUCUGAUUUGUACCUCCAACAUUUUUUUGGUCUACCACCCCUCUUUCCAAUUAAUCAGAUGUAAUUUCCUACUAUGAUCCGUAUCGCCCACGUAAAAUUAUAACGCUUCUCAUCCAAUUCAUCGCAAAUUGACUUGGAAAUAGUAAUCUACAUUACAUAGGAAGGGAGAGACUGGAGAACAUAUUCUACCCAAGUCAGACGACUUCCAUAGAUAGUUUACUCAAACAUCAUAUGCCAAAACUUGUAAUAUCAAGUAUGUGCAUACUUUUACAAUAAAUAAUAAAUGUAUCUAAUAAUUUAAAAUAAGGUUAAUAUGUAGAGAUAAAUAAUUUCUCAAAAGAAAUGUUCAUAGUAUUUCAUAAGGAAACAACUGCAAAAUACAAGACAAAAUGUCAAAAAUGUACCCAAAGGUAGUUCGAGGUCAGUCCAAUCAAAGAAAGGUGUAUGCAUAUGUGCAUCAUUUCAAUGUCCGUAUGUUACAAGAAUAGUGAUAUUUGCACAACAAAUUGUGAUAAUUUUUUUUUUUUUCUCUCCUUAUGGGUCAAACAAUAGAAAGAGAAUAAAAACAUAAUGUAAGUAUGAAAGAGAGGUUAUCUAAAAGAUAUUACAAAAUAGUUGUACAACUAUCACCUUCCAUGUUAUAACUAAAAUAAGUUUGACGAAAGCCCUAAAAAAGAACUUAAUAAUCAACAGACUAAAUAAUCACCUUCCAUGCUGUACAACUAUCGCAUUUUUUUUUUAAGUUUAAGUUUAUUUUAUGUUUAUAUGUUGAUCUUUUCAUUAAAUUGUGUUAGAAAAAUUCACACUGGUAUUACUUUUGCAAACUACGAAACCAUUUCUUAACUUAAAAAACAAAAAAUCAAGUUGAAAUUUAAAAAAAUCAAAUAAGAGACAACUUAUCCUAGAGACAAGAAUAUUUUAGCUUAACAGAUGAUAUAUAAACAGGUAAAGAUGAACACUGAUAGAAUGCUUUAGAAUGUGAAAAAGCGGCAGUCCAAAAUCAAGCAUAGACCGGAUGAAGACUAUAGGACAAUUAAUUUUAUUUUUUGUUAGUGGUGUAAGUAAAAGUGACCAUCAAUAGUUAACGGAGAUACCCUCAAAACAAAGCAUAUGACCGGAAUGAGUAAGCUACGCAUCAAAUUAUGCGGCCGUUAACUUGCACCCUAAAGCAAUUAAAUUAAAUAUAACUAAGAUAUACUUCUAAACUAGCAUAUGUCCAGUCAAAGAUUAAAUAAACUCCACUUGAUAUGCUUACUCAGUCAGCAUCAUGAAGAGUCAAAGGAUUGGUGAGUUCAGAUUCAGUCAAAAAGGACAACAAUUGUAAUUGUCGAGGAAAUCUCAGUCUCUUCUAAUAACUGUUACAUGCACCUACCCACCUGCUUCAGGCAAAGGUACUCACUCCGAAAUGGGUCUCAAAUCAGAGUUGAAAUUAAAAGGAAGAAAAGGAUGGAGCCAAAAGAAAAAAAAAAAGAAAUAAACAUGGUAUAAAACCUAACUAACUUCAAUCCCCUUUUAAGACACAACACUAUCGAAACUAAAGAUCAUAAAUAAGCAGUGGAAAGUUUAGCAAGCACCGAGAUUCGUUUUAAUAAACCCGCCCUUUGCAGUGCUUAUUUUCAGACGCGGAGGAGAAAUCCAGCAGUCUGUAAGUAAAGAUCUUUCAACAACAAUAUAAUAUAGUAGUUUACGUAUCAACUGCAGUCAUUGGAAUGAUGCCUCUAUCUUCAUUUUAUCAUGAAGGGUGACCACCAAGUUAUGGGCAUCAUCCAGAAGCUUCCAAACAUCAAGGUGUCCUGCCAUGCCAUUGCAUUCCUUAAGGAUAUCGUCCAUGCUGCUAUACUUCUCAAGGAUCAAUUUCCUUCUUUGUAACACUGAGGCUGCUAUUGCAAAAAGCAAUAAAUCGUCUGUUGGUGGAGCACGCUGCCUAAUUCUGCUCCAGGGGGAUUUCCCUAUACCAGCUCUGAUUGCUGCUUGAUCUGCCCACAUUACUUCCCAAAGGCAGAGAGUCUGUUCAAAUGUCAACUCCCUUCUGAACAAUACCACCACCAUCCUGUAAACAAAAAAACAAUCCUCGGCCUGGAGCUUCUCCAAAUGCCUAAACAGGUGGGAAUCCUUAAACUUGAUUAUUUUUGCAACUAUAUCGAGUUGCCUUCUAAUACCCACCUCAUCAAGCCUGAAAUUCUGCCUGGCCUUCUUCAUAAAUCCAACAAAACACCAGAAUGCCUCGUGAUCUUCUGAUACAACACAAAUUAUAGGAGAUAACAGAUCACUCAUACCCUGGCAGUAGCCAAUUUCAGGAUCGUAUAGUGCAUAUGCUUCAAGAAUAGCAACCAAUCUAGCAGCAUGAAAAAUUCUGCCAGCAUCUAGGUGACCAUAAUCCUUCAAGCCAACAGCCUCAGCAGAUCGAUGUGCCCUACUUUCUGGAACAACAGCUUGAGAGGGAGAGUACGGCAUCCAUUCUGCAUUGGCACGUACUGCAUCAAGUCGGAUGAUCCGUUGCCAUGUGGCAAAGUCUUCCCUACUUCGUAGUGUUGACGCGCCUUUCAUUUGUGAGGGAGAAGAACUAUCCUUAGAAGUUGUCUUGGCAUUGUUCUCUUCCAGACCAUCAUCAGAAGGAAAUGUCUGAAAUACCUCGGGACUUUCUGAGGAAUCCGAGUCAGUGGAAUCUGUAUCGAGGGCAGAGGCAUCAGCGUUGCUGCUGCUGGGAGCAUCAUCUCCUUCCAACAGGGAAACGGAUGGAUCAUCUGAAUAUUCAAAAUCCGGGCUCUGUUCCCCACUGGAAAGGGAUUCUCUGGCACUUGCUGCAUCUUCAGAACUAGGAGAACCAGAAUCUUGAAUAAAACUCACACCAUCUCCUUCAUAGUUGAUUUCACCUAUUUCAAUCAACUUAAAGCUCCCACUGUUGGAUUUUAGCAGUUGCCGGCAUUGUCUGCGGAGUUUCUCAUACUUCUUUCUGUGUUCAAAGAUUUAGAAUAAAAGUAACAGUAUGUUAAACUGAACAAAAGGAAAAAGGGAAGUACAAAUAAAUAAAGUUUUAAAGACCAAAGAAAGAUGAUGGAUCAGGCAUGGAUUGCAUAUAAACUUGUAUGCAUACCUAUUUUGAGUUCUUAUAACAUCUCUUUCUUCUUUGGUAGUAUCCAAAUCGUAUCUGUUUACACGAAAGAGUAAUCAGUAACCAUAUAAAUGUCUAAAUAAAUGAAAAUAGAAAGAAAAAAAUUGGAGGAUAAAUUCAAAUAACAGAAAAUAUAAUAAAUGACAAGGUAAUCAAUAUUCAUCCUAAUGCAUAACAUGAAGCAGAAAAAAAAGAUAUUAAAAAAAAUUGACAGAUAAUCCUGUUCAUUCCAUCACAUUGAAUUUUGAAAAAGAAUCAAAAUAAAAUGAGUAUGAAAGGUCAAAUACUAAAGAGAAGCUUUAAAUUUUGCUCCAUGUAUAUAUGCCUUGCUGUCUUUAGAAGACGUGUUUGUCUAAAAAUCCAUGCAUCCUAGAUGUACCAAAUAAAUAAACAUCAUUUAGAAGUGAAACACGAAAGAAUGCUUACACUCCAAGUAGGAAAGGCCAAACUUCAGCUCUGAUACUAGGAUCAACACCCUGCAUCAGACAUUCAUAUCACAAUCAAUAUCAAAAUGAAACACCAAAAGCCACUAAAUUGAAAUCUAAACAGAUAAAUAAGUAAACUCACUCCGCUGCGAACUCUUUUCAGGAAUUUCAUUCCACGAUCGCGGAUUCUCCCGUCGGGAGCAAACAAACUUUUCCAUUGUUGAGGAGAAAGGACACGUUUUCUUUUUCGGCGUGACCAUGGUGAUUUAAGACGACCUCUGAAAUUGUCACAAAGAAUUACUCAUUACUACUACUGCUUGAAUGUAGGUUUUGGAAUAGAGAAUAGGCAGAAAACAUCAUUUAUGACAUUUAGGCGAUGACAUUUAGGUGAGUGAAGAAGUAAACAGAAAAAUAUAUUAUUUCAUUUUAAAAGCAUGUCACAAUACUCCAGUCGAAUAGAUAUACUUGGUCAAGCUUUAUACUUGCUCAAGCCAAUUGUGGCUUUCUUCAUUCCCAAUGGAAAAAAGCGGAAACAUAUUUUAGCAUUGAAUUACAAAUCUAUGUGAAUUACCAUUCUCACAGAUUUCAUUCAUGUAUCAUUUCAUUACUGUUAAUGGAUUCCACACUAAAAUGUUUUUAUGUAUAAACUAUCUUGUUUCCAUAAUGCUAAAAUGAAUAAAUGCAUUCAGUUCUAGAAUUCCUCAACUUACAAAGACAAUAUUGUAAUAUGCCUCUAUAAAUGUACAUAUGAAAACAAAAUACUGGUGAGUUUGGAUUGGCUUAUGCAAGCUUAUAUGAACUUAUCAACUGACAUAAAUAAGCACGAGUUUGAGAGAGCAUAUGGAAAAAAAAAUUAACUUGUUAUGAGAUCUGAUUUAAAAAGAGUAAAGGAAGAGGACAUAAAGAAAAACUGUCCUUGAAGAAUUGUGACACAUCACACAUCAACAUCCACAAAAUAUCUAGAAUACUAAAGCCUAAAGAAUUGUAAUGCUUGAUACAACAUGAUAUAUUUCCUUAAAUCAAGUUAAAUAAACACCAAAGAUUUGAUUUUGUCCAGAAAAAACAUUUCUUAAGUUUCCAAAUGAACAUACUCACUUAAAUAUGCUUUAUGCAUAGAUCUUCCUUCUAGCUUAGGAAGAUCUAAGCAAAAUACAAAGCUAGAAAAAGGGUUUUGGUAUCCAAUCCAAUCAAGAUCACAAUCAUCACAAUCAAUUACAUUUUCCCUAAACAUGGUGAUUUAUUCAUAGACAAUUUGAUUUGACAGGACUCAAGUUAGAUAAAAAUCAAAAGGAUAAAAAAUCCAAAACAAGAUAAAAGGAGCUUCAGAUUGAAGAAAUCUAAUUACACACAAAAAGACAGCAGAACAAAAAAUGCCUCAAAUAAACCAAAAUAGAGAUCUAUUUCCCUCUAAUUAUCUCGUCCUUUUCAACCCUUCUUCCCCUUUCACAUAAAAAUCAAAACUUUGUUUUGUUUUUCAUUCUUGAAAGCAUUUCAAUUCCACAAAUUAACCAUUUCUACACUCUCAGAACAACCCACAAGCGAACAAAAAGCCCCAAAAUUAGAAACACACAUGCUGAUUAAUCUAAACUGACACUGAUAACAAGAUCGGUGAUAUCGAAAAUUCGAGAUCUGGGGCGAAUUAAACAGAACAAAGUAAUAGGAAAAAAAUGAAGUGGGAGAAGAAAAACUCACCGAUCAGAGGAUGAACAGGAAGCUGGUGAGGAAGAAGAAGAAGAAGUAACAACGAAUAAAACCGAACGCAAAUGGAUCCACGAUGAAUUCGAUGAUGAUGAAGAAGGAGAUGAAUUAUUUGAAGAUGACGAAGAUGAAUUGUUACUUCUUCUAAGAGGAUUCAUCUAUAAGUAACUCCUUGCUAUAUUCACUUUGUUUACAAAAUCGGAAUCGAAAACAGUUUCAUCAGAGUGAAGAAUUGAGCUAGAGUUUUUGCGAUUGAGAUUCGUUCAUUUGAGGAAUUUUUGGUGUUUACCUACUUGCACCAUAGAAGAAGACGGCGACGAGAGCGAUGCCGGCCACAGUCGUGAAGAGCACCGCCGUAGUCAGAGAGGUGGCCACCGUGCUCAUGAAAGAGAACUUGGCAGCGGAGGCGCCGUCGGAGAAGAACGGAGUUUGGUUGUUGACGUUCAAGUUAGUGGAAAGGAACAUGGAGGAGAGGAGUUGAAAUUACUUGAAUACCCCUGCCACGAUUGUUCUUUGGUUUUCUUCUUCUUAUGAAUGAUUCCGCAAAACGUGUUUUUGUUUGAGAAGUGAAGAUGAAAACAAACAAGACUUUGUUGUUUUGUUUUGGUUUUGAGGAUUGAUUGAGAAGCCACUUAUUUUGUACUAUUGCUUUGUCUCUCUCUCUCUCUCCCACUAUGAAGAGAGAUAGAUAAUAAAGAUAGAGGAGUGAGAUGCAAAUGAAAGAAUCUCUUUCCCCUAUAUGUUUGUUGGGGAGAGAUUGUUUAGGCUUUUUUACUUUCCUAGUAAGGGGAGAGGUUCUACAAUAAUCACUAUCCUCAUUAGAUUGCAGUGAUUCUUACUUAACUCUUCUCUUUGUGUUAAGCGAAUCUUAAUAUAAGAUUGGAUUUGAAUCUCAGACAUCUUAUCUUAUUUAUUUAUUUCGCAAAAUGUAAAUAUCUAACCAUUAGAUCAAUCAAAUAAAAUGAGUUUUUAACUUCAAAUUAAGUAUUCAAAUUUGAUAGAAUUUAAUUUGUUUAAUGAAUUAUACUUAUUUAGUAAAAUAAUAAUAAUGGUUUUAAGAUGACUAUGACUAAUCUCCCUCGCUAUUUUUUUCUUUUGAAUAAUAAUACUCAUUACUUGCCUUCUUUGGCCCUUAUUACAAUAUAUAAGUUGUCUUGUAAUUUAUGGGUCAAAAUCUUAAUAUAUUAGGAGAAAAGCGAUUUAAGCGUUGAAUACGUAUGUCACAUGCCAACUCUCCUCACUCCAUCUGCUGCAUUACAAUGCGUACUCAUCAUCCACCAAAUACGUAGUACUCCGACAAGACAAAUACGUAACUUUAGACUUUUGAAAAUAAUGUUUGCAAAUAUUUUUAUCAGAAUGUUUUUUUGGAAAUAAUGUUUGCAAAUAUUUACUAUCACAAGGUGGAUGUAUAAAUAUAAUUUUUCUAAACUAAAUGACCACUCCCAAACAUACAAGGGAAUUAAUCUACCAAAAAUAAAAGUCAAAUGCGAAAUUAUAUAUAUCAACAUGGUUCAUGCUUUUGGACUCAAUCUCUCUUUUGCUUCAUUAACUCUUAAAUUUCGGUAUGAUGUAAUGGGAUAUAUAUUAUCCCUAGAUUAGGUUAGUUUUUUUUUAUAUAUAUAAUUUCAUUGUCAUAAAAAUUUAAUAGAAUUGACGUGUUUUAGUUUUUUUAAUUGGUUAGCACUAUUAUACAGUAAUAAAUAAUAAUGUUUUAAUUAUAUAAUUAGCAUGCCUUACUGCAAUUGUAAACUUCAAUGUCAUCUCUCUGUAAACAAAAAAUAUUCAUUGUCAUUUUCGGCCUCAAGUCAUGUUCUUGGAUUUUAAAUUACACUCGAUAAUAUACAAUUCUGCUUAAAAUAUUACCAAGGUAAGUGAUGCUAAAUAUUUUAAAGAUGACGAGGUUUUAGUAGAAUUUUAUACCGGUGCUUUUAUAUGUCUAUACUAUUCAUAUUCAAACUGCUUAAAGUAUAGAUUUAUCUCGACAGAGCUUAAAAUAUAGCUUUGCAUGCAUUUUAUUUGGAUUUUAUCGUCUAGGUCUCUGGGCAUUACUGGACCAAAAUACUUUCAAUGUUUGACUAUAUAACCUCAAGAAAGAAAGUCUAAAUCUCAUCCAAAAAUAAGUUAUAAAAUGGAUAUUACCACCGCAAUUAAUAAUAGUUUUUCUUUCCUUAAUAUUUUUAUUUAUUUAAAAAAAAAAUCUUUAAUAUAAUUUUGCAUAUUCAAUUCUACAAUAAAUUACAAAAUUUAUCUUCACGAGCUUAGCUCAGUUAAUAUGGACAACGCAUGAUAGGUCAGUUACAACAAUUAGAUCCACAAAUACUUCAAAAUACACAAUUAGAUCUACUAGUUAAAAAAACAGAAAAUACCAAUUCAAAUUUGAUUCUUCGGGUACACUAAAAAUAUAUUUUGACUUUAUACUAAAAGAAAUGUAUAUUUUUACUCAUCAUACCACUCAGAGAAUAUAUAUAAUUUUCUUUAGGAGGGGGGGGGGGGCAAUAAAUGUCUCCAUCAUUAAACCUAUAUUUUAUUUAUAGUGGAUAGUUAGAGAUCACUGGAUUAAUAGAUGUUACUAGAGAAGAUUCAAACUAAAUUGAUUAUUAUACUCAGUACAAGGGAAAUAAUGUUAUUGCAAAAGAAAGCUUAGAGAGUGUCUUUAAUGCUGUUUUUUUUAAAUAAAUAAAAAAUUGAAUUCAAAAUUUCUUAUGAGUGGCUCAAUUCAACUAAUGACAUGAGUUACUUAGUUAAGCGAUACUGAGUUAUUAACCACUUUCAUAAUUUGUCAUGCCCAAACAAACAGAAGACGCAAAAGUAGGUUAGUACUAUCAAAAUGUGUUUGAUUAUGGCAAUACAAUAAUAAUAACCUUACACUAACAUUGCAUUUUCAGUCAAAAGGAGUUUGAAUUUGGUCAGAGAAUACCACCAACUUGUCUAGUAAUCUAACCGAAUCUCAUAUCACUUUUGGUAAACAUGUUAAAUAUGGUAAAUAGUUUUGUAGAAAGGUUAAAUCAUGCUUGAAGUUUUUAUUUAUUUUUAGCAUAGCACGGUUCUACCAGCUUUGCAAUUGGCCUCGAUAAUUUUAGCUGUCCAUAAUAUAUUUGAUUGGGUUCUUUCAACUGCAAAAGUUACUAUCACUUGUAUUUAUUUAUUUUUAACAAAAUCACUUUGUACUACUUAUUCUUAAUGGGAAAAUUGUAGCGCUUUUUCAUUCAUAUGAAAAAUAGUUGCUACUUAUUCACUAGCAACAAUGUAUAACUUGUGAUUCAAUUUUUAAGGUUUUUUUUUACAAUGUGGGGUUAUCUUCAUAUACAAUCUCCAGAUUUUUAUGGGACAAUCCUAAACAUUGGAUAUUCGAGAGGAUAUGAUGUUAGAUAUACCCUUUGUGGGCUCCAUGGUUUUCAAAGUUUAUUGUUUUCCCAUUUAUUGCCACUUUCAGAUCCGACAAAUAAACUAUAAAAAAUUGUACCCGGAAGAUAUAUAUAUAUAUAUAUAUUGUUCUCCAUAAUCUAUCACAUACACUGUCUACUAUCACACAUAUACAAUGAAGGCCUUUUGUUUGUUUGGCAAUAACCCUCCAACAUUGUCAUGAUGAAGAUUGAAGAGACACCUUUAAAAAUGACAUGUGCUGCCUCUACACAAUUCUUUAGGGAUAACCCGAUGAUUUAUUUCUUUAUUAACAACAACCACACCAUCAUGAUGGAUGAUAACAUUUUAAACAUUACAUUGAUCUGAUUAUAACUAUAACUAGAUUGAGAUUUCUUAAGGUUUUGUGUUUGAACUUUAUGGACGAGAACAUUGAAAAAUUUGACAUCGAAAAAAGUGAAUAAAUACAUUACAUCAAAGACACGAAUUUCCACCAAAAAUCUUAAGUAUUAUUUAUAUUGAGACAUAAUCACUCGCACUUGAUUUUCAAUUAUCUCCCCCUCAAGUGCACUUCAGUAGUCUGAUCCACACUAGAAUCCCGCUCCCCACCGAGCUUAUUCGGGGCUCUGAUGCCACUUGUUGGGGAGCGUCGGGAGAGGCAAUGGGUCCCUUCUCUUAUAUAUCUAACAUUUCCUUUUCUCAAUUUCUAGUCGAUGUGAGACAUAAUCAAGGGCUCUAAUACCACUUGUCGGGGAGUCCGGGGAGCGGCAAUGAGCUAACUGUACAAGAUCAAUAAGAGACUUAGACAGACAACACAUCUCCAUCCAAAACCUUAAGACAUUAGGUAUAAGUGUCCCCUCUCUUAUAUAUCAAACAAUUCCUCUAUGUCUAAUCAAUGUAAGACAUAAUCACUCACACUUGAUUUUCGACAUAACAUGGUUUAAAAAAAUACGGUCACAUCAAUGGUACAUUGUAAUUAUUGAAAUUAGGGUGAAUUUUAGUUUAAUAUUGCUAAAACAAUUCAAACGUGGUUAUAUUGUAGUUGUAGAGACAUCAAAAACUUGAUACUAUGACUUCAAUCACAAACCUAAACAUGAUUAAAUGUCAACCAUAGAACAAAUAAGCAUAUUAAUCGGGUCAUUGACAUGCCCGCUAAAUAUCUUUAUUGAAAAAUGAGAAGGGAAAAAAGGGAUCAAUCUUAAGAGGCCCAUAUGCUUCACCUUUUGAAAUUCUUCAUGUUUUAUAGGUCCUUUUCAUCAUCUAACACAAUGAUGAAAGAGGUUCCAAAGAAUAAACAACGAGUCUAAAGUGAGUCUGCUUGAUUUCUUUAGGAUAAUGACAACACCACCAUGCCAAGGGUGUAUCGUAAUUACCACAUUGCACUCGUUGUUAUCCUAAAGUUAUUGCAUUAAUUAUGUUAAGUGAUUGCGGUCAAAACAUGCUAAUGAUGAAGUGGUUGUUUGGUGUUUUAAGCAACCCAGAGAGCAUAGAUUAAAUUUGACUUUUCCAAUGAAGCAAUAAAGGAUACUCUAUUAGUUCUACUAUCUUAAACCAGCUAAGAUAAAUACGUACGUCAUUAUCUUAGGCUAAUUACUGGAUUUCAAAGAAAGAAUAACGUUGUUAGCAAUUAAAUAACAUGGGAUUUAACUUCACGAGCUUCUCAUUAGAUUGUUUAUUACUUUAUUUGGUCUUCUUAUUUUUUUAUUCCUAUUUUACUUUUGGACCUUGUCAUAUAGAUAUUGCUUAAAUGUAACCUAGAAUUUAUAUGAACGGCAAUGGUCUUUAUACAUGUGGAAAUAUGAAUGUAAAUGGUAUAUACUCUGGUCGAAAAAGGAAAAAUCACUACGAACAAUGAGAUCAUUGUUUUAAUUUUGUUUAUUUAUCUCAUGUGUUCUGAAGGAAUGAAUGAUACUCAUUUAUACGAGAUCCAUACAGUUCCAGUCAAAAGAAGAAGACACGGUCGUAUAGAUUCAUUUUUAUUAAACAUGGAAUAAAGAUGUUAAAAGUAAAAUAAAAAAUAUUUAAAAUUUGUGACUCUAUAUAAUUGAGAGAAAAAUGCUCUAAAUUUUUUAUUAUAUAUCGAAGUGGAGAGAAUAUAAUAAAGUGUACUCAGUCAAAUACUCCUUUACUGUUUUUUAUAGCAUCAAAUACUGUUUUACUAGCAUGCACUAAAAGUAACAUUUGAUUGAUACCACCGAAAUUGGAUUUUGGAGGGAAGAGAGGAGGAGAGAGAGGGUGGAAAAGAAGAUAAACUGCCACAUUAAGCAAAACAUUAUCAUCGUGGACUAACCAUCUAAUUUGGUUACAUAUUGCAAUAGGAAAAAGAUAUUCGUUUGAGAAACUGAGUGGAGUGUAUAGGUUUGUUUAUGAUUAAAGGUGUUGAGAAACCAAUGCCAUGUAAAACCACAAAAGAAGCAUAAAACGUUGUGUGAAAAAUUAAUUAAAAUAUGAAAUGCUAGGUGAAGAGAACAAGCUUUGCAUACCCUAAAUUUGCGGUGCCCAUGUGGUCAGAGUACGUUCCUUGCAUAUAUGUUCAUGCAUUUUAUAAGUUAAUUGCAACUUGUUUUAUGUGGAUGCAUAUUCUUUCUUGGAGUGGCUGUUAAGUUUGAGAUCAAGUCUACAGAAGUAGUAUGUGUGUAUUCAAGUAUCAUGGCCCCAAAAUAAUGAAGGAAGUUAAAAAUAAGUAUCAUGGCUAAAAAUGUAUUGAAAAAAGGAAAAAAGAAAGAUGAAAGCAUGUAAUGUUUGAUGGUAUAGGAAACGCAAGAAAGAAAUGUGUAAAUUUUUUCCUUUUAUUUUGUUCAAUAGAAAAUUAAAUAAAAAGAUAGUUAAAUCAUACUGAUUUGGCUUCAAAUAAAACCUUGAUUAAAUUGAAGUAAGCUCCUCUGCCAUUUAAACCAACAUGUUGUGAAUUUACAAUGUACUCAUAAGGACUUGAUUUCAAGUCACGUUAUUCUAUUUUCUAACAAAUGUUUGGGUGGUCACAACCACAAAUUUAAAUAAUUUAAGCACACUCACAAAUAUAAAAAAGAUUGAAAUAGAAAAAUCAAUCUAUUCUUGUUAUUAUUGAAAACAUCAGUUAAUGUAUAACUUUGUGUGUUGCACCUAAAUGAGUUGAAUUUGUUCCAAGUAGUGGUUUUAAGCAGCCGAAUCUAACAAGGAGGUGAUCCAAGUUGUGGUUUAUUGCUAGUAGUUUUUUUUUUUCACCCUUAAGUCACCUUAAAAACAAAACUAUAAAUAUAUAAGUGUAAUUUAAAAGUUAGUUUAAGGGGUUAUAAUCUAAGUGAAGUAGAAAUGUAAGUCUGAUGCAAACAGUCGGAUUCGGAUGGGUAUCAGUGCCUAAAUACUCGCCCCACCUCGUUUUCUAAAAUCGAAAAAACUCAAACCUGAACCCCAUUUACUAGGGUUUUCCCGUAGAGCAGGUUCAGGCGGAUACCCACAAAUGCGAGUUUUGUUGCCAUGUUUAAUCCUAGUAACCUUUAACAUAAUUUCUUUUUUAAAAAAAUGAUUUUUAUGUUGGUAAACACACGAGAAUUAGCUGUAGAUUUUUUUUAAAAUUUUUUCAAAAAUCUCCUUACUUAUAUAAAACUAAAUCUUUUUUUUUUUUUAAUCCAAAACAUACGCACCCUACUUUCUGGUCACUUGUUCAGACAAGUGUGGAGCAAAAGGCAUUCAUUCUAUUAAGAUGAACACCAUUGAAGUCCACUACUUAGUUAUUAUGUCCAUCAUCAUACCAAUCUGAUCAGCUAAGUAAUGAACGUAACUCAGCCUUCCGCUGGAAGCAUCCCAACUGAAAUGAAUACGAAAGAUGAGGGGGAGGGUGAGUUGCUUCACAAUAAUGGGAAACCUAUCAAGGGAAAUUUUAGACUUUGAACCAAAAGAACUUUGCCUUGCACUCUUUCUUCACUUUAUCCUCUUAUUGCUACAAAGAUCCCUCUCCAGUGUCAACUAUCACUGAGAUAUGGAGAAUCAGUACUAGUUAUGUGAUCCAUUACACAAACUCAUUAUUGCCAAAAUAAACACGAGCACAACACAUAGAUUAACUGGCUUAGCUUCAGGAUCUACAGCUUUGACGCAGCACCUUUGUCCAAGAACCAUUUCAACUCCCCUUCAGGUGAAACCAAUGCAGCAGGAAGCUUUUCAGAUGUUUCAGAUCCGCGUAGUGCAGAGUGAACUGCAUCCGCUUUGCCGGUACCAGUCACCACAAGAGCAAUGUAAGCAGAGGAAUUGAUCACGGGAAAGGUAAAUGUUAUUCUCUCUGGGGGUGGUUUUGGCGAGUCGUUAAUUGAGGUAACCCAUUUUUUAUUCUCAUGGACAAGAGGGUGACCUGGGAACAGAGAAGCUACAUGCCCAUCAGGACCCAUGCCAAGCAACAUGAGAUCAAAUUUUGGAAAUCCACUGGCUGAUGAUGAAGCUAUCACAUUGCUGUUGACCAAGUGUUUGACACAUGUCUCGUAAUCGUCGGCAGCUCCCUCAGCUGAAAGGGCAUCAUUGAUCGCGUAAACAUUACCAGGUGGAAUGGGCACCUGCCAAGAGAAUCGUGAUGUAAGCAUUAACAGGUUAGACUUGAUAGAAAAAUAUACUAAUAGAAGACUAUGUAGGGAGACAGCAUACUCUGGUCAUGCAGUCAUUUUAAAGAAGACUGUACAUACAUAAAUGAGAAAAUGAGACACACACUGUCAGUGUAAACUAAUUGUACACUAUGUUCAAUCCAACAUUUUGUAGUUAUUUUUACAUUGCGGCUAUAAAGUGGACAUGCAUAGCAAUAUUACGAGGUCCCUAAAAUUCAUUUCCCCUCUGGCCUAAUUUUAUAGGAAUGAUCAAUAUACGCAACACUUGUCGAUAGAAGACCAACCUAUCCGACACGGGGAUUCAUUGGUCGGAUCAUCCACACGUAAUAGUCUCUCCCUGGAAUGCUUGUACCUGUCAAUUCACUUCACCACAUAAUAGAGAUGCCCUUUUCUAGGUCUGCAAUAAAAUUCUGACACCUUCUAGUUUGAUAUUAAUCUCUCUGAAUGUGAGUAAUGGUUACGCCACAGCCCACAGGUAGAGUCUUCCAUGGCUCAAACCAGUGUUGUCAAAUAGCGGCUAUAGUGCUAUAACAUAGUGCAAUUUGCAUGAAUAGCUGUUAUUUUGCGAUCUGCUAUUUAGUACAAAGUGUUGUCAAAUGGCUGCCAUUGCGGCGCUAUAGCGUGGUAGCAUAGUGUUUUUUGAACAAAAUGCUAUUUUUUGCGAUGUGUGAUUGACAACAUUGGCUCAAACCUUUGUUCCCUGAAGGGCAUACCACGGCCCUCAACAUCUUGCAGGUCACUUGAAUAAGAACAUGCCUGUAUAAUGCACUCUGUCCAGUUGCAAAAUGGUUAUCUAAUAGUGAUUUUCAAGUAAAAUAUCAUUUCGUGCGCGAAAUUGACGUCUCUUUUUUCAACUCUUCCUAACAAAUACUGUGUUGGCUUUAUCUAUUCUUGAUGAAAUUUAAUGUUGGCAGUACAGAGUAUUCACUUAAUUUUUGUUUAAUAGGUGAUAUAAUUGAUGAAAGAAGCAAAGAAAGGUGGCAAUGCAAAUUCCAUUGUAUUGUACAAGAAAUUUUCUCCAGAAAGCUAGUGCUUCCGCAUUCACUGAACAAACUUUAGAUUCCUUUGCGUAUACCCAGUGCUUAAGCAUCAGGAAGCCAAAUCUUGACCACAGGCUGCACAAACAAAAUGACAUUUGUUUCACAGACCCACCACUUGAGCACCAUCAAUAAACUCUCACUAAUUGUACUAUAGUACUAGUGGCUAUAAGUAGAAGAAGGAAAGGAUCUGAAAGUACACUUCGCUUAUGCGGGGCACCUGAAAUACACUUUCUGGGCUGGGCUUGGGAAGCUUCAUCAAUGGAAUUCUUCACCUUUUUCUCAUUUCAUCACUUUGCCAUGAUUUCCACCUAAAUCCCUUGUUGAGUGAUAAAAAAAAAUCCCUUCAAUCCACACUUAGUAACAUCCACUCAUACUACAUACUUCCUAACACUUUAAUGACUCGAUAUUGCCAAAGUCUGUCAUGGAUCCUCACAUACUGAAUGUGUGUUUGAUGUCUGAAUUUGUUGGUGUCGGACACAAACAACACACGUGGUUACAUUCAAUCACUUCUAUUUUCUUAAUUUAUUACUCAUGUCUACGUGAUUGUGCAACAUAAUCAAUAUUCAUGGAUUUUUACUACUUCUAAUCCCUUCUCUUUUCUAAAAAUUCUGAUCUCAACAAAUAUGAACCAAAAUUAAAUCUUUUAAUAGUUGAAAAAAAAGUUCAAUAGAACAUACCUUGGAUAGAAACCCAUCAAAAGCAAGCUUAUAGUUACUAUCAUCAUGAGUCUUUGGCACAACUCUCUCAUCAACCCAAAACACAUGCCAUUUAGCCCAUUCAAUAGAAUCAAUAUACGGAUCCUCCAACAGUUUCCUAUAAUCACAACACAAAUCUCAUAAUUCAAUUAAAUUAAUCAUCAAUCAUCAAGAGAGAAAGAAGAAACUCACUGGAGAUAGUUGAUCAAAGAGCCACCAGACAAACAAACAGUGAAAGCGCCUCUUUCGCGAGUGAACUUAUUAGAGAGAUCAGCGACGUAUUUGGCGAGAGAAACAGCAAGUUGUUCUUUUUCGAAGACUUCAACUUCAACAGCCAUUGAAGAUUUCACUACCUUGCAAACGAACCGUUUGUUGUUGGAUUUGGCGCUGACACCUUUGAAUCUGAGGGGUCGAAAGGAGAAUUGAGUUGAAAGUGGAUGCACGUUUGGGUUUGAAAGGGAAAGCGAUGGGAUUCGAUGAGUGUUGAGAUGUAACGAAGAGUGGGUGAAAGUGGAAGACAUGCGUCUUGUUCUUAUUAGUCAAAUCAAAUGGGAACACGCUCUCAUUCACCAAACCCAAAAAGUGAAGUCUAACAGUAACCCGGCGAUACACACAACCAAGGACAGUAUUUUAAAACUCGGACCGGUCUAAGGGACUGACAACCGAACCUAUGACCGGUUUGGUUCGGUUUUGUUGUUGGACCGGAUAUGCUAGUAACAAGCCGGAUGAAUUAGUUGAAACUAGGAUUGAACUGGCUGAAAAUUGUCGAUAAUAGUAGGGAAGUUUUACCCUACACCAUUACAUUUAGGAGGUGAAAAUCUUCUCAUGAUAGACCACAUGUGAUUAUAGAUUAGAUCUUGAGGUUGUAUUAAAUUUUAUUAUAUGUCUCCCACACCAUAGCAUCUCUUUUCCAUUCCCACCCACCACUACCACCACCACCACCAAUACCAAAUCUGUUUAUAUUUCUUUUUCAUUCCUCCCUCUCUAAAAGAGCUUAAGAAAUACACAUGUUCUUCUUUCUAAUGUAACGUGGGCAAAUGUUUUCCAAAUAUUAAAGAUUGAUUUUUUUUUUCUUCUUUUUUUAAAUAAAGAUUGAAAUUUUGAGCAACUUCAAUAUGUUUUUGAGCAAGUUAAAUCAAAAUGUUCAUCCAUGUAAUAUCAACUUCAUCUAAUUAUGUGCAUUCACUUCUUCUCUCACAUCUACUUAGAUUUAUAGUUUGAUUUUUUUUUUUAUUUCUACUGAGUCACUGACUCGGUGGUGAGUUAACUCAACGGUGUCUUCUUCCCAAGCAAGAAUAGCCACUCCAGAUGCCACAAACUGCCUAUAUUACGAACAUCUGGUUGCUUUUUUUUUUUUGUAGCCAACAUCAGUCAACAAUGGUGAAAACUUGCACAAUGAAAAUAAUAGGAUUUUAGAAAAUCAGUGAUCAAUUGAAUUGAAGGGAAACCGAGUUGUUGAAACUUGAAAUGAAGCUGUUUUUAUGAAUUUUCUCCAACCAUGGUUGAAAUCUCAUAGGAAAUGAAGAUUUGCAGCACUGCUAAAUAUAUAAAAACAGUAAGGAAAAGAGAAUGAAAUAUAAACCCAAAAAUUAUGUGUGAUGCUGAUUUGAUACAACCUUCAUUCUAGGUGUUUGAGGUUGAUGAGGAUGAUGUUGGCGGGGGAGCAACGAGGGAGAGAAGAAAGAGAAGUGCUAUGGUGUGGGAGACAUAUGAUAAAAUUUAAUACAACCUCAAAAUCUAACCUAUAAUCACAUGUGGUCCAUCAUGGGAAGAUUUUCACCUUUCCCAUGUGAAAUGGCACCUUACAUUUAUGCAUUUACCCCAACAUUUGACUCAAACUAUUCAAUUUACCCUUUUAUAUAAAAUAAAACUCGAGCCAUCACUUUCAUUUGUCCCUCUUUCUCCAUAAAACAUUCUCAGACAAACAGAGAGUGAGUGCAUUCUAAAUUCUUUCUUGUUGCCAGAAUCCUUUCUUGCUUGAAAACGUUCCGAUUUUGUUUUUAUUUUACAGGAAUCUAUUCUUUCAACGGGAAUCGUUAUUGUUACCGAAAUUGUUGUGAAUUCACGUUUUUGCGGAUUUCAUAGUUUCCCACAAAUUGUUUUCCCGUGUUGGAUUCAAGGAACUGUUUACCACCGAUUGAUUACAACUACUUGAGAGAUGGAUGAUUAUAUCUUGUUUUGAUGUUGUCGUGGCUGGAAUUCUCACUAUAGCCUAUGCAUCUUUUCAAUGGAGGAUAGACAUUAGGCAAAUUCUAUGGUACACCCAACAAUUUGAGUGUAUUGGUACACCAAAUCCUUAAAUUAAUAGUUAAAUGAGUUAUUUUUUGUAGGAAAAAAAUAUUUUCCAUCACCUAUAAUUAUAAUAACUAAAUCUUAUUUACCAAAAACGUAAACACAAUAAAAUUCGAUUUUUCUGAAUUCAUAUUACUCAUAAUAGAGAAUUUUGAUUAUUUUUUACAAUAAAAUGUAGAAAAAUUUAGUAUGAUUUUUCUAAAAAAUGAAUGAUGUUCUUUUUUAUAAAAUGAUAUUUUCUAAAAUAUAUAUGUCAACAAACACCAAUUUUCUUUCAUAAAAAAUGAUAGUUAAUUUAUAAAAAUUGUAAGCGAGAGUACCGGUACACCUUAAUUUGCGGGUGUACCGUAGAAGUUCCAUAAACAUUAAUCUAAAUUGGAUUCAGCCAAAACAAAUAAUAUAAUAAUAUUUUAAGUUAGAUAAAAGCUAUAGCCAGAUCUAAGAAAAACAUUGGAAUAUUACACCGAAAAACUGUUUUCUGGAAACCUAAACAUAAAUGUUCCAAAAAUUUGGUUGAAUUCUGAAAAGUUUGAUAUUCAUUUAUGAAUAAAAGAUACAAUUCGGAAAAUGUUUAAAGUGGUUUAUGGGAAAUAUAUUCGGAAAUCAGAAUGUUGUGGGGUGAACUCGUACUAAAUUGAAAAAUCUCAAGCGAGGGUGAAAAAUUAAUGUGUAAAAGAUUAAAGGGUAACAUUGAAAUAUUUGAAGAUUUGUUAGGGUGAAAGUAUAUGUGUAGUGGUAUAAGGUAAAAUUUCAUAAUAGUAUAUGUGUACAUGGGUUGGGUUGGGUUGGAUUUUGUGAAGCCCAAAACCUGAACAUAUACAAUAUUUCGGUUUGAAUGGGGUAAGAUAACCACGUUGCAUCAUUAGACCGAUUUGGACAAAUCGCUUAUUUUUGGGUUUGGUAACGGGUUAUCUAAAUUAUUUUUGUUUUUUUGUUAAUAUUAAAUGAUGAAAUGAUGAGUCGUCGUAUUUUUUCAUAAUAAUGACUCAACUUUUUUAUUUUGUUAAAAAAAAAUUACGUGACCUAAUUUCAUCAAAUUAGAACCCAAAACCAAUCAAGACAAUACAAUAAGGUUGAAUAAAUCAAUUUUGCUAGACACUUAUAAUUAAAAAAAGAAUCGGGAGACACUUAUAAUUAGAUGAUAAAAAUUUACAUUUAACAAUUUGAAAAUACUCCAUGUGUCAUUUAUUAUAGGAACUUUUAUCAAAAAUCAGGGGUGUUAAAGAAGUCAAUUUAUGAGAAAUGUGUUAGGUUUACAUUUUUUUUUUACAAAAUAUGUUAAGUUUACUUGGUUACUACAACUUAUUGAAUAUGAGUAUUUUUGUAAUAAACUAUGGGUUUUUCUAACCUGUGCAAGAUUGCACAGGAUAAGGGGUGAUUAAUGCACCACUUUAGUGGAUUUCCUCAAUUAACUAUAACACAAUUAAUUAGCCUAACUUUUCUCAUAAACCGUCUCUCUCUCCAAUUUUUUUUGAAAGGCUAUCUCUUUUCAAUUUAUUCUACUCAAUUUUUUAGCUGCUUUUUAUGCCACUCGACACGUUUCUAUGCCAUAACCAGUAUCAUAGGAUAUGUCAUUGAUUAAUUUUUUUGUGAGGGUGAGGUAGAGAGAAGAACUAGUUCUUAUGUAGAUUAAGUAGAUAAGGGAUGACCCGUUUGUUUAUCAUUUGUUUAUUAUCAUUCAUUGUAAUGGCCUUGUAUAUUGAAUUAUCAUUAUCAAUCUCUCUCAGAUUUCUCUCCAAUUGAUAAUAGGACUAAUUUGAUGAAGCUUUGUGCUGGUUUUGUUGAAAAGCAUUACGUAAUUUCUUCCAUAUGUCGUGAAGAAAAAAAAAACAACUAUAGCCUCUUACAUUCCUGGCUAAUUGCACACGCAGAGAUGGAAAACAAAGCAAGCAUGGUCAUCACUGCACUUGUGUUCAUGAGAAAAGCAGAAAAAAAAAAAUAGGAGAGAGAGAGAAACAGUUUAUGAGAAAAGUUAGGCUAAUUAAUUGUGUUAUAGUUAAUUGAGGAGAGAAAAAAAAAUCAAUUUUUAAAAUAGAGACUCAUUAAUGAGAUUUGAAAAAACCCACUAAAGUGGUGCAUUAAUCAUCCUUUAUCCUGUGCAAAAUUGAACAUGUUAGAAAAAUCCAUAAACUAUUAAUACAUGUGGAAUGAUUCCAAGACCUAUCUAAGUUGACACAAUCAAUAAUAUUUAGAAGUUUGUAUCUUAUCUUAAUACUUAAAUGCUUGAUGGUAGCCUCAAAGUAGGGAAUUUUUUGUUUUUUAACAAAAGUUACAUGUGCAAUCAUUGACAUGAUUUAGGGUUAUCAAAAGCUCAUAUUUUGGUUUCUCCUAGUCCAACUAUUAACAUUAUUCACCCAUGACCUUUGGCAUUUCUUCUUUCUUCAAAUGCAAACUAGUAAAAGACCUGUGAUUUUGCACGAGACGUAACAUUACGAAAAUUAUAUAAAAAAUAAUUUUAUUGUUAAUAUUGUAGAAUGUUUAUAAAUAUUAAAUGAAAAUAAUGAGUAUUAAUAUAAUGUUUCUAUUAAAUAUUUUUCUCUUAUGCAUAAAAAAAUGUGUUAAAUAGUUGAGUCACACCAGCGAUAAAUUUUAUUUGUUUAUAUAUGCAAAAACAACGUUUAAUAGUUGAGUCACACCAGCGAUAAAUUUUAUUUGUUUAUAUAUGCGAAAACAACUUUUAUGUAGAUAUACGAGAAAGUUGACAUGAUAAAAUUUUGAAAACUCGUGACUAUUUUAUAAAAGAGUACAUACGGUCGAUUGUGUAAAAUUACAAAAACUAUGAUGUAUGAAUUUGUAAAAAAUUGCAUAACUAGUUGUUUAAAUUUUUUAAAUAUAAUAAUAAAAAAUGAAUCAAUGAUUAGAUAGAUAAAAUUCAUGUUACACACAAAUAGAGGUGUAUACCAUACUCACCCAAUUACCCCACCCAACCCAACCCACUUGUUUGAAUAGUUAAAAACCCAAUUUUAUACCGGAUAGUUAAAAACCCUAAUUUCAUUAGAUUUCUCUCCACGGAUAAUCCUCUUUCACUCACAGAUCUUCUAAGAUGGGAGAUAGAGAUAGGUCUGAAACGCUCUCAAUAAUCUUUUGACUAAUGAUUUAAAAAAAAAUUUGUAUGAUUCUAAGGAUGCUACUGAUGAUGAUUUCGAAAAGAAAAUGAUUGAUCCUUGGGCCUUAUACCACGAUCGAUGGUAUCUAAUCCAAAAAGACAGAGAUGUUCGUCCGCCUCUGAAACUCUGCAUUGGGGAACAUGUAAUGGUAGCCAAUGUUUCACAGGAUGGUACGAAUAUGAAAAUCACUUUCACGUUGAUUCAUAAUUUUGCUUCUUUGUUUACAGUUGAAGCAGUUUAGCCUGAAGAUCAACCAUCGCAUGAAAAAUGGCUUUAUUUUAACUCUUCUACUUGCACGGAAUUUGUGUGUUCAAAACUGUUUGAAGAGGGAAACGGCUACAUGAUUUUGAACGGAUGUGUCGAAAUAAGAGUUCAAGUUCAACUUCUCAAUUCAAUUUUAUUGUAAAUUAUAAUUAGCAUAAAACUUAUGUCUUGUGCUAGACAUUUAUAAUUAAAAUAAAAUAAAAUUGGGAGACACUUAUAAUUGGAUGAUAAAAAUUUACAUUUAACAAUUUGAAUAUACUCCAUGCGUCGUUUAUUAUAGGAACUUUUAUCAAAAAUUAGGGAUGUUAACAAAUUGUUAAAGAAGUUAAUUUAUGAGAAAUGUGUUAGGUUUAUUUUUUUAUUUACAAAAUGUGUUAGGUUUACUUGGUUACUACAACAAUUAUUGAAUAUAGAUAUUUUUGUAAUAAACUAUUAAUACACGUGGAAUGAUUCCAAGAUCUAUCUUAGUUGACACAAUCAACAAUAUUUAGAAGUUUGUAUCUUAUCUUAAUAUUUAAAUACUUGAUAGUAGCCUCAACGUAGGGAAAUUUUUGUUUUUUAACAAAAGUUACAUGUGCAAUCAUUGGCAUGAUUUAGGGUUAUCAAAAGCCCAUGUUUUAGUUUUUUCCUAAUUCAAUUACUAACAUUAUUCACCCAUGACCUUUGUCAUUUUUUUUUUCUUCAAAUGCAAACUAGUAAAAGAUCCAUGAUUUUACACGAGUCACGUAACAUUACGAAAAUUAUAUAAAAAAUAAUUUUAUUGCUAAUAUUGUAGAAUGUUUAUAAAUAUUAAAUGAAAAAUAAUGAGUAUUAUUAUAAUGUUUCUAUUAAAUAUGAGCAUUAUGGUGUUAGGAUAUUUCUAUUAAAAAUUUAAACAUUGUUAUUUUAAUUAAAAAUAAAAAAUACUACUUCUUAUCUCAAAUAAUGGACGCCAACUAAUGAUACUCCAUCCAUUUUAUAAUUAUUGUUGUUUUAGCAAAAAAAAUUGUUUUAAAAUGGAUGUCAUUUUUAGUUUCCAAUGCAAUAAUAACUUUUUCUUUUCAACUGUACCCUUCAAUUAAUAUUAUAUACAUUACUUCUAAAGUAUUAUGUUUUCUUUAAUGGAAAACAAAUCAAUAGUUGAUUAUGAUAAUUUAGUAAAAUAACAUAUCUCUUUCUUUUAAUUAAUAUAUUUCUUAAUAUGUGUGUAAAAACAUUAUACGACAUUCAUUUUGAAACGGAGGAAGUAUUUGUUUUCAUUUUUUUUUGUCUAUAGACAAAAUAACAAUGAACAUAAGAGAAUUUACACAUACAACAAGAAUCAAUGCAAACGACCACACAACAUCAACAUUUCCUUUCUCAUUCUUUAUAAAAUAAAUGUUAAAUCAUACUUUUUCAUUCUUUUGUUAACAAAUUUUACAACAAAUACAACAAUCCCCAGCAAAAAAAAAAAUAAGAAUCAAAAUAUAAUAUUUUUCUAUAAAAACUUGAAUUUAAUUUGUAUGAAUUUUCUUUCAUAUCUAAAUGAGAAAAAAAUGUAAGUUGUUAAAAGUAUAAAAAAACACUUUUAUAAGAUCUUUUAAAUACGUGGAGAGAGAGCUAGAUCAGCCACCAUAAUUGGUGCAAAGCAUUUUAACAACAAAGGUAACAUUAUUUUUUAAAAAUGAUAUUGUGGAUUCAAAAUAUCCAACUAUUUGUUGAUACUAAAAAAAUAAUCAAAAUAUAAUAUUUUUCUAUAAAAACUUGAAUUUAAUUUGUAUGAAUUUUUUUUCAUAUCUAAAUGAGAAAAAAAUGUAAGUUGUUAAAAGUAUAAAAAAACACUUUUAUAAAAUGUUUUAAAUAUGUGGAGAGAGCUAGAUCAACCACCAUAAUUGGCGCAAAACAUUUUAACAACAAAGAUAACACUAUUUUUUUAAAACAUUUACAAUUGAAGGACGGUUCAACUACUUAUGGAUAUAUUUUAAUCGUCAUAUAACAUCUAAAAACAUCCACAAUGUGUCAUACUUUUGCAUCAAGUUCUUCAUCCUAUACAGAUAACUUAAACAUCGUUGUCUUUGAAAAAACAUUGAUUACCAUGAAAUGAAUAACACGUAGAUAACAAUAAAUAAAAAAGAACAUAAUGUUUACAUUCUAGUUAAUGCAUCUUCAAAAUACGCACUUACUGUAUUCAAUGGAAGUAUGUCUUGCCUGAAUUUCUUCAUGGAGGAUUGAACACUCGUUGAUAACAUACAUUUUGUGAAUUGCGAAAAAGGUUUAGCGAUUUAGAAAAGUAUGGCCCUAAGUCUAACCAUUUGUUUCUUUGUUAUUUUGUUUUUAAUGCGUAAUAAACACAAAAAUAGUCACAUGAAAAUAAGCAUAUCAACUCAUACAAUGCCACAUAAUCAAACCUUUUGCCACAUAAGCUUUUGUUAACAAAAUAAUUAUCAUUAGGUUUAAAAAAUUAUGAUUUAUGAUAUUAUACAUGUUAACGACAAAAAAUACAUUUGUUGGUAUACAAACAAAAAAUAACUCAAUUUUACAUAAUCGAGCUAAUGAAAGUUUGUCCAUUCUAUAUAUUUUUUCUUGGAGCUGACUCACUUGCAAGGUUGUGAGAUCAAUUUUCAAAGUUUGUGUGAGAACAUCUCAACACGAUGACCUAUUGAAUGAUAUGUAAGUAGCUCUAUUAAAAUUCGUUGAGUCUUAAAGCCUUUCCCGACCUUGAGGAGCGCUUGGAGCUUAAUUGACUUAAACUUUUAUUUUAAUAAAAAAAUACAAAAACUCAUCUAAUUUGCAAAAAUUAAAUAAACAAUAGAAAAAAGGUUAAAUAAUUUUUUGGAUCAUAUAGAUAUCUCAAAUUUUGUUUUUAAUCUAUGAAUAUUUUUAGCAAGUUUUAUUGUUCCAAAUGUUUUUCGUGACAACUUCUAAACAAACUCACCUUUAUUCUUCAAUUUUUUUUUUUUUUUUUGUAGUUAUAGGUUAAAUAUGAAUUUUUUAUUUUUAACGCUUAAAAUUAAAUUUAUAUUUUAUUAAAAAAAUUCUUAUACAAGAUAUUUUUUUUGGUAGUGCAAGAGAUUGUUAUAAUAUUUUAUAUAUUUACAUGAAAAUUCAGGCAAAAACAAAAAUGGUAAAUACAAGUUAACUGUCAUCGUGAGCUUAACUCAACUGGUAUGAACAAUGCAUAAUAUAUGCAAGGUCUGAGGUUCGAACUCCGGCCACCGCAAAAAAUACAAGUUAACUUAAAAAAUAGAGACACAAAAUUGUGAUGAAAAAAAUUAAGAUAUCAAAAUUGUUGAAAAUGGUUACUGGAUUUUUUUGGGUUACAUGUGAUAUUUUUUUUUUUUUUUGUUACAAAAUGUUAAGGGUUUGUUUGUUUUGGCUUUUGAGCAACAAGAAGCACUUCUACAAACCUCAAAAGUGGAAAUUGAGUUUUCAAUGCUGUUUGGUUUGGCUUUUCAGAAUUGCUUCUAUCCUCCAAAAACAAUUCUCCUUAAAGCUACAAUUCCUAGCUUUUGACUUUGCUCGAAUCAAUUCUACAUUAAAUUUAAUAUUUUGAUUAUUACAACCUAUUAUUUUCCUUUAUUGCCCUUUACCAAUUCUCCUUCUUUUUGCUUUGUAAUUAAUUUGAUGAACCAAAUUUAAUCAGAAAACUUAACCAAGCUAGCCCCCGAAAAAUGUUUAUGGUCAUGAGUUACCAAGUUCUUUUAUCUUUCUUUUAUCAUUUUUUGCAACUAAUUCUAGUAUCAUUUAACUUAAAUAUAUUUUAUCAUAAAAUAUAUAAUAUAUGAACAAAUAUUUUGUAAAAAAAUUAGUUUAAUGAUCGUAUUUAUUAUGCUUUAAAUUAAUAUAUAGAAAAUUUAUUUAUGUAAAUUAAAUAAUAUAUAUACAUUUAUUAUUGAUCUACAUAUACAUUCAACUAUGCACAUUUACUUGAAUUUAACUAUCUCUAUUUUAGUAAUUAUACAUUCAAAAUCAAUUUUGAUAAGAACUAUCCAAACAACAUUCAGUUUGUUUAAUCAAUUAUGCACUAUUGUAUCCAAACAUAAAUCAAUUCUCUCAAAAUCAAUUCUGUCAGAAUCAAUUCUAUCUUCGAAAAGGUUCAAAUUAAUUCUUACUGGUGGUUGAAAGCAGCAAAGGCAGUUCAUGUGUUGGGGGUGCAUAAUUGGAUAGCCUAUCCUAUUCUGUCUGGGCAUAGGAUAGUCCCCUAUUUUUUGUUUCUUUCAUUUUGAUUGAACUUUUGUUGUAAUUAGCGUCGAUUUCUUUUUUUUGCACGCCUUGUGCGGAAGAAACGACAUGUUUGGUGUUAAUAUAUAUCUCAUUUUUGCCAUUUAAAAAAAAAAAAAUCUAUCUAAAGUUGGAUCAAACACACACUUAAUGGAUUCCUUUAAAAAGUAUAAAUGUAAAGUGGAUUAAAACCAAAAUUUGAGAUGUUUAUAGAAACUAUAGAAAUCAAAUAUUUAUUUAAGCAAAAAAAAGAAAAAAUGUAAAAUGGGCUACGAAAUGCUCCGCUUUGAAAAACCCUAAUCUAUCAUCAUCACCUCGUAUAUAUACGCCUAUUAGAAAAAGUUACAAACUUUGACAGCAGAGAUUGGAGAAGAGAGAAACUGAGCGGCGGAAGAGAAUAUGCAGAUCUUCGUGAAAACCCUAACCGGCAAGACUAUCACCCUUGAGGUGGAGUCAAGCGACACUAUCGAUAACGUCAAAGCUAAGAUUCAGGACAAAGAAGGUUUGUUCUUACUCAAUAACUAGAUCCAUUCGUUCUCAUUUUCCUUUGAUUCGUUUUUGUUUGAAUAGUUUUUUUUUUUCUUUCAAUUGUUUAGGAAUUCCCCCGGACCAGCAGAGGUUGAUCUUCGCCGGAAAACAGUUGGAAGAUGGCCGUACCCUUGCUGACUACAACAUCCAGAAAGGUUAAUUUCUGAAUUUCAUGUUUUGAAGAAAUUGUAUUAGCUAUGUGUUUGUUUAAAUUGAAUGUUUUUUUAUUACUGAACCCUAAAUUUCAUGAGUUACAAUGAAUGGCUAUUGUUUGAACUGCGAGGUUUAUGAGAUAUGUUUUUUGAUUUUACAGAGUCAACAUUGCAUCUUGUUUUGAGGCUUCGUGGUGGAAUCAUUGAGCCUUCUUUGAUGGCAUUGGCUAGGAAAUACAAUCAGGAUAAGACUAUCUGCCGCAAGUAAGUUUACACAAUCUGGCUCUUGUGUUAAUUCGAAAAGAAGUAAUUGCAAAUGUAGUUCUAAUGUUCUGAAUAGCUAGUUUGAUGAUUGAUGGUUAGUAAACUUUGCUAAAAUAAACACUUUCUAGUUGAGGUUUGGGUUGUAUAUUUUAUUGAGGCGCACAUCCUUGUUGGUGCUUUUGACAUGAUUUUAGUGCUCCUUGUUGACAACUGUAGGAAAAUCAUCUGAAUGUUUAAAAAGGUUACUUGUUUUUUUGCAAUUGGCACUAUGUUUUGCAAUAUAUAUAACAGUCUAGUGCUAUGAAACUGUUUCUACUAUGGGAUCUAAAUAAGUGUAAAUUCAUAGGUUUUAUGUUAAAAUAGUUAUUUUAUGGGAUAGGAAGAACACAAACCUCAUAGAAAAUGAUGGUUUUCUUCAGUUUGGCAUGGCAUACACUUAGGUUAUUCUCUUCGCUCUGUGAUAACAAUACCUUUUAUAUCUAACUAACUUGGUUCCGUUGAUAUUUUGCUGGGCAUAAAUUUAGACUAAGAGCUAGAAUAUUUCCGAAACAACAGAUGUAUGAACUCUGUUGCACAUACAAUUCUGAUUGAAAACGUGUCCCUGUGUCCGACUCGUGUCAGACUCGACAUGACACCGAACUUGUGAUUACAUUGAAUUAGGUCAUUUUCCCACAAUUUUAUCAGCGUUGACGCGUUUGUGUCAAUGUUGUAUCUGGUGUCUGUGUCCAUACUUCAUAGUGUAUGAACCACAUCUUCCUUCAAACAAUUGGCCAACUGUCUCAGAACUGUUCUAUAAAACGAGGUUAUUUCACUGACAAAUCUAUUACUGUUUGAAACCUGACUGGAUUGAGAUUUUGUGACAUAAGCAUUCAAUCAAUAAAUUGUAUUGCCUUAGAUAUCUGCUUACAUGUGAACUUCAAAAACACAUGAUUUUGAAACCAAAUGUAUUCUUUUGCAAAAUAAUAGUAAUUGCCUAUGGGGUGCAUGUAGAGGAUAAAUAUUAGAUACCCUACAUCUUAUGUGAUACUAUGAUUACCUAGUUAUAUUGUGUUAUUCUGUUCAAUGUCAGACUACUUGAAUUAUAAUUGGCAUCUAUUAUUUGAAGCGGGGCUAAUCUACAUUGAUGUUUACAACCAGUGUGCUUACUUAUAACUAUGCUGUGCAGGUGCUAUGCACGUUUACACCCUCGUGCUGUCAACUGCAGGAAAAAGAAGUGCGGACACAGCAACCAGGUACAAUGUUCUAUCACUUAUGCCUGUCUUAUUGAAUGGAAUCUGCAUGUUGUUAUUAUUUAGUUCAUAAUGGAUUAUAUUUUUUGUACUGCAGUUGAGGCCAAAGAAGAAGAUCAAGUAGACUGUUUUGUUUGCUGGAAGGUUUUUUGUUGUCAUUACUGGAAAAUGCCCUUUGAUAAUUAGCUUCAUAGUAUGAAUUCUGUUGGAAGUUGAACUUGCAGUUUUGUCAAUGAUUUUGUUUUGGAUUGAGACAUGUUAAAUCAAUUAUGCUACUCUUAUAUGUGAUGACAUAAUUUUGUUGCUUUUUAUUUUUUGUUGGUACAAUAAUUUUGUUGCUUUUUUGGUGAUAAUGUGUGGAACGAAACUUGGAUGCUAAUAACAAGUGCUUUUUCCUAAAAAUUGAGUUUAAUUUUCAUGCAUUGUUGUGAGAGUAAAAAGUUUGUUGGCACAUCACAUAUGUGCGACUUUAGAAGUGGUUAUUUUAAAAGUUGCAGGUGUCCAAUGAUUUGAUGGCUAUAAUCUGCUGAUUGUGUGCAAACACUUUACUCUGACUGUAUAUGAAUUUGAUUUCAAGAAGUGGAAUUUUUUGGGUCAAAGAUAAUCACUUUAAAGAACUUUUCAAAGUUGUCUUGAUCAUUUGGUUCGGGAAUGGUUGAGAGGGCUCAAGCUAAAUAUUAUCUGGCUUUUGAGUUGGGAUGCAAUAUUUAGCUUGAGCCCCAAUUCUAAAAAUCCAAACUUUAAUACAUUCAUCACAGAUCUAUUACAAUAAUUCAAAAUUGGAGGAAAUUCACAAAUGAGAGUGAGAGAUUACGAUGAAGGAGAAGGAAGGAACAACAAAGUGGAUGAAAAAAGUACAAAUAAAACAUGUUAGUUGUUAAAGCACGAAACAAGGGAGAGCGGUUCUCUUAAAUAUAUGGCGACAAAUUGCUUUGGACAUCAAUUGUUUUUUCACUUUUCCUAUUGCAUCUAUCACUUUCUUUAAUCAUCAAUUUUUUUUUUUUUUUUGAAGAGGUUUAAUCAUCAAUUGUUAUUGUUGUUGGAGGUUUAGUAAUGAUAUGGUGGUGGUGGUGUUGAUGAUUGUUGUGUCUUAAAUAUUUUUCUGGAUUUUUUAUGAAUAUUGAUAAAAGUGAUGUUGAAGAUGAUGAAGAAGUGGAAGGAAGAAGAUGAAAAAAGCAAAAAAAUGAAAAAAUGAAAAAGAAUAGUCAUUUACCCCUGUGAUGUGGCAUAAGGUUUGAUCCACAUGAAGGUCCACGUGUACAUCUAAAUGUCAUGUCACAGAGUUUAACGGCCCACACAAACGGAGGGGGUAAUUGACUAACGUUUGACAAUUUUAGGAUUUUUUUUUUGAAGUUUCUUAAAAAUUAGGGUGGUUUUUGCCUAUUCACUCAAAAGAAAAUAAAUGGAAAAUUUUAUUAUACCUUGAAUUUUGUUGAUUGAAGAAUCUUUAUUUUCCUUUAUUUUCCGAAGCUUUGAUGUAGAUAUUAUCUGGUAUAGGAAAUAGAAGUCGUGUGAGACACUAAUAUCUACAAACUUCAUUAACCAUUUAACCUUUAUACAUCUGAACUAUAAUUUUUGAAAAGAAUAACAUGUUCACAUGGUUUGGAAAAUGUUUUGUCUCCAAGCAGCUCCAACUGAAGGUUUGGAAAAUCCUUUAAUCCUGGGAGGUGACUUCUGUGCUGCAUACUCCAACUGAAGCAGCUGGUCUGAUGAAAGACGCCAACCAAGAGCACCCAAAUUUUCCUCUGCCUUUGCUAUUGACUUGACUCCAGGAAUUAGAGUUGUACCUUUGCAUAUGCACCAAUUUAUUGCAACUUUACAUGAUAAUGUGAUACAUUAGACAGUGAAUUUAUUUGAUCGGGCAAGGUUGGUCAUAGUAAGCGAUGGGCAUUGACAUUUGUAGCGCACAUAGGACAAGGACAAUUAUGCAGGUUGGAUGGUAGUUCUUUAAAGGGAAGUUUAGAACCUUUAAAAAAGUAAGUUGUGUUGGCAAACAUGGCAUUAAAAAGCGAACGAAUUGAUAUUUAAGGGUUGUCUUCUUUGGUGGGUGAUCUUGAUAAUGAAGUCGGAAUAGUUCUGAUUUUUUUUUUUUUUGACAAGAGCUGAAUAGUUCUGAAGAAAGAUGCUUUAUAGCCUGAAUAUGACAGCAGAAUAGGAUAAAGUUAUAUUCUCCAGAAGAUGGGCCAAGCCUGCAUGGCCUACCUUUGCAAAAGUAGAUGGAACUGUAACCAUGCGCAUGCUUAAUGUGAUAACUAUAGAUUUUGGUAGCUGGAAUGCUCCUUUCAGAUGAUUGUGAGGAAAAUAAAUUCUACAAAAUGGAGAGAACAGUUAUAACACUAUCUAUUCAUUGACCUCAUUAAGUAAUGGGUAUUAUUGGAAUUCAAAGGCGAGUGGUUAGUUUUACAUCGGAUAGAAAUAGGCAAAAUGAAGCAACCAGUGUAUUCAACGCCUUAAACCACCACGAAGGUCUAGCGCACAAUAUAUGUAUGUAUGUUGUAAACUUCGAGGUACCAAAUUCGAUUUCCACCGAUAAAAUUGCUUUGAACCACCUGUGCAAGAUAUACUACUACAUAGUACACCUACUGGCUUCGAACAUAUUUAGUUGCUUCAAACUAAUUGGCAGUCAAAAGACUUCCAUGAGAAUUUUAGUACUACCGCAGUUUAGUGAUAUUCAUACCCAGAAGAAUUCUAGCGCAAGUGAUUGUGAUCUAUUCUUCUGCAUAAAGUUAGCACUCCAGUUGUUCUAUCUGAUGCAUUGUCUGCCAAUCUCAGUCAGCCUCUAGGUUUGUGGCAAUUUUUGCUUUCAGCCCCACUUCUAUCAAGUCUUAAAAUGUCUUGAGAAAUUCUAGUUCAUUUUAUAAACGUCAAUCAUUGAACAAAUUAAUUCCAAUAUUAUUUUAUAUUUUGUUUUCAGUACUUUGAAUAGUGUAUACUACAUGGAAUUGUAGGAUAUCCUCAUUUAAGGCGAUGAAACACGUAAUCUGUAAAUACCUUAUAUAAUCGAUAUUACUUGCAUAUGUCUUCAAUCGGUUUAGGUUGGACUUUUUUAGUUUUUGCUUUCUUAAGAAUGUAGUGUUGCUUUGUGCAGAUGAAAGAAAAACUAUUGAGCAUUAUUAGGACUUGUUUGUUUGAAUGGUGAAUCAUAUUUUUGUAUCCUAAUCAUUUUGUUAAUGUUGACAACCUUGUUUUAUAUAUUUGGAAAUGCAGUUACUUUAUUUUUGAUUUAGGAGUUAGAAUAUGAUUUUUAAGGCUCUACAUUGGAAAAGAUCCCUAGGUUCUUGAAGCUCCAUAUUAUGAAAUCAUUGCUGCUGGUUGGUGUUGUCAUGAAGUCUCUGCAUCUUUCAGGAUAUUUCUACAUGUAUUCAUUCUCUUAUUAUUGAUUAUACGAAAUAAGGUUAUUUCUGUUAAAAAAGUUCAUCCGAAGUAUAAUUGGAAAUAGUUUCUUGUUAGUAGAAGUUAUGUUAAUAGUUUACACUGGCAUCAAAGGAAGGAUAAUUUUUUCCUCUCACUUGUUUAGAUGUUAAUUUUAGAUGCACCAAUUAUGGAAUCUUUCGUUUUCCUACUAUUUUUCUACGUCAGUGGGUGUGGCUGUUUCUCAGUAGAAGCUUUUUUAGCAGCAUAAAAGUAAAAUAUUUUUAAAUUAAACUUUCUUUUUGUGUCAAUAAAUUUAUCUUCAUAAUACGUGACAAAAAAUUAUAUGAAUGACACUAUAUGAUUGUCCAAGUAUAUGAUCAGGAUUGGUGCUCUUGAAGUUACACAACUCUUCACAAUAUGCACACUGCAAUACUUUAAAAACGAAGAUAUGCACGUAACUGCAAUACUUUAAAAACAACGAUCUCUUCUGGACGAGUAUAGAUGAAAUUGUUCAACAAUCUUCUCUGGUUUUCUUGUUAGAAGAUGAUAAAAACCAUGAGGCCUUGCCUUGUUAUUCUCAGUGUGCAACUUGUGCCGCUAAUAUCAUCUGGCAUAUGAAAGAGAAGUCUCAUGAAACACUAAUAAUUACAAAUUUUAUUAACCUUGAAAUAUCUGGCCUAUAAUCGAGAAGCUAGAUAACAUGCAUACCUGGUUUGAAAAAUGUUUUGGAUCAUCCUGCGAGGCGAUUGCUGUGCUGCAUCCUCCAACUGAAGUAGCUCGUUUGAGGAGAGACGCCAACCCAGAGCACCCAAAUUUUCCUCUGCUUGUGUUAUUGACUUGACUCCAGGAAUUGGAAUUGUACCUUUGCAUAUGCACCAAUUUAUUGCAACCUGACAUGACAAUGAUGCAUUAGACAAUGAAUUUAUUUGAUCGGGCAAGGUUGGUCAGAGUAAGUGAUCGACGUUGUCAUUUGUAACACACCUAGGACAUGGACAGUUAUGUGGGUUGGUUGGUCGUUCUUUAAAGGGAAGUUUAAAACCUUUAAAAAAGUAAGCUGUGUUGGAAAACACGACAUUAAAACAUUUAAGGUUUGUCUUUUUUGGUGGAUGAUCCUGAUAAUGAAGUCGGAGUAGUUCUGAUGUUGUUACAUACAAGAUAAAACAGUUACUUUGUGACAUCAGAUAUCAAUGACGUAUGAUAUCAUAUAAUCCUUUAAUUGAAUAAUCUAUUAUUCACAAGCUUUCUAUGACCAUCAGAUCUUGGUUUUAGUUUUCUGUUAUGCCGAGUCUUUAAUAUUGGCAUUUGGAGGUCAGAACAAGGACACAGAGUAGUACUAGUAGUGUACAAAAGAUUGGAUCAGAAGCCCGAAGGAAGGUGCAUAGAGCCUGAGUAUGACAGCAGAAUACGAUUAAGUUAUGUUCUCCAGAAGAUGGGCCAAGCCUGCAGGGCCUACCUUUGCCAUAGUAGAUGGAACUGUAAGCAUGCGGUUGAUUAAUGUGAAAACUACAGGUUUUGGUAGUUGAAAUGCUCUUGUCAAAUAAUUGCGAGGAAAAUAAAAUCUACAAAAUGGAGAGAACAUUUAUAGCACUAUCUAUUCAUUGACCCCAUCCACUACCACUAUUGUUGGAACUCAAAAGUGAGUGAUUAAUUCCACAUUAGAUAAAAUGGAUUAAAAGAAAGAUAAGUAUAGUCCGAUGCCUUAAACCACUACCUAAGUCUAGCGCAAGUGGUUGGUGCGCACUGUGUCUGAGUGUUGUAACUUGUAAACUUCAGAAUACCAAGUUCGAUUCCUACUGAUAAAAAAAUGCCCUAAAGCACUCAUGCAAGAUAUACUACUACACAGUACACCUUCAGGCCCUUCAGGCUUGGAACAUAUUUAUUUGCCUCAAAUGAAUUGACAGUCAAAUUGAUGAGAAUUUUAGUACUACCUCCGAGCAACUGAGCGAUAUUUAUACACAAAGCGCUAAAGGGGCUUAUAAAAAAGAACGAAAGUAGUAGGUAAAAAUAGGAAAAAGAUUACCUGUGACAUGGUUUUGCGUCUUUUAUUUGCAAUAUCUCUCAGGGAACUCAAUAAAGGAUCCAGUCCAGGAAGUAUUUGCUUAAAUAGCAAUCCCCUGUGAUUUGCAAUUAAAAACAAAGGUACACCGAAAAAAAAUUAUUGAUGCUAAGCUAUAAUAUUAAGCACUUAAUAGCGUUCUAAAAUAUUUGCGUAAAUGUCAACACACCUUGGUCCAGUUGGAAGUUUGGAUGCUGAGUAUUUCCCAGUAAGCAUUCCUAGUCCUAGAGGACUAUAAGCAAUUACGCGAAUACCUAAAGAAUCACAUAUACUCUUGAUCUCUAGUUGAUCUUCCCCCAUGCUUAGCAAAGAAAAUUGCACCUGAAAUGUCAAAAUUAUUACAAAGAUUAAUGAAAGUAUACCAGAAGGCCAUGACAAUAAAUGAAUGGUUGUGGCAUACUGACAGCAUAAUUUCAAGGAAUCACUUCUCUUUUAGUUAUUCUGGCAACUCAUGUUCAUUUAACCGAUCUCAGUUCAUUUCUUCUGCCUUAUCGUUUUUCUUUUCUGUUGUAGUUUCUCAAGGAUAUUUUUGUCUAAUUUGACAAUUAAACCAUGGUUAUCACACUACUGACAUUAAAAGGCAUUUCUCCAAAAGCAAAAUUUGAAUGUAAAACCAUUACAAUCACGCAUAACACUCUACCUGGGCUGAGCAUAACGGAACUCCGCGGUCUUUCAAGUAAUCAUGUAUCUUCAAAAGCUGCUUUGGUCCAUAAUUACUUACUCCAACAGCUUGAACUAAACCCUGGAUGACAAUAUAAAUAUUAAGACAUAAACUUUGAUCAUUGAAGAAAUCAAAAGUAAUGUUUUUUCCUAGCAAGAACCGUUGAACUCGUUGUUUACACUCAUCUGAUAUAUAAAAAUAUGAAAAUUGCAUGUAAAAAAAUAAUCUUUAACACCCCGAAUGUAUUUAAAAAAUGGUUCACUUAAGGCCUUAUGUGAUCCUACUAUUAAACAUGAAAUAUCGUAACCUUAUCAUACAUUGCCACUAAACCAUCCCAAAGAGCUAAUUCUUGAAAAGGAGCAUAAUUUGCAGUUGACCAAUGCAGUUGUCCUAUCCCAAUUUGCUCAAUCUGCAUCCUAUCUAGUGAUGCCCUGAAAAUUCAUUUCAUUCAAGUUCAACGGCAUACGCAAAUAAGUAAAGCAAAUAUUUGCAAUGGAAUUCUGCGUAGGAAGAACUUGAUAAUAAGAAUGAGUAUAUUAGUCCAGUAAUAUCAUUCAGGCAGAAUGGGAACAUAUCAACAACAAAAGUCUACCUGCAAGCAUCGACAAACUGCCCUGGUGUAAGGCGCCAUGGAUAAGCAGCAAAUUUUGUUGCAAUCACAAUUUCAUUCUGGCUCCCUUUUUUCUCUAAGGAAGUGCAUACAAAAUUUAGUGAAAACAAUAGGAAAUCAAAUAAUUUAGUACCAUGUCUAUUAAGUUUACUUAUUAGCCUGCUUGGAUUGACUUAUUAGAACUUAUAUACUGACUUAAGAACUUGCGAAACUGCUUGGUAGAGCUUAGAAAAAUAACACGACAGAUUGACAUGUCCUUGAGUUGUUUUAAGCUUAUGAAAACAACUAAUAGCUUAUAUCAAAACAAGUUGACAUUAUUUUAUCCUUUGUUAUAGAAAUAGCUUAUACAUAGACACUUAUGUUUUAAGUGCUUAAUUGAGCUAUACAUCGCCUUCAUUUCCUUUCCUUUUCAAUCCAUAAUCCAUAUCAUCAUCUCUUCCCCUUCCAUCACACUCAUAUUUACAUUGAUAUAAAGGCACAUGCAUCUAGCAUAGUUCAGUUAAAUUAUACCAAAUUAAAGGAAAAGUGUGAUGAACAAACCUCGAAAAUCUCGAAUGAACUUCCCAAGAAGUUUCUCACUCUGACCAUUAAACCUUCCAGUACCAUAAGAAUCAGCAGUAUCAAAAAGAUUAACACCAUUCUCAACAGCCAUGUUAAACACUUGCUGUAGGUCAUCAUCCAUGGAUUCUUGAUACCCCCAAAGAAGCUGAUUACCCCAUGCCCAAGUUCCAAAACCCAUUGGAGAAACACUUAGAGGCCCCAUCUUGAGCUUUUGGUUUUGGGUGGAUGGCCAUAGGGAAGGGAAUUUGAAAGUAAAAGAUGGUAAAGGGUUGUUAAUGUUUGAGGAACAAACAACAAAACUGCAGCAAGAUGAGAGUGCCAUUGUUAUUGUUAUGUAACAUAACACAAAAUCAGUUUUGGUAGUUAAUUCGUUGUGUGGUGGUAACUAACUGUUAUGGAUCAGUUUUGUCGAUUAAGAAAGAAAAUAGUUUAAUAUUAUGAAUAAGAAAAUGAAAAAAAUAAUUGACAGCUGUGGGAUUUGAACCCACGCCCUUUCGGACCAGAGCCUAAAUCUGGCGCCUUAGACCACUCGGCCAAACUGUCUUUGCUGAUUAUGUCGUCUGAUAUUUUAUACAUAUACACUAAAGACUAAACUAAGUAACACGCUUCCUCAAUUUUCUGUGUAAGACCGUAAGUUGUUGAAUCUUGGAGAAAAAGUACACACCAUAAUAGAAAUAACAGUGAAAUAAAUCGGUAUACUAUUUUCUUGUAUAUUAUUGGAAAAUGCUAAAAAUUAGUAGGAAUUAUUGCGAAGCCAUCACGACUAAGUCUGAUCGAUUAAUGUACUAUUUUCAAGCAAAAUGUUACAACAUCAAGUACAUGGUAACUAGUCCAAACUCGAUUGUCUUAACCUUAACUAAAGGAGGAACGACAAGAGUUGGUUGUUAAUCGGUAUAAUAUUUUAUUUCUUUUUCUUCUAUGAAAACAAAAUCAGUACAACCGUUUUUUUUUUUAACCCGAAUUGCUUGCAUUAACUCACACAGUUUUGAUCAACAGACGAUCUUAACCGUUGACUUAAAAUCGGAUGGUUCAUACUAUAUGAACAAAUAAAAUUAAUUGCAAAUGAUUUCGACCAUCAAUUUAAGACCGGACUGUGGUAGAAAUAUGUUACAACAUCUUGCUAUAGCAACAAGAAAUCCAAACAGAACCAAUUUAGAGCGAUAAGCAAUCCCCAUGCCUUUUCCAUUUAACAUUAAGAAUAAGCAAGAACCACGAUGAAAAAGCCUUCACAAAGUUAAGUUGAAGUGUAUGUUUGAUAGAGGAUCAUGACCUAAAUGAAAUAAUAAUUUUUUUUCUAGUACUGAAUUAAAUCACAAACAUUAUUUUUGAUAAAUAAUGGUAGUAAGGUAAGGUUAUAACUACAGGGUCGUGUCGUUCCUUUUCAAACUGUUGAGGAUCCAAAUCAGAUUGAUGGAAUAUGUUUGCUGGUAGAAAAGAACGUAUCAUAACAUGUUUUAAUUUUAAAUCUAGUUGGACCAAUUAGAAAUAACUAACCAACUUUUUUCACUUCUUAAUGUGUGUAUUUAUGAUGUAAUGAAAAUUACCGCUUUUUAUAUGAACUAGGAAUUAGGAUAAGUAUUGGAUAUGGAUAUGAUGUUGAGUUAAAAGCAAACAAAAGGAUAUUCCAUUGGAUCAUAAAUUUUAUUUAACUCAAGGUUUCACCAAGUUAAAGUGUGCACUGAUUAAUUAUUUAUCACCUGCAUAAUUAUUCCAAACUCCGUGUAAAAAGGCAAUUGAUCAUUACUACUAACUAAGACAAGAAAGGAAAAUAUCCAUUAUAAAGUUCUUCAUAAAGUGAAGCAAUAUCUCAUUCACAAUAUUUAUUUUGCACCUAUGUUAUGUGUGAGUCCAAGUCAUAUAUAUGUUACAAUGGUCAUACAAAUUAACAAGGUGGUAGCUAAAGUUAUAAAACUAGAAAUGGUAAAACACAUCACACUGACACAAGCAAAUGAAUGGAAAAGGCAUGCAAGCGUGUGCAUUGCACAAAACAGAGAAAUUUUCACAUUAUUCCUUCUUCUUCCAAAUCUCUAAACAAAUGAAUUGAGAGAGGCUAUCAUAAUUCUCUACCUAUCAAAUCAAGCCUACAAAACUUCAUUUUUUUGAGCUUGGACAUUCUCCUUGACCUUGCAAUUGCAUGUUUUGAACCAUUCUUUGUUCCUUUUUCAAGGAAACACCAAACAUUGCAACAUAGAAGAACAUGGUGCAAUUUUCAAGUCCAAAAAUCCAACCAUUGAGAACUAUUGCAUGAUUGGUCUAACAUACCACAUGGAUCAACAUUGUACCAUUUUUCAAGUGUUGUUGUCAAGGGAAUUUCUGCAUGAUCAUCAUUUCUUAAAAGUUGAUUUCCUCUGUCCUCAACUUUCUCUGUCCAUGUUGUGCUUCUUUCAUUUUGAUCAUCUGAAUAAAUUACCACUUUAUCCUCCAAACCCUCAUUUGAAAACCUUUGCUUUGUUUCUUCAAACCUGCUAUUGUUGUAUCCAUUUCUUGAACCACCAUCUUCUGUGCUAUUUUCCUUUGCUUCCCUUCCUCCAUCAUGAGAUGUUUCCACCAUAUAACUUAGCUUCUGAACCUGCGAGGAAAAAAAAAAUCACACGGUUAAGCUUAAGUUCAACUCAUUUAAUUAAUCGAGCCUAAUACGAAGCUUGAGUAAAUAAAUAAACAAACUUAACCGAAUAUUUUGCGAGUUGAGCAUGAAUAGUUCACGAAUAGCUGAACUCGUUUAAAUUAAACUGUUUAUCGAGACACAACUAUAGUUAUGUUACAAUAUAAUUGCAAGAACCAAAGUACUAACUUACCUCUGAUUGCAAAGACUCUUUCUCUUCCUUAAGGCACUGAAACUUAGAAGCUAAAUUAUCAUAUUCAUCUUUGAGUUUUCUGUAUUCUUGUUCUAUCCUUUUUGAUUUCCAUCUUGCUCUUCUGUUCUGAAACCAUAUAGCAACUUGUCUAGGCUGCAAACCAAGAUCUCUUGCAAGUUGCAUCUUCUUCCUUGGUUCCAACUUUGAUUCUGACUCAAAUAUGCAUUCUAGUGAUCUUAUCUGUUCAUCACUAAACCUUCUCUUGUUUUCUAUCUUCUUGUUUUUCUUCUUUGAAUUCUGAGGUGUCUCUAAGCAACUCAUGCUUUCAACAUUUUUUCCUUUAAACCCUUCAUGAAUAUUCUCUUCUUCCUCCAUCAUAUUAUAUAUGGCUAAGGCCUAAGUUUUGAAUUUUUGGAAUUUGAAGGAAGAUUUGUUUAAUAAUAAAAAAGAUUAAAAUUUGUUGAGGGGGAAUAGGAUGUAGAAUAUAUAUAGCUAAAAAAGAAUGUAUGUCAAGGUUAUUUGUAUCACGUUAUUGGAACUUGUAAAGGAAGGAUCAUAGUGACUUAUGGUACUAGAAAACGUGUGGUGCUUACUAUCUUUUUAUUUGCUAGGUAGAAAGAAAGUAGACCGUUACUUUUCUCACUCUAUGAGUUUUUCGUGCGUCCUAUUCUGAUUUUAAAAUCUAAAAUAUUUCAAACGUAUUUUUAGAAGUUUUUAGGGAAUGUCUGUAUCGUUCAGAUUAUAUAACCUGAACUGCAUAAGACACACGAGAAACUCAUAGAGUUGGAAAAGAAGCACUCAAGAAAUUAUCUUUGUUAGUUUACUUGUUGUAGGACAUCUAAUGGCCUUAUCUAUUUCAUUUGUAGAAGGAACUCUUUACUUGUCACGAGUUGUCACGUUCAUGCCACACGUCUCUGUUGCUUUCAUUUCUCUUCUUUAUUAGUACUAAUUAGUAAAUUUCAUCUUUAAAUAAUUAAUUCACAUUAUGAAUAAAUUGUUGGAAAAUCUUUCUAAUUUCUCAAUUUUGGUACAUCAUUAGUGCCUAAUUGUCGUAUUGUAAUGUUUAGAAUUCUUGACUAGAUGCAUCUUAAUGCUGUAAACAGCCGUAUCAUUAUUUUGUUUGUGUGAAGUAAUCAUCUAAAAUAUCUAUAAACGGGUAUAUCUACGUAUAUAUGUUUUAUAUUGUUUUAGACCUUCAAGAAAUAUAAAAUAACAACUCACAUGAUUAUACAUAAUUAAUUAAUGGUCAAUAAUAUUAAUAUCUAAGAAACCAAAGUCCAUAUAUAUACUACGAAAUACUAAUACAUGCAUCGAGAGACUAACAUUAACACAUCGACACCGCAUUUGGAUAAUUUGAGAAAAUAAAAUAAUUGAAUGUAACAUGUGUUGGUACCGUUUAGGUAACAUAACCAUAUGCUUUCAAUCUAAAGUGUUAGUAUUAGACAACUUAUGAAUAUACAACACAUUUAAGGCACAUUAACAUAUCGACACCGCCGCAUCUGUAUAAUUUAAGAAAAUAAAAUAAUUGAAUGUAACAUGUGAAAUCAGUAUCGUUUGGAUAAACACGACCACGCGCUUUCAUUCUAAAGUGUUAGUAUUAGAUAGUUUAUGAAUAUGCAACACAUUUAAAGCACAUUAAUAUGAUAAUUUAAACUCUCACUAAGUGAUGUUUGAUAGUAAGUUCCAGCUGAAUUGGAGGUUACUUUGUUACGCAAGGACUAAUGUUUCUGUCAAAAGUUGGACCUAUCUAUCUUUUGUUGUUUCGAUCUGAGACUAGAAAACCUUAUCUCAUGUCAUUAUUCUUAAGUUAAUUAGGUGUCGAAAUGUAGAUCGCUGAGACUAGAUUUUUUGUUUUAUUGAAACAUCUGAUAGCAAAGGGCUAAUGUAAUUAGGACAAGAGACACUUUCUACUCAUAGUUUGAUGGCUCAGUCAAAUGCUGCUCUGUACACGUGUUUAAUGAAGGAAUUGCAUUUGUCACCAUUCCUAAUUAUAAACUUAUAUGAUAACUUUUCUAACUCAUACAACUAGAAUAAAUUUAGUGUAGAACGAAGAUUUAAUUAGGUAAUAAAAAAAGAAAGAUGAAGUAGAGACCAAUUUAUUUUUUGCGCCUUUAAUUUCAGUAGCUAGUUCAACAUUGUUUGUACCUGUAGUGUCCACAAAGUUGAGCUUAGGACCAACUCUUUUGUCUGCUUGAAAAGCCAAGAUAUUUUAGAAAAUGCUAGUAAUUCAGAAUGAACUGUUUGUUGCAGCAUUAUCAAUAUUUUUCGCAAUAUACAGCUAUGAAACACCGACACAAACAUAAACAUGGCUUUAAAAUACUCUGACACGUCCACAUCAAUAAUAUAUCGUUUGUGGGUGUCCGAGUCCGACACCAUGCUCUCUUCAACGCAUAAGUUUCCCUAAUUUAUUGUUUUUUUGACCCGAAGUUACUGCAACUUGUUGGUGAGUAACAAGUAGUGAAAGAAGCUAUCCAGUGAGGGUUAGAUAAGAAGAUAAGAUGAGAUAAAAAUAAUUUAAUAGUGCACACUUUCAAGCAUACAGGACACAAGAUAAGGGUCAAAUAAUGUCGCCUAAUACAAACAAAAUAUUGUCCCAUUGUGGAGUUAAAUCAAAGAAAGUGAGUUUUUACAUUUAUUACCAAUCAUACUAAUUAGUCUUAAAGAACACCACUUGAUUACUGAUUUUGUUUUAUAGCAAAAAACUAAGGCUGCAUCACUGCAUGUCCUUGUCAUAUUAAGCUUUACAAUGUUUUAGUUUCGCUUUAUAUAUAUCAAGCUCUCCGUCCACGGUUAAUUACAUUCGCAAAUUGGUUUGUCUAUGUUGGUGUUUGGUGAAGUGUCACAUGCGCAUGUACAAGCAAAACAAAAACUCCUACGUUCAGAAACUAAGGUGCCCCUACACUAAGGAUCAUUAUUGUACUCCUAGUGAGUUGAAUUUGUGACAUUUUGUGAAAUAAACAUAUGCAAUGUAACCAAAACUUCUAGAAACCCCAAAUGUCUUGGUGAUUUGAAUUUCCAAAGGAAAAUUGUUAAAUAUAUUCCAACACCUUUUAGUAUAUCUCUACCAAAUCACAUGAAGAGAUUAAAAUAACCUUGCUUUUUUUUUUUUUGUCAUAGUAACAAACUAACAAUAUUAGUUUUAAAAAUAUCUUUUAACCGCUAGGCCAAGUAAGAAUACAUGAAAGACACAUAACAUGUAUUGUAUAUAAUUCAUUAUUUAAGUUGAAAAGAAAUUGGAUAAUAAUAUGGUGCGGGUAUAGUCACACACAACCAUGCAGUGAGUCCGCCUUGUCCAACACCUAAGUAAAUAAGCGAAGCUUAAAUAUCAAAUGUGUGAGAGAUAAAAAAUUGUGUACCUUUCUUUUUGAUAUCUUGACCUUAUUUAUUUAUUUAUUUAUUUAUUUUUUAUAAAAAGCACACAAGCAAUAUUGUAACCACAAUCCAAGAAAAUGAAAUUUCAAUAGCAAUGUUAUUCGAACACCAAAAGAUCAACAACAUAUUUUUUUUUAGAGGAUAUCAACAACAUAUUUAAUACCGUAUAAAAAUACACUAUUUAUAACUAAUAUUACGACUAAAAAUGAGACAAAAAAGGUAAUAAAAAAUAAAAUAAUAUCCAUUCCAUAUAAAUAUACGGUUGGAUAUUUUUUUAAUUGUCAACCUGUCUUUACUCAAUUUCAAAGGUCGGAUAAGUUAAGGAGUCUUGUCCAAGUCCAGGAAGCUAGGGCAGGAUCAUGCCCUUAAAUCUACUACUAUUUUCUUUCUUUUCAUCUAUUUUGUGCUAGAAACUGCGUGGGGAGAGAUGCAUUCACCAUCCAUGCCAACUUUUUUUCUUCUUCAUGAAAAGGACACCAAUUUUGUCUUCAAACGGCCAUGAUUAGCCUUGCUUUCCGUUUGGGCAAGUAUGAUGAAUUUUCUCACAAGCUAGUCUUUUUGUAAACGUCAAACUAUUAUUGUAAAGAAUAUCAUUUUCAUUAGCUAUUAAAUUUUUACGGCCAUGAGGGGUCCUCUUGCUUUUGAAGAGGGGAUAGGUGUCACGUAGCCAAUUGUACCAUAUGGGUGGCCCUCAAACCAAUUGGUGAGCAAAGUUAGGUAUUAGGUGCCUCAAAGUCCAAGAUGAAGUGAUUGGUCUUCCAAUCAUUUUUUGCGUGUGUUACUGUUAGAUUCGUCUAAUGAUUGUGAAAAGAAUCAAAGCUAAUGGAGAAAACAUUGGCAAUGCAUAGCAUAGGAAUCAUAUGUGAUAUCAGCAACAAAACUUUAAAUACAGACGGUCACAAUCUAUAUUGUUUUGUUGCAAUGUGCCCUAUUGGGUAUCGUUAACAAGUGUCAAUCCGUGAGGCAUACAUAAUUUGAGAGUAGUUUUCCCCUAUUGACAAGUAGUACUCGAUUUUGGAGUGAAAGAUAUUGAAAUCACAUGUUAAAUGAAAGAGAUGAAAAAGUUUGAUGUUUUUGAGAUGAAAAUGAUAAUUAAUUGUAAGGAAAAAGCAUUGGUGAGACAUACAAUACCCCUUGACGAAUUGGGGGUAAUUUACCCCUAAUCACAAGUAAGACUUGAUUAUGGAACGAAAGAGAUGGAUGUAGGAGGACUAGAUGUAGCAUUCACCUUGGAUGUGAACUAUUGCAUAUUUAUCUCUUCCAUUAUCUCUUUAUUUAUUUAGCACAAAUUAUUUAUGUUUUAACUUCAAGCUCUCAAUUGGAUUCAAAUGAAGUUAAAUGAGUUGAUAAAGAGCUAUUUGAGCUGUCGAAACCUUUUAAGAAAAGCUAAUUCAAAAAGACUUUUAUGUCUAAGUUAAUACAAGAAAGAUUUUUAAAUAGUCAACAUAAUUCAAACCUCCUCUUUUUAGGGUUUCCAUCAACUUCAAUUGGUAUCAGAGUUUUGAUUUCUUGAUUAUUCACUUAAACGUGUAGGAAUAAAGAUCUUUGGUUGUGGAAACCUAAGUUACUAGUCUGACUUGUGUUGUGUUUUUAGGUCCAAUCCAUUUUGCUUUCAAUUUUUUCAAGUUUUUUUUAAAUCUUGGAUUGACAACUAAUUAGAUAAUAUUAUAUUUUAACAUUUUCUUUUAAGAAAAUGCUUUUGUAUUUCAAUUUUUUGUUUUGUUUUACUGAUCAUUCUUUAAUGAUAUCUUGAGUUGUGAAGAUAAUUAAGGAGGGGAACGAAAAUUGAAAGAUAACCAAAUGCCAUAUUCUACAAACGCAAUGUAAUUAAAGUUCGAAGCCAAGAUCUGGAUGUUGUAAUACCUACCAAUGCACAAUAUGAAAAUAUUUCAACAUGUGAUAUGCACUACGGCUGGAAACUUAGUACAAUUUUAAUGAUCUAUUAUUGUGUCUUUUAUUUACUGUAAAAUAUUUUAUAAAACUUCUGAGUGUAUCCUCAAAAUUCUCUAAUGAAAAUAGGUAAACUUAUGAAUAUAUAAUCAAAUAAGGGUUUUGCUAGAAGACACCUUUUAUGAAGGUGUCUUUUAGCAAGUUAUUCUAUGAGUCUUUGUUAAAAGACACCAAUUAAUUUUUAUAAAGGUGUUUUUUUAGCAAAGUUAUAACUAAAAAAUGGAAAUCAUACCUUGAGGUGUGGAUUGCUAAAAAACACCUUCAUGGAUGGCUUCUAGCAAAACCCAUCAAACAAUAACUUCUGAGUGCAAGCUUUUAUACUUUAAUUUUUUUAAUAAAAAAACACAUCAAUGUAUGAUCAUGAGUGAUUGAAAUAAUAACAUAAGGUUUUUUUUACAUGGUUGUAGAUGGAGGAUUGGUGAUGGUGGAAAUGUGAAAGUCAUGAAGGAUCCAUGGCUUCCUGGGGUUAAGGAAGUUGGGUGUACUCUCCUCAAACCCAAGGUGUGUAUAAUAUGUGUGUUAAUCAAUUAACGAUGGAUGGAGAAAAAAAUAUCAUUGAAAGUUCUCAAUUAAUUUUAUCAAGUUGGUGAAACCAAUUUUGACAUUCACUGGUUAACAUUUUCCUUUAUAUUAGGGUCUUGUUAGCGAGAAACUAACUAUUCCAAUUUGUUAAGAAGCUAGAAAGGCUUAAAUAUGAAAAUAGUCUCUCCUAAUAUCUGACAUUUUGGAUUUAGUCCCUGUAAAAAUAUUUUUUUGGUUUUAGUCUCUGCAAAUAUAAAAAAUUUGGUUUUGAUCCUUGGUAUUUUGUUUUAGUCCUUGUAAAAUUGAUUCAUAUUGGAUUUGGUCCUUGUAAUACGUAGAAUAUUUGAUUUUAGUCCCUCAAAAUGAGGACUAAAAUGAAUAUUAUUGGGACCAAUUUCAAUAUGAAAUGAUUUUACAAGGAUUAAAACAAAAUACCAAGGACCAAAAUCAAAUAUUCUAUAUUUGCAGGGAUUAAAAACAAAAAAAUAUUUUAUAGGGACUAAAAUCAAAACGCCAGAUAUUUGCAGGGACCAUUUCCAUAUUUAAGUCAGCUAAAAAUAUUUCAAACUUCAAUGAUCUUCUAUCAUUUCUCAAAAAAAUUGUUAAAAACUUAUGGUUGUUUCUUUAUCAUUCCUCAAGGCAAGCUGCGUAAAUCUAAAUAUUGUGUUAUGUAGGAUAUAUGGAUCAGUGGGAGAAAUCAAAAUGUGAAGACUUGAACUCAAAUGUUUUUUUAGUUUUAAGUCAUAAAUAAACAUCAGGAAGAGUUGUUGCAAACUAAUAUUCUCCUAGAAAAACAUGCGGCAGUUCAUUUUUUUGUUACAUUAACUCAUUCCUCUUCAAAUGGUUUUUUUUAAUGGAAAUAUAUUUGAUAAUUAAUAGUUAAAAUAAAUAAAUAGCGAAAAUUUCAGUGUAAUAGUUAAUUAUAUUCCACAAAAUCAACAACUAAAAUAAAAUGUUUUAUUUUAGAAGGCACCAUGAACUACGAACAAGACCAAAUACAACGACAAGAAAAAGGAAAGUAACAACAUAUGAAUGUCCGAAAACUAACAUUCUAAAAAGCAAGGCUUCCUAAUACCAAUGCCACCACAACAUUGACACCAACAGAACCACUCAACCUUGUAGAGCCCGAAUGACCAGGAGAUGGCGCAAUGUCAGAGCAUGAAUCCCGGUGGCACUUGGAGCCAAAACAGAGACCCCAGUGCCGACGUCGAUGGCACUUUUUAUGGGUGGCACUUGGUGUCGGUGACACUUGGAUAUUGGUAGCACUUGGUGCUGGAGCAUGAUUGCCACUUGGAUUUGGUGUCGAAGCAUGAUUGUCGGUAGGACUUGGUACCGGAGCAUGAUUGGUUGUUGGACUUGGUGAUGGAGCAUGAAUGUCGGCAGGACUUGGCGCAGGAGCAUUCCAGCCAAUGACAUUUGGUGUCGGAGCAUUGACUGUAGGAGACAUUGCUGGAACUUGUACCAUACUUGGCGAAGGAGCAUCCGCUGCCAGAGACAUUAAUCGCCGAUGUGGAAACCAAGCGACAACGUUUAACUUUCUACCCUUUUGGCAAUUCUCAACGUUUCCACUAAUGAAGUAAAAGGGACCUGACUUGUCCAAUUGAAAGGCUGAAUCUCCACCUUCCAUCUUGUAAAUCGGGUUUUUGGUGUUGCAUGAAUCAUGAUCUUGUUUGUUUACAACCAACACUGAAUCAAUUUCUUUGUUAUACUUGAAAUCUGCAUGUCGAAAAACAACAUCAUAUCAUAUAAAGUAACAGUAAAACAAAAAUUUAAAUUUUAAUAGGAGAAUUUAAUCUCAAUAAAAUUCUAUAGUUUUGUUUUUAGUCGUUGACCGGAUCCAAAAACAAAGCACACCUUUACUUUCACUAACCACAAAUUACACCCCACCUCACAAAAGACCUCAAUAAGAGUGGCAUAAACACGGACAUAAACUGGUGUAACACGAAAUAACUUCCAUGCAUGCACAAUAAAACCAAACCAAAAACCAAGAGAAACAGUGAUACUCUAACGCCUAGCACAACCAAAAAUAUAUUUAAGCCAAAUUUUGAAAUGAAAAAUUGGAUAGGACUUACAAAUGUUGUCGUGUAUUAGAAGUUUGAUUCCGCUAGUCAAUACAUUGUAGCCUGAUGAGGGUUUGACUGGCCACCCUUCCUUGCCAUCAACCCUAGAUGUGUAUCCAGAUGACAAUGAAGUGUUGAGAAUAACAAGUGAUACAAGCAAAAGAAAACAAUAUCUCAUCAUUGCUAAAUUAUUCAGAUAAAGAAAUCUAUAUGAUGAUUGAAUUGAAAUGUAGAUGAGGCUAGUGAUGUUUAUUUAUAGUGAAGUGUCCAUAUGAAUCAUUACCCAAAACGAGGCAGUCUCCUAUGAUCAUGCUAUUGAUUUCAGCUGUGUUUUAAUGUUAUAAUCAUUAUCAUUGUUACCAUACAUAUGAAAAGGAAAUUUUUUAAGAGGGAAAGAUGCAACUUGAAGGCAAAUAGGAGUAUUAAGCAGCAGAAUAAAUCAUUGCCAAAUUGUAGCAAAAUUAAAUCAAUGGUUUCACGCGGGGCUAUUAAAGUGCAUCAUUGGAGCUGACUCGGAUUCCAAAAAAGAAUGAAGCACUGUAAAUUGAAGUAGAUCAAGUACUCUAUACUUGUUUUCUAAAGAGCUAUUUAUCGACUAUUAUAUUUGAAAAAAAUAUCGUUUUAUAAAAAAAUAUAUAUCAUUUCCUUGAGUGCGUCUAAUAUAAACUUCGUAAAAAUUGUUUAGAGCGGACCUUUUAAAUUUUUUGUAAAAAAUAAAUUUAUAAUAGUAAAAUAUAUAUAUAUAUAUAUAUAUUUAAAUUAGUAGGCUCCAAUGUUGGAGCUGGUCCAUAUUAAAUGGGUGAGGGUCUAAUGUUUUUUUUUUUUGAAGGAAGCCCUAAUGUUUUUAUAUGUAAUUCCUUAUUUAUCAUGAAAGGUUAUGUGUAAUAAAACUUUACUUCAAAUAACAAAUUCCCUAAAAAGAAGAUGACUUCGAAUGAUAUUUUUUCUUUUAAAUCGGGUAUCAUUUACGGAUAAUUAUACAAGUUAAUCUAUCGAGUUGAAUUGGACCCUAAUAAGUAACAAAGUUCUCUCCCCUAAUUAGGGAUGGCAAUUUGACCCAGACCCGAUGGGCACCCGCAAAAAAUACCCACAAUGGAUAGGGUAAACCCCGCUUUCAUGGAUAUGGGCACGGGUAGGGUAAUUACCCGCAAAUUUUAAUGGAUAUGGACACGGGUAAGGGUACUAUACUACUCAGCCCCGCAACCCGCAUGUACAUAUUUAUAUAAUAUAAUAAAUACUUUAUUUAUUUUUGGUGUACAAUUAUUUAAUUUAUUUAGUUAUUUAAGUCUAAACCUAAACCUAAAAUCUAAGCUAUUUAAGUUUAAACCUAAAUACUACGAUUAUUUGAAUGUUUUUAUUUUAAUUUUUGAGGGAUAUUUUGGAUGUUUUUUUAUUUGGCUAAAUAUUACGAUUCGUACUAUUUUAUUAGAUGAUUUAAAUAAUUUUGGAUCAUAGUUUUAUUUCAAUUGUGAUGUUUUUUAUUGUCUUUUCAUAGAGAAAGUGCGGGUAAUGGGUGCGGGUAUGGGCACUUAAGUGCCCAUAGGGUAUGGGGAAGGGCACUAAAGUUGUUGUCCACGAAGGUACGGGCUCGGGUAUGGACAUUUUUUACAAAUGAGGGUAUGGGGACGGGUACUAUAGUACUCUAUCCAUUUGGUAUCCAUUGUCAUCCCUACCCCUAACUACAAUUUGUUGUUGUUUGGUUUUUCCCCUUUUUAAUUAUUAAUAUUAAUAUCAAGGGAGAAAUCACAUUGUUGACAGUUUUUAUUUACUUUUUUGUUUAUUCUAGAUCUACAUAUUAAAAAAAAAAAAACAUUUUUUUGGCUAAUAUAAUAAACUUUUUUUAAGCGAUAAUAUUUUUUCUUUUUAUUGCACUAAUGAAUAUAUAUAACGAAUAAUAGUUUUUAUGAUUUAAUUUUGGUUUCGAUUAAAAUUAUUUUGAUUUUGAUUAAAAUUAGAGGUAUAGAUAUUUUGCAAUUUCAUAGUAUUACAAAAUAUACUUAUUCUUUUCAACGACACCAAUAAUAUAUAUAAAUUCUUUUAUGUUUGAAUAACACCGACAAUGUAACACUCUUAUAAGCAAAUUUGUUUAAGCGUAUAAUGAGAAAUGAUAACGUCACCCCAAAUCAUAUAUAUAUAUAUAGUUAGUUUGCAAUGCGGCAGUCACGCUGCAAUGAACGACAACUUGAGCCCAUUUGGCCUAAGGCGUUUCCAACACAACUAUCAUAAUUAUCAUAAAACUCUUACUUUAUCGAGGUUUGUGCUUUUAAUCAGGGCAGACCAUAGGCAUAGGUCCAAUUUGUGACGACCUAGAGCUCAAGUUUGUAGGUGGCCUAAUUUAUUUUUUUCACACCGGGUGUAUGUAUAGAAAAACUUGAUUUACAUGGUGUGUUAUAUAGAAAAUCUCACCGGUAGGCCCAAACAUGAACAAAGUUUUUACUCCUAAUGAUAUUUUUGCUGAGAAUUUCUUUUUUCACACUCAUCACUUCUCACACGCCCUCCAUAAUUUCCAAAACAUCCUCGUUUGGACUAUAUAAUUUGAACACCUUUUUUCGGAUUAUACAAUUCAAAUUUUGUUAACACUCAUAAUUCAUAUUAUAAUUGAUACAAAGGCCUCUACUGACAAAAAUUUUGUUAACACUCAUAACUCAUAAUUCAUUGCUACAAUAUUUCGGAUUAUAUCUUCAAAAACGUUCACAUAUUGUGUUUAAAAUUGAGGUUUGGAAGGUUCAAAUUAUAUAAUUCGAACCAAUGCAGAACACAAAAAUUGAAAAAAAAUCCAUCUUUAAAUCAAAUUAUACAACAACAUGCAUUAAAAAUAACAAUUUCAACAAGGUAAAGCAAUAUAAUAAAACACCGACAAGAUUAUGGAUCAUGCAAUUUUAAAUUUUCAUUUGAUCUAUCCAUUCAAGUCCUAAUUUCUUUGUAGGUCCUAGGCCGAACGAAUAUCUUAAAAAGAUAUGAUCAAGGAAACAUCUAACUUGAUUGGUGUCGUUGUCGUUUUAGAACUUCAGUUUGGUGAACAAAACAUGCCUUUCUAAAUGCAAAUUAUUAAAUUCGAACGAAGAUAAAAUGAUGAUUUUGAAGGACGUGUGAAAAUAAAUUCUGAUAAAAUGAAAGAUAGAAGUAGUAACUACUACUCCCUCCGUCCCUUAAUAAGUGACACAGUUGACCCAAUUACGCAUACCAAUGCGUAAUUUUGAGUUUAAAUAUCUUGAAUAAUAUAUUGGAAAAAAUUAUGAAAAUUUGAUAUUUUGAAAAUACUCAUCAAGACGAAUCUAACGACAUCUUAUAUGAUAUUAUUUAUCUUUGUAUAUUAGUAGAAAAAUAUGGUCAAAGUAAGUUAGGUCAAAAUUGCACAUUUUCAAACAGGUCAUUUAUUGCGGGACGGAGGGAGUAACUAGUAAGAGCAGGGGCGUCCCUGAGGGGGUGCAAACAGCUCAAACGAGUUGGGCCUCCCACAAGGAUGGGCCUCAAGAGUGGGGGUUCCUCAUGAUUGAUUUUGGUGUUAAGUAGGGGUUCCUCAUGUAUACGGUAGUCAUUUUCACCUCUGAGUAUACCGCAUAUAUACGGCACCUUGUAUUUAUCUUUUAAAAAAUAUAAAUAGAACAUCGCUCUUUUAAAAAAAAAGACAUUUUGAUUUUAUCACUGGCCUCUUUUCAUUUCCCGAGCUGAGCCUUCGAAUUCUCAGGGACGGCCCUGAGUAAGAGGAGGUAGUUUAAGUCUCACCCAACAAGUACAGCUGUGUUCUAGAAAUGCCCACGACCGCCAGACCCCAUUCCUUAUUAAUUCACUCAUUCAUUCUCUCUCUUAUGCUGAUGCUAGUGUGGACUGUGGAGUAGCUUUUACUUUUACUUUUCUAUUAAAACCAAAUUAAUGAUUAUCUUCAUCAUUGCACUAUUUCCUUAUAAUAUACCGCAAAACGAAACCUAGAGAGUAUUCAUAAGAUAUUCAGAAUCAGAUUAUAUAUGAGAUAGCUAGGUAGCAAUAUAAAGAGAUCAAUCGUCUUGGAAGCUCUGAUAUUUUGUGGGGAAUGCUGCCUGGUCCAAGGAGAUCAAUAUAUGAUCACUGUCCCAAUAUAUAUACCUAUACCUUAAAUUUUACUUCAAGCAAUCCAUGGAAACUAAUCCAUUUUCACACAAACAGUUGAAUUAUUAAUAUCAUUGAAUUUGUUAUUGUUUCCUCUUCGGACCAGGCUUCAUUCCCCUCAAUUACAGCUUCCUUCUAAACAAAUUCUUGAUCUUCUCUAUGAGGUAGAUCACAGGUCAGUUAUCAAUCCUUAAUUUUUUCAAAGAUAUUUGUUAUUUGUGGAGUUUUAUUGGUGUGUAUGUGUGUGUGAUAUUCACUGGUGGAUCCCUUUAAUGAUGAAGAGAUUUGACUUCACAUCACAUACGUCCUUUGUCUUCUUCUCUUCAACAGAUCUAGCUAUAUUAAUAGGGAAAAGGUAACCAUCAUUAGUUUUUUUAUUUUUUUUAUUUUUUAUUUUUUAUCAAGUUCUACAUCUAUUUUUGGGUCUUGUCCAUCAUAAUUUGGUCCAAAAUUCAUAUGAUUAUGCAUGAGUAAGUGGUACUCAUGUUUCUGUUUACUUCUAUUUAUAGGUCUGUUUGCUUGUAUGAUCAUAUGAUAUCCUUUUUCCUGGCUAUUAGUUUUCCUAGGUUUUCAUAUAUACAUACAUAUAUAUAACAGACUUCUCACACUUUCAUUUCGGGUAUGUAAAUAUGCACCUAUAUAUAUUUGAUAUUUCAUUAAAUCUUGAAAACAUACAUAUCAAUUAUAUAUAUAGAUUUUCAAGUUUGUUUCUCCUUGCAAGAUAAUUAAUUUGUUUAAGGGUGUGAGUAGAAUAUUUAAGUUCUGAUGGCUUGCCUGCGCCCAUCUGCACUAUUGAUCUCAGCUUUAUUGAUUAUAAAAUUAUUUUUGGAUCAGUACGUAGUACAUAAGUUUUAUUUGAGUGGUAGAAAGACAUUGAUAUUGAAGGAGAUAGUAGUUGAAGCAUAUAAUUCUGUAGAAUAGAUUCUAUUUUAUUUAUUGCUAUCUUUUCUUUCUUUCUUUUCUUCCUUUAUAAAAGAAGAUGUCUUUCUGCCUUCUUUUUCAAAUAUCUUUCUUUUCAAGCUCUCUUUUAAGUUUUUCUUUAUGAAUCUGCUAAAUAAAUAUAUUAUUCCCUUGCUUCAUGACAAAUUAAUUCUAAUUACGUUAUUCAUAUUAAGUUACAGUACACUUAACUAAAUUCUUAAGUUACACGACACAGUUAAUUACCAGAUUAAUUCUUACUUAAGUUACACCGAGGCAAAAGUCUUGGAGUUGGUUUCUGGGCUGGUAAAGUCGGGUCUGCAUUCAUGGUAGUGUUUUUAAUAAUAAUUGUUGAUGACUGUGCUGCUCAGUCAAUGCAGUAAUAUGUAGUAUGGAAAAUGUUACAUGAACACCCUUUAUUCCUACACCUCAUUGUACACCCCAUGUAUUAGGGAUAUUUUGGUAAGUUCAUCUCACAACCACAUUUUAUCUUUUAUUUGUGUGGAGUUCAGGUUGCCACGUGUCAGAAUUUUAUGUGGGUGUAAAGGGUGCAUUGCCACAUGAGGUGGUACAUGUAUGAUCACUCAUGUAGUAUAUAGUUUAGCAUUUUUGUCUCAAAAAAAAAACUUAACAGUAUAGUUUAACAUUUUGUUUGAUUCAUGUUCCUUGUUCUGCUAUUUGAUAUAUUUUAGGAUCAUUCUUCAUAAGUAUUCCAUACAUCAAAUCCAAAGAUCUUUUAUGUCAAGAAUGUAAUUGAGAUAUAAUUAGAGUGGUAAUAGGUUGACAUCCUUAGGUGACAUACCACCUUUGUACCAUCCUCAAGGAUAUGAGACAGAGAAGUAGUGGAUGAAAGAAAGGUUGUGGUUUUGAGGUGAAAUUACCAAGAUAUCCAUACCACAUGGAGUUGUACAUGAGUGGUACACUAAAAAGGAGCGUCGACCAAUAAUUACUCAAUAAUUAACAUCUCAAAUUUGAUCCCUCUAAUUCUUAGACCAAAUUUUAUUUAUCACUUGACGCAACUCUCCAUAUUUUCCCUUGAGAGCAAGAGUUUAGAUAAAAAAAGGGAAAAACUAUUGGACUAGACCAAUAAUUCAAUUGGAUUAAAAUAAAUGUUAUUCAUAGAUCUCAACGUGAACUAGCCUAGCAGAAGAAACUAAUAAUGUACAAUGAGAUCAACCAUCAUUGGAGAAAAUACGUGAAAAAAUUAAAUUAAAAUCUUCCUAGUUCACAAAUGCCAUGACUUAAUGAUUUAAAUAACAUUAAUUUGUUCUUUCAGCCAGUUAAUUGACACAUGAGAGAUGCUAAAUGACAUGAGUGAUGUUAGUAAAAUUAAUAAUUAAUUUAUGUUUGUCUAUCAACCAAUUAAUUUAUGUUUGUAAAAUUAUUAAUUGAUACAUGGUGGAAUGUAAAAUUAUUUAUGUUUGUAUAUUCAUGUAAAUGGUGAAUACAUGGUUGAUACAGUUAUUUAGUAAAAUUCUUAUUAUCUUUUAUUUUCAUUUAUAAAUUUGUUUCAUGAAAUGUCUCAAUUUAUCACUCAUAAAGGAAAUUAGGAGGACGGAAUUAAUAUUUAUCAUAAAUAAAAUUUUCUGCUUAUCUAGAAAAUAAAGUUAAUUUAUCAGUAAUAUAAUUUAUAGGCUUUUUAGUAAAUGGUAAAUAAUAUUAGGUAGGUUUACUUCACUUCUAGAUGAUUUAAAAUUGGGUAGGGGUUCAAACCCCAACCACCACACAAAAAAAAAAUGAUUCAGAAUUGGUCAUCGUGAGCUCAGCUCAGUUGGCAGGGACAAUGUAUAAUAUAUGUAAGGUUUGGGGUUUAAAUGUUUGGUUGCUCUCGAAUAUAAUUGAUUUUCUCUCUAUAAUUGGUUCUACUUAAAGUUAAAAAUUAGAUUUUUGAUUUCAGGUUGAUUUUAACACUUAAAUUUAUUGUUCAACUCACAAAUAAUUGAGAAAUGAUAUUUGUACAAUCAUUUUUUUGACAACUUUUAAACAACUUUAUCUCACAUACUCAGAUUAUAUUCUUAUUCUCUCUCUUCCUUUUUCUCUCUCCAUUGUUUUUGACCAAUAAAAAAAAAGAAAAAUGAGGUUGUCAUGAAAGUUGUUAGCAAAUGGUUGUUCAAAUAUCAUUGCUCUAAAUAAUUAUACAUUCAAGCCAUUUUUAUCCAUAGUCAAUUUUUCAAUUCUUGUCUAACACAAAACCAGACAUACACAUGAUCCCACAAUAUAAUGAAAUGAAAAAGAGAGCUUCUUGACUUCUGGCAAUCCCUUUGCACCGUUCUUUUUCCCUUUCAUUGCUUAAUUUAUGUAUCUUCAAUUUCCUCAAAAUUAGAUCAUGCUGCUUUGCUGAUGCAUAAUGCUACACUCUAUUCAAGCCUCAAUAAAGGGACUGUCAGUUUGCUUGGUUAUAAAGACAAAGCUUCAUGGCACAUAUGUAUAAAAAAAGAAGUCUGUCCCUAAAGUACUGAUGAGGUCUCAGAUAGACCCUCUUUUAUUUUUCUUGUCUGCGGGAUAAAGAUAUCUUUGUCUGAUCUUUUGCAUAAUAAAAUUUGUUCCGAUCUAAAUGUAUGCGGUUUAAUUAGAAAGACAAUAGUUUCGUUUAAAAUUUCUCUUUUCGUUUGGCACUUACUACGUAAUCGGCUCACCGGAAAGGACAAGCUAGCAAGGCGAGGAAUUAUUCCACUUGAUACUACUUCGUGAGUGAGCGGAUGCGGGAUGUCGGAAAGUAUUGAUCAUAUGGUUCUGGGGUGCGACAUUUUUUAGAAUAUAUGGGGCCUAGUUAUGCAAUGGCUCGGAGUGUACUCAGUAAAUACGAUACACUUGUCUGAUCAUCUUGUGCUAUUUGGUAAUUUAUGAGGCUUUUUUCAGAACUAUUUGGUCUUCUUAUAAAUGAUUUUGUUAGUUUGUGUUUGAGUUAUUUGAAAGGAAAGAAACAAUCAAAUUUUUCAGUAUACAGAGGACUCGAUAUCUCGCUUGUUCGAUAAAGUUUAUCAUUUAUCAAUAAGGUGGUUGAAGGAGAAAAUUUCAAACUUAACUUUUGAUCUUCAUCUUUGGUGGCUAAAUCAUAUUAUGUUUUUGGGUUGUAUCUCUUAGCUUAUAAUAAUCUAUGUUGUUUUUUCAGUUAAUUAAUUUGGUAUUGUAAUUAAUUGUUUGUACUUUUGAUUUUUAUCAUUGCAUUUCUUGUGUUGGGUAGAACUCUUUGUUUAGUUAAUAUCUUUUAUUUUUGUUUGUACAAAAAAGUUGAAAUAUAUAAUAUUAUAGGCCUCGUUUGGAUAAACAGCUUAUAUAGAUGCUUAUAGCAUUAUGGCUUAUAACAGAGCUUAUAUCAUAAGCUCUUAUAUUUGAUAAGCUAUUUAUGUUUGGAUAUGUACACUAAAAAGUACUUACAUAAAUUGAAGUGUUUGGAUGUGACAUUACAUAAACAAUUAUCGAAUUUUAAAUAUUUUUAAUUUAACAAAAAAAAUCAAAAAAUCGAACCACAAUUAUCAAGAUUUUUUUGAUAAAAAAUAAAGAUGUAAAAAACAAAUUAGAGAGAUGCUAUUUGGUACGGCAAUUACCCAACGAAAUUUCACGGACGCGUGAAUACUUUCACUUUCCACGCGCUACACUUUGUGAAUUUUUUUAAUUAAAAAAAAAAAAAAAAAAACCAGCUUGCUUGCUUAUGUGGAAAUUUGUGUAGACUGUAGAGAACAACAACCCUGGUCGUUUCCCCCAAAGAAAACAAACCUGUUCCUUCUCUUGCAAACCCAAAUCUCCUUCCUUAACAAAUUUAUGUAGAUUUGCUAAAACAGAAAGUGUGGUAAGGAAUGAGUGCAAGCACCGAUAGAUGCGGCUGAUUUUGGAAUUGCAGUAAUGUUGAACACAAAGGCCUUGCAAUAAUUUCAAUCUCAACUGAUGAAGAUUUGCUUGAAAUGACUUCAGAAUUUCCUAAAAUCACAUGAUAUGGAGGGUGAUUCUUAUGUUGAAUCUCACACUUGAUAUCUACUCAUUCAUUUACCAUGAUGACUAUAUGGGUUUUUGAGGUUCCUGGAAAUGUAACGAUGCAGCCUUUGGUAUGAUGAAUUCGUUGAAAAGCAAUUGUACUGUCUAAAUCGGUUUCCUUUCUCAGUUUUUUUUUUUCUUCUUUUCGGUGAACGGUGGGUUUCAUCUAUUAAAGGUUUUAUUAUUUAUUUAAUUUAAAAGAAAUGAUAUAUGUACAUCCACUUUUUGACAACUUUUUAACAACUUUCUUUCACAUACUCACAUUAUAGGAAGAGAGUAAAUAAAAGUUGUCAUUAAAGUUGUUACAUAUGGUUGUACAAAUAUCACAACUCUUAAUUUAAUUUUGUUUUUUCUGAAGUAUAAUUCACGCUCCCGUAGACUUCCGUACCUAAACUUCCGUACAAAAUAUCAUUUUCCAAUAUAUUAAUUAUAAUUAUAUAUAAGAAAAAAUUAACAUUAAAUAAGUAUAUAGUUACGUAACAAAAAAAAUAUUCAUAUAAGAAAAAUAUUAAUAUUUAAUUUCAUUUUGUUAUGUAACAAAAAAAUAAUAAAAAUCUUUCUUAAAAAAAGAAAAAAAUCUUUGUUACGUGUGUUAAUUUAGUAAGAUAAGUAUAUAACAAUUUUGUUACUCAUGCACCGCUAAAGAUAACUAACAUUAUAAUUAAAAUAUAUGUUUUGAAAAACUGAAUUCAGAGGGAAUCGAAGGAGGUUACAUAAAUUCAUAAGCUCCUUGUUAAGCAUGAGGGUAAGCUGAAAAUUUAGGCUUAUUAAAAUAUGACAUAAGCAGCUUAUGAAACUAUGAUAAACUAUUUUUAUUUUUUUAUCCAAACACCUUUAAAAAUGUUUAUGGGAGUAGAUAAGCCCACAUAAGCUCAAAAUAAGUCAAUCCUAAUGGGGUCUAAGAAUAAAAGGAGUAUUAAAUACUAUUGCGAUUUAACUCGAUUUGGUUUAAUUUUGAUAAAGUGACCAAAAUUUGAAUAACAUCCAAACGCUUAAAAAAGUGAGUUUUGUUAUUUUUGAUUUUCUAGAUCGAUUGUGGUUUUUUUUUUUUUUGGUUUGGUUUGAUCAAUCAACAUCUCUAAUUGUAUUUUGUUAAAUCACAAAGAAAUUUUAAAAGGAAAAAACUUAGGUACAAUUUCAUAGGUACUUUUCUUAUGGUUCUUAACUAAAUUCACCGUGAUUUUCUUAAAUCCAUAAUUCUCUCAAAGUUUGUUAUCUCUAAAAAAAUUGUAUUUUUAGUUAAGAACCAUACAAAAAACACCUACGAAAUUGUACUUAAGUUUUGUCCAUUCUAAAAAAUUGUAUUUUUAGAUUGAUGAUUUUUAUUGGAUGAUUUUUAUAACAUGAUAAAUCACUUCAAUCAAUUCGGUUAUGGUGGUGGAGGCCCAAGGGUGCGACUUUCUUUUUUGAGCGUCAUAUGGUUUGCUACCGUGUGAGAAAUUUGAAAAGAAAGAAAUAACAUGAUCUUAAUGGUAAAGAGUGCCCAAUUAUGCGUUUAAUGGACAAAAUUAAGUUACUUUCUUUCUCGUGGUUGAAGAAAAAAAUUGUUCAAUUUUCCCUCAAUUAUCAUGGAUGGUGGCUUAAUCCCUUAGCAGUGUUGGGUUAUGGUUGACUGUUUGUUUCUUUCAGCUUUGUUUUUUGCUGUUUUCGUUUCCCUUUUGUAAAUAUUGAUCGUUUGUUCCUUGGCACGUCUUGACUCUUGUGCUAGAAUAUUGUUUCAGAUUGAUUGUUUGUUCCAUUUUAACCUCUUAAAAAAAAAUUAAGCUCUCUCUCUUCCCCUUCUCUCUUGGAGCCGUCACCAAAACCCUAGUUUCUUCAUCUUCAUCCACCAAAGAGGGGUGAUUUAGGGUCAAUUUUUGACCUAAAAUCACCCAUCUAACCUGUUUUUUCUAUUUCCCUUUUAUUGAAAUAAGUGAUUUUCACAUAUAUUUCGUUUUUGCUUUCCUGAUUUCGCCGUCUUAGUGCGACGUUGUUUUUAUCGUCGUCUUUGUGCGACGUUGUUUUGUUCGUCAUCUUUGCGACGUUAUUUGUCUUUCUUGUUUUGUUUGGGUAUUUGUUCGGUUCAGAUUGUCAGAUCAGCUUCGAUCCAGUGCAGAUCAAAUCAAUGACUUUGGGUCAUCAAAAGUUGCAAAUCCGGAGACAAGGGUAUUCCGGAGACUUAAAUACAGUCAUAUGUGUAGGUUUUAGUACUCUCUCGUUUUAUGCUAUUAACAUGGAUGAUGUGAGUUUGUUCACAGAUUCAUCCUUUUCGUUUUUAACGAAUUUUCAUUGUAUCGAUGUACUCUAUCAAUUUGAAUUUGAAUGAAUGAAUAUCAUUUAUUUUUAUCAAAAAAAAUAUAUAUAUUUAGGUAUGCCCAUUAAACUCAUUUUAUUUCAAAAUUAUUGGACCACUAAAUUUGAAUUACGGUUGACUAAAGUGCCAAAAAUGUGAAAACUUUUAUUACUAGUGGGAUGCAGGUGUGCAACAGACGCACGAGAGGAAUGUAAGUUUUUUAGAAUAAUACAAUGGGUGUAACAGAAAGUGAUCCCCUUUUUUUUUUUUUUUUUUUGAAUAUUAAGAAAGUAAUUCCUGAAAAUUUAUAGUUAUGGUAUGCAUUUCUUGGCAGAAUCAUAUAUUAUACCCGAUUUCAAUUUUCCUUGCCUUUUCCCACUAAAAUUUACAAUUUUUAUUAAAAAUCCAAUUGCUAUGCUACCAAAAAAAUAUUCCAAUUUUUAUAGUAUGAGUUAGUUUUUUUUUUUUUUCAAAUGCAUUUAAAGGUCCCUUAAAUUUUUCAUUUUUUCCAAAGCCGUCCUUUAAGUUUCAAAAGUCACAAACAAGUCCUUUUAGUUUUUGAAUCGUUUCAAACAAGUCCUAUUGUAGAUAGUAUAGUUGGUAAUUACUUCCUUGAACUCAUCUUUGACACCAAAUCUGGCUCCUAACACCCACUUAAAAUUAGUCAUCUUUUUAGGCAUGUCAAAUGGUGGAUAAUGCUCUUUGUUGCUAUCAUCUAAAUCAUCACCAUCAUCCUCUAAAAGGACUUGUUUGAAACAAUUCAAAAACUAAAACGGCUUGUCUGAGACUUUUGAAUCUUAAAGAACGACUUUGUGCACUCCUCAUCUUAUCAUACAAUGCAGCACAUUAUUCGACCUCCUGCACCAUCUCAAUAGACAUUGAUACGGCAGCAAGUGCACGAGUAUAUCAUCGUAAUAAAAAAGUAUUAAUCCUCAUGAAUUUGUGAUUAUCAAUGUACCUUUUCGCCUAAGGCUAUGUUUGAAUAUUUUAAAACGAACGGAAUGGAGCGGAACGUAAUAGGAUGGAGUGGGAUGGAACGGAACGGAAUGAAAUAGAGUUUCCAUCCCACUAUUUGAGUAUUCUAUGGCAGAGCGGAACAAACUCUCCAUUCCAUUGUUUGAAAAUGGACGGAAUGGUAUACAUUAUAAUUUUUAAUUCCAUUUUUACCCUUAUUUUAAAAUACUAUCAUAUAUGGAAUUGCAUAUUAUAUAGCUUAUAAUAAAAUAGUAGCCCAAAAAUGGUUUAAUUUUGUUUGUAAAAUUGUCCAUCACGUUAUCCCCCAACAUCUCCAUAACUCGUUGAGUUUUCUACCAUUUUAUUUAUUUAGAUUAGAUUAAAUAGCAGGUCCACUGACCACGACAAGUUUAUCUUUAGAGGAAGUGCUUUGAUGUAUUUGAAUGUCUAUUGCUCAGGACAACUUUAAUAUUGGUUUUGAGGAGCUGCAUGAUCACGUGUUGUAGAGUUUGAUGAUGCUUUUGGUAUGUGCAGUUUGUCAUAAACUCACGAAGAAGAAAUGGUAGCAUAGAAGAAUUGGGUUAAAAACGUAAUUGUCUAAUUAGGAGACUUCAUUCCAUUUUUUUUUUUUUUUUUGUCAAAUAGCCUAGUGGUAAGAACUCACACAAUUUAAUUGUGGAGAAGUGGGGCGUCCGGGGUUCGAAACCCGGCCUCUGCAUAUAAUAUGCAAUAUCCCUACCAACUGAGCUAAAUACAUCCCAAAUUAGGAGGAAUGAAAAAUGAAGGAAGAUGAUGGAAUGGAAUGGAAUAGAUUCCAUCAUGUACCAUUCCAUUCCACUCAUUUUUUAAAUAUCCAAACAAUGGAACUCCAUUCCAUGGUGGCGUUUAAUUUGGGAAAGGGAAGUUGUUUCCCACCAUUAAAGGGAAGUUGUUUCCAUACGGUUCCUGUAACACCCUGUUAUCCCAACAAUUAAAUAUUAAAUAAAAUAUCAGAGUUUAUCACCAAAAUGGGCAUGCUACACUGCUUUUCAAAAUUCUUAAAUAGAAUAAAAUACUAUUUAAAUAACAUCAACUUUAAUAGUUAAACCAAUAAUUUGCCGCAUAAUAUUUUCAAUAAUAAAUAACAUCAACAUCCAACAAUAAUCCUGGCACAAAGGCCUCAACAUGAUAUUCAUCAAAAUUGUUCAACAACGAUAAAAGGCUACAUCAGCAUGUUCCAAAAUUGAUACAUAAGGAAUGAAAAUAAACAACUAAUUCCCAUCUCGUUACGUAUCAGAGCCUUAGACACUUGAGCCACCACUUUACUAUUCUUCAUCACCUGCAAGUUUCCCAUAGGAAGGGCAACAUUUCCAAGCAGAAGGGGUGAGAUUCACAAACAAUAAUAAUAGAUAUAUAAUUCAUCAAUUGAAUCUAACACCCUAAAUAUCAUCCAUACAUCAAUAUAAAUAUAUAUAUAUAUAUAUAUAUAUAUAUAUAUAUAUAUAUAUAUAUAUAUAUAUAUAUAUAUAUAUAUAUAUAUUUAUAUAGUCAACAACUUAUCAACAUAUGACAAUUUCAACCAACAACAACGACUCAUGCAAUGACAUGACAACACCACUAAGACUCCUCAACAACUGCGACUAUGCACAUGCAUGUGGUACCAUUUUACAUGGCAUAAACCCUCACCGAAUUCGAAUGGUUAAAGCAUUCACAGGGCAUAAGCCCUCACCAAUUUGAACAACAAGGUGUUCCAGGGCAUAAGCCCUCUCGCUUUGAACGACAAGGGUGUUCCAGGGCAUGAGCCCUCCCACUUUAUAUGAUUAUGCAAAGACUCCACCUGUGUAUAUCUACAUACAACUCGACAAUGCAUACAACGACAACCACUACUCUUAAAUGCAUAUAUGUAAAUAUGACUUCACCUCGACAAUCCAAUUAAUAAUACUUCAACCUUUGAAAAGAAUUCAACAACAUGUAUAAUUUAUUUAAAUAUAAAUAUACAUUACAGCCAGCAAUAACUCAUCAUAAUUAAUCCAACAAUUCCAGAAAAAUACACAAUUAAUCAUAAUCAUGCUCCUACAUCUAAUUCAUUCAACAUUAUUCAAUUACGUAUCAACAGCUUCAGAUACUGGGCAACUCGCCUCGCGAGUGCUUCUGCUCGUUAUGGCGAGCUCAGGAAAAAGGUUACUCGCUGUGGCGAGUACGAGGCGAACGAGAAAAAGGGUGCUCUCGGGAGUUUUGACAUUUUUCUCACUAAAUCUUCAUUUUUAAGCUCCCUAUUCAUCUUUUUAAUCUAAAAGUUGUCCCAGACCUCUCUAAAAAUAUCCAGGCACUCAAAACCAUCCAACUUAUACCUUAUAACAACAAUCUAAAAAUCAUGAUCUCUCACUCACUUACUCGCCAUGGCGAGUGGUUCUGCUCGCGAGGCGAGCCAAGAAGGUUGCUCACUCGCGAGGCGAGACAGACUACUCGCCAGGGCGAGCGAUGAAUCUUUGUACGGACAGAAUGCAGGUUUUUCCCCAAAAAUCUCAAUUUUCUCAAUUCACUCCCCAAAACAGUUUACAGAAGUGUAAUAACAUGCUGUAUGCAACCAGAACAUAAUUCUAACACUAAAACAAUGGUUUCUACACUCUUUUCACCCAAAAAUCAAAGAAUCAUAAUCUAACCCAAAUUCCCAAAUUUUAACCAGAACUAUGUUAAAACAAAAUCAGAAUUACAAUCUACACUAUUGAAAGCAAACCUCACCCUUACCUUAAAUCAGAUGAACAAAUUCUACAGGAUUCUGGUUCUCUUGGCUCUUCUCCCCUGUUCUUGGUUUUUCUCCCAAAACUCUGUUGUACGUAAAACAGUUUCUGACUUUCUCUUUUCCUAACUCCCAACACUUAACUCCCCCUUUAUUUCACUUAACCCCCUCUUAAUUCUAUUAAUUCUAAUUAAAUCCUCAAACUCCAAAAUAAUAAUAAUUCCCACUUAUUCUAAUUAAUAUCAAAAUAAAUCAUAUAAUAAAACAUAACACACCACAACAUCCACAUAAAUCAUUUAAAAUCAUAUAAAGACUCUAAAUAAAUCAUAAAUAAAUAAAAUAACGACUAGGGCGUUACAACUCCAUCCCAUUAUAUUCCAUCACUUUCCAUCAAUCCAAACAAAGCCCAAGUGUUCAACUAGAUUUUGUUUUGAUUGUUUUUAGAGUUCAUGUUUGAUUUAGCUCCGAAGAUAUGCAAAUUAAUAAAGUGUAUUGGAAUCAUUGGAGUUUAUCACUGCAAUGGAAUAUUUUCUAAUGUUAUGAGAAAUCUUUGCUUAAAAAUGAGGUAACUCGAAAUAUUUUUUGUCCUCUUUCAAGAAACAAGGUGUGUGGCAUACCAACAUAGCUCCAUAUUUUCAUGGUUUCUAUGUUGGUAAGACUCAUUGGACCAUAUUACUCAUCUCAUUCCAAAAACAUUUUGAUUGUUUCUUUUUCCAUCUUACGAGUUUCUCGCGCGCCCUAUGCAGGUUGGAUUAUAGAAUUCGAACGACAUAAACACCCCAUAAAAACCUCCAAAAACACGUUAAUGAACUCUUAGAGUGGAAAAAGUAAUGGCCAAAACAUGUAGGCUACUCUCAUUUUUCAAGCUCUUUGUCUAGCCUUAUAUUUCUAGCAACCAUAUUGUCUUUCAACAAGAAUGUUGUCUUGAUUUUUCUUAAAAACAUUAAGGCUAGAUUAGAGUUUUCAAUUCUCAGCAAAAGAAGAAAAAAAAUUUCAGGCGCUAAGUGUCGUUAGGAUACCCAUAAUCGUAAACGAAGUGAGCACUCACGAUUUUUUUUCACCACCAAAAAAAUUUAUUCUAGGUGUUAAUGAACUCGUGAAAUACUCAGCGAUUACAAGCCUUUCGAAAGACUUUUACCCAUGAUCAUCAAUUGCUCAAAGAAACACAACAAAAUUAAAUCUAUUAGGCUGUUACAAUUGUUCAUAAUGCCAAGUUCAUCUAAACCCCUAGACAUUCUACCAUAAAAACCUAAACUUCAAAAAAAAAAAAAAAAAUUGGAACCCCGGAAUUUUUUUACACCACACAAAAAAAUUAAAAGUUUAAGCCAUGAUUUGGCUCCGCCUCUACCCGCCAAUAAAAAUUGUGGGUGACAUUAAUGAAUUGAUAUAAUAGACUUUCCAUACAUGCCAUGUUGAUCAUUUUAUCACUUCUCCUUUUUUUUUUUUUUUAGUUACAUAUCACUUCUCCUUUAUAAAGUAAAAUUUGAAUCUCGACAAAAAUAUUAUUAAAUUUAAAAUGGAAAAUUUUAAAUUCAUGGGUCAAAUUCAAGAUUCAUGAUGUCAAAUUCAAUGAAACAAAUAGUAUAAAAAUUAUUUUUAUUCUAAAUAACCCGAAAUUUACCAAAGGAAGGUAUUUUAUAACGUAUGGGAAAAAGAACCAUUUUAUAGAGAAGCCUAAUCCAAAUUCCAUGCAACGGAACCUAAACAUCAUUCCUUUAAAAAAAAAAAAAAAACUAAACAUUGUAAUUAAAAAAUAGCAGUCAUUUAACAGUAACUUAUUUAGAAGUAACAAUCCAUAUAACUGUAUCUGAUAUUAGCACCUGAGCUCCCAAACAGGCGUAACAUACACAAGCACAACACAGCAAAGCAUUGAAUUUGCUUUGCUUUUGUCUAACACUAGUUGUCAUUCCAAUAUUUUCAGUACUAUUUUUUCGUCAAAUAAUUGAGUACAAAAAUCCCAAAAUCUGUUUCGUAACUCAAUUUGAGUCAACAAAUCAGAUUACUUCACACGUCACCCUACUUAAUCAACCACCAAAUCAGACCAUAAAUGCUUAAUUCCCUAAUUUAAGAACUGGAAUUAAACAAAAUAACAAUAAACUAAUAAUUUUCUCCUAAAAAACAAUAAACUAAUGCUAUUAUGAGUUUAUUCCUAGUGCGCAUGUUGUGCAUCAAAAAACAAAACAAUGGUAAUAAUUAGGAUACAUAACAAUUAACAACCAUUAAUAGUAUAAAUCAAUGGAAUUUCAUCGUAUAUUCAUUCGUAUAUAAUAUAGCAUACCCUAUAUAGGACAAAAAAUAAAAGUAAUAUAACCAAAAUAAAGCAAACAAUAUUUUGACGAUCGUCCUACUAGCCAGCAAAUAUGAGGUUGUAAAAAUCAAAAAGAAAUUGGAAAACAAAGAUUAUUAAUUAAUAUAAAUUAUACGAUUAGUACUACAACAAUACAACCCACUAACCCCAUUAAUUAUCCUAUAUUAAUUAAUUAACCAGAAAAGAAAUGGCAGGAUAUAGUUGUCGUUAACCGCAAAAUACCGAAAAUAAAGGAUCCUUCACAUUACACCACAAAGCCAGCUUUUCUUCCUCCGAUCCAAAAGGAAAAGAAAAAGAAAAAGAAAAAGAAAAAAACCUCUCUCUCUCUCUCUCUCUCUGUUGGUAUCUGCUUGCUAAACUCUCAUCAUAAUCCUCUCCGCCAGGUUUUAACUCUAAUCAUCAAAUAAAAUUAAAAAAAAAAAAAACCCAAAUCUUUUUCGCAGCUGUUUCUCUCCCACCGGUUGGGAGUAGUGGGGAGACAGAGAAACAAAACACAUUUAAUCAUUGAUCAAAGUGUUUCCUCUUAUCCCCGCUGUCCCAUCCGGCCCAUAAUUAAACCCUAUCUAUGCCUUCUUUUCAUUCUCAUAACAACUUUCUUAUUCAUCUCCCAUGCUUAACCUCACUCUCUCUCCACCACCAGUUCCACCACCACCACCUGAAUCAACAACACAUCAACCUCAUCUCCAUCUCCAUCUCCAUCUCCAAGUAAUUAUAUAUUAUUACCACCCACCAUCCAACAUCUUUUUGUGUGGUAAUCUUAAUUAUCAAUGAUUUAUGUAGAUACUACAUAAAAAUAAAUAAAUAAAUAAAUAUUGUUAUUGAUCGAUGUUGUUCAUGAAUACUUUAUCACCAAUCCUUACUUCAGCUUUCGACCUCACCACCGUAACAUUAAUCUCUUCCUUAAUUGUCCUCUCUGUUUUAUCUCUUUGUUUUAUUUUCCAUCUCCGUUUGAAAUCAAAAUCUUUAACCUAUCUUCAAGGCUUUAACUCUCUUUGGACCGUACGUUUCCUCCUCGUACUUUUCAUCUUCUUCUGGUGCAUCAUUGAACUUUUCCGGUUACCUUUUUUCCGGAGAAAAUAUCUAUAUCCACUUUCACCCUCCCUAGAUAUUACUCAACAAGCCAAUCUCUGCAAAAUCCACAUUGUUUUUUCUCUUGGAUUCUUUGAACCAGCUUUUCUCUUAACGUUGUUGUUUCUCCUCAACGCUUCCAUCAGAAAAAAGACACCAAACGACGGUUGGGCUGUAACCUUUGUGUUUAGCACGUGUCUUCCAUUAGGUAUUCUUCAAGGUUUACUUGUCUAUUUCAAUCCAUUGGAACAUCGUGUUCCGGCGUUGUUACGACAAACAUUUGUUAUUCUAGAAGACGACACCGUUCUCUGUGCUUACCCGUUCUUAAACAGCGUUGUGUUCGCGGCAUUCUCUGCUGCAUAUUGUGCAUGGUUAUUGUUCUCAUGUUGGAAGGUUUUAUCAUUGGUGAUUAACAAAGGAUUAAGGAUUCGAAUCUACGCAUUGGGUUCUGUCGUUUUGGUGGCUCUUCCUCUUCAGGUUGUGUCGUUGGCCUUCACCGUUCUAUGGAGUCCUGAAGAUGAUAUUUACGGCGUCGUUUCAUUGGUGGUGUUUUUCUGUGCUUUUUUCUGUGCUGUUGCUGGUGAGGGUAUUUUGGUAAUUAAGCCUGUUUCUGAUGCGUUGGCUGCUGGUGGAAACUGUUGUAUGUGGCCGACACGUCGUCAAGAUUCGUUGCCGGCGAAGGAAGAGAAGAUGGAGGAGGAGACAGUUGCUAUGGUGGAUUUAGAGGAAGGUGUGGCUCGAGGGUAGGGUGGUAAUUUUGUCCUGCUGAGGGAGGAUUUUUUGGCUACAUGUAUUUAUUUAUUUUCAAAGAAAAGAAAAUUGAUGAUUCUCUCUAUAUAAUUCUGUAAUAUGAAUCUGAACUGGUAUUUCUUUACUUUUUGGGUGAAAAGUAUUAUUCUUUUUGUUGUUUGUAUAUAAUUCAUUCAUUUAUUUAGUUAAUUUUACUGUGUUAUUCUUGUAUGAUACGAUACGAUCAAGCACUACAACUUCAUUGUUCAAGUUGUACAUAUGCACUUUUUGACUUAUUGUACUAAUUAAGCCUAUAUAUGUUUGGUUAUAAGGCCGAUUUUCUGCGUUUGCUCAAGAUUCAUGACACUUUUACUCAUUUGUAAGCUUAAUUAACUAAAGGUGUUUUUGGAGUUUCAAAUGCAAAACCAAACGCAUGUUAUGAGUAUCCCACUCCAUAGAGGAUGAUGAUCGAAAAAUCAAUCAUGAAAUUAAAAUAAUCAUCUCAAUCUCAAUAUAUACUAUGCUUAGCUUAGACAGAAGCUACAAAAUAUAGCUUUUGUAUUAUUGCAUUACAAAUGUUAUUGAGAUUCAAACAAAUCGACAAUCAAUCAAGUGAAUGGAUCUUCUCAAUCUUAUCUGGCCUAUCCCACAAUUGUUAUCAAUCUCGUUAAAUAGAAAAAGAUGAGAUGGAUUAUUAAUAUAAAUUGAGAGCAUCCAUUCCCAUUAAUGGAUUCUUAUAUCCACAGCUAUAUCUAGUGCAUAAAUUUUAGCUCUGAUUAAUCUAACGGUUCAAAUAUUAAAUAAAAGAACCAAUUUAAAGGUAAAGAAGUAUGAUGGAUGUCUCUAAGCUUAAUCUUUUCUGCGCGCACGUUCCUUUUCAUUCCAUUUUUAUGUACAAUCGUCUUCCAUUUCAUUUGCAAUGGCAAUUGAAUCACCUUAACACACUUGUUCCUUUUAUUUCUCCUUAUUUAAUAUUAAUCUCCUUACCAUUGCUGAUUUUUUAACAUGUACUGUAUAAGCUGGUUUUUUAAAACAAUAGUGCAGACAACAAUAAACCACUAACCCCCUACCAUUCUUUAUUUUCUUGUAAGAUAUCAGAAACAUUUUUCUAUUCAUUAAACAAAAUAGAGAUUCAUUACAACACGAUACAUUUUACUUUCGUGGUUACAAAUUAAUUUAUAUUUGUAGUAAAAAUAUAGGGAGGAUGCCUAAAAAAAAUAUGUGAAGGCAUUUGUAAAAGAGCUUGUUGUUAGGGAUUUUUUUUUUUUUUUUUUGGAAUAAAAACAAGAAGAUCAGUUAAAGAGAGAAAAGGCCCAAAUCAUUUAAGAUUUGAGAUACAACAACAAUACACAAGAGAUUUUGCUCUACAGACCCCUCAAAUUAAAAUGCUCACAGGCCCCUCAAGUUUUAUAAAAUGCUCUAGUUGUUUAACAGCAUCAGAUCCUAACUCCCAACCGUUGUAGUUAAUGAGUUAACCACCGAUCAUCUCAAGGAAUAAGCCUUGAUCCUAGAUCGAGACUUAAGAACCGAUACGUCUGAUGCAUAUAAUUGUAUCAUUCAGAGUGCAUGAAAUUCAUGUAGAAUUGUAUCAUUAGAAUCCAAUAUCAUUCAUGCAUAAAAUUCAUAUACACCGAUGGUUGGUAGAAUACAAAAUAUUCAUAAACGGUUUUAUGGCAUAAAAUUCAUAAAUUGAACGAGUUCAAUGUCAUGAUAUUAUAAUACUAAUCUACAAAAUUAUGUCAUGAAAACACCAAGAUACAUAAACAAACAAAAAAUUAACUAUUGAGUUUGUUUGUGUGCAAGUUAUGAGUAGCACCUCCUUCUAGACCUCACUCGAUAAUGGAUGGUCGGCUCUGUUUCUUAGACGUUCUGCUGCAUAGUAGAAUACUGAUCAUCGUAUUAUGUACUACUAUCCGUCCCUUCGAAGGCUAUAUUUCAAACUUUACUACAUAAGUGCAAAGUAUCUAGAAAUUUCACUUCAAUUCUUCUGCUCUAUCAAAACCUACAUAUUUAUCGGCCAAGGCGGAUGUCCCUCUAAAUAGGUAAUACCAUGGGAUGCGAAACCUUGUAGAACUAGAAAAUGUUACCAGGACCGGCCUACCACCAUGUCUUCAUAAAUAGACGUUGUAUGUCUUCAAGUAAAAUAUGCAACAAGUAAUCUAUAAAUGCCUAAUCCAUUUGAAAAAGAUGUAGUAAUCUUGUAAUACCAAAAAUAUUCUUGGAAUGCAAAAAAUAUGCAACAAUUAAUCUUGGAAUGUCUGAACUAUUAGGUGUCGUCCAAGGUACGCAGGGGAAGGUAAAAUCAUCCACAUAUGGCCCUUUCAAGGAAGGAACAUUGUUGCACACAACUCGACCUCAAUAUAGUUGGAGUCGAUUACAAAGGUAUAUCUGUGUGUGUCUAAAAUUCUCCAUGUCCCAAGCCUAAAAAAACAAACAACAUUAAAUUACAAACACAUAUAUUAAAUGUUAGAGAUCUCAAAUAUUACAAACAAAUAAUUAUCUACAUGAGAGUCAAGUAUUGAGUCAACUGCAUUCUAUGGGGAUUAGUCACCUCACCCAUGUGUAGGCUACAGCGGAAUCCCUGUAUGACCACUGAUUAAUUGUAGUGAGAUCCCAGAAGUGCUCUAGGUACAACACGUCGACGUACUGCAGACUCUUAUCAGUAAAUAUGAUGAUGCAUCAAACGAGGUAAAAUGAUAAGCUCUUAUACACUUAGUCAUAUGCCCAUCUCUGAUAGCCUUCAUCCCUGGUUCACUUUCAAGUUCCAAGGCUUUGGAAUGAUGGUCGAGGAAAACGCAUAUGAGAAUGCUGGUACUUGGUGUCAUAUUAGUCUAAGGUUGAUCGGGCCGUAACCCCCGAACCAAAGCGAUCAAGAUUUAUGCCCCGAUAGGUUGGGCUCAUAACUCCCAAUAGGGAUAUUUUCAUGAUUUCUAAAGGCAUGUGAGCAAUUGAAGGGACCUAUUGAGAAAUCUUAAUACACAAGGGGUAAAGUUAUGUCAUGUAAUGUUGGGCUCAUAGAUAGCUAAUAGGUACAAGUAAUGGGUUGCUCUGCUAUCACAAUUUAUCCACUUAUUCUUCUUCCCUUCAUCCUGUUUAUCUCAACCUCUCAUCUUCAAAGGUGAACCAACAAAGCUGCAAACUCUUUAAACCAAGCCAUAUAUGAUUAGGUCGAUCUCCUCUACAUCAAUUAUAGUCUUCAAUGCUUUAGACCUUGUCUCUUCUUCACUAUAUAAGCCUCUUUUACAUAACAUGAACAAAACAAAAAAAAAGGAACAGAGGUGUUUUAGUGGGAUAUGAUAUAUAUUCUUGAGUUUUUUCAUUUGUUUCAAGUCUUGAUGAAGUUUUUAGGUUGUCGCUUAUGGAAUUUUCAAAAUGAACGCACACAUCUAAACUGAAACACGUUCAAGCUGUCACCCGAUGUAACUAUAUACAGUUAGACACCAGCGGACGACGGUCGGCUGAGCUUUUCCAUCUUUGGGUUGCUUCGGAUUGAUGAUGAUUUUUGGCCCAAAACAGAUAGUGUCCAUCCCCUAAUGAAUGUCAUUAUGUGGAAAAUAGUGCAGUAAGCUAGUCUCUCCGACGUAAAUGGCCGACUGAUUAGCUUACACAUUAGAUUUUAUAAUUAUGCCUAAUUAACAUAACAAAAGAAAUUAGUUUUCCACAACAUAUAUAGAUAUUCAAAACUCAAAAUUCUUAUUAAAAGAGAUGUUCACGUUUAAUAUAUGAUAUGAUUUUGCCUCAAACAUAAAUUCCUUUGCGAAUAAGGAAAAAAUAAAAUAAAAACAUGGUUUGUAUUGUAGAUGGAGAGCCUGCCGUGAUCUAUUCCAUUUUUUAUAUUCCAUACUAUAUUUAGAAAUAGGUUUUCCCAUAAAAACAAAAAUAAGCAAGUCAACUGGAAUUGGAACAAUCCGGGAACUUGAGGUGUCUGCCGACAAAAACGGUUAAAAUGUUUUUUUUAUGAAAAAUAAACUUUUUUUUUUUUUUACAAAUAUGAAAAAUAAACAGUAAAAAGUUAAAGGUGUUAGUAAAAUGAUUUUGAUUGAUAUUUACAUUUCGAGUUGAUUUUUCUUUUGUUGAAAGUUUUGGAGUUGAGUUUUAAUACUAAUUGAAUUCAAUUUGCGACUCUUUCCAUGUGUUUUUCCUGACAAUUUAUGUUAACCUUCCCGUACCAAAUUCAAAUUUCCAGCUGUGAAUUAAAAAUAAAAACGACUCUCCUAAUCUUUGGGAAUUUUAUUUUUAAGGAUAAUCUCUUUGGGAUUAUUUCUCUAGCUGUUUCCUUUCGAGAACAAAUCUUUGUGUACACAGUAAGCAAACCCUAGAAUCAUCAUCAUCAUAAUAUUAAUAUAUUACUAAUUAAUAAUAUAUCAAUGACCCACCACCACAACACAAUAACACCCUUUUCCCACUAACAUCAAUAUUUGUACACCCUAACCUAACCUAUACUUUCCCGACCUUAUAUAUACAACCCUUCUCAUAUCCUCUUCAUCAUUCCUUUUUUGUUGUUAUGUAUUUUGUUUUCCAUCUAUCAUGAGCAAUAUCCCAAAAUCUCUCACCGACUCUUCCUUAACUCUCUUCAAUCUCACCAUAUCAUCUUCUGAUCCUUGGCCUUUCUCUUUUGUUUUCUUAUAACAAAAAACCUCCCAAAACCAAUUAAUCAUUGUUUAACCACUACUUGAAGUACAUUCAAUACACUUCUUGUUGUUGUUUCCUUCAACUUUGUGGGUUUGUUAUUCUUGUUAAUUAUGGGGAUUAGUAGUAAUCAUCAUAACCAUCACUUGAGUUUUCAUUUGCACAUUCCUCACCUCAAUUUUCAUCACCACCAUGAAAAGAAUAAGGACAUUCCAAAAGGGUGUUUGGCCGUGAUGGUGGGACAAGGAGAAGAGCAACAAAAGUUUGUGAUCCCGGUCAUUUACAUAAACCAUCCAUUGUUUAUGCAAUUGUUGAAAGAAGCUGAAGAAGAAUAUGGAUUCGAUCACAAAGGACCAAUCAUCAUUCCCUGCCAGGUCGAAGAGUUUCGUACCGUCCAAGGAAUGAUUGAUAUGGAGAAAUCUCACCACCAUCAUCAUGCUUGGUGUUUUAAAGUUUGAUUCAAUAUUAUUAUUACUACUAGCUUGAGCAAAUCAUUAUGUAUGCAUGAAACUUUUAUGUGUAUUUUUCUCUGAAUUUUCUCGUGUUGAUAUCUUUUAAGUAACAAAAAUGUUGGAUCUUAAUUUGUAGAGUUAUUUUUUCCUAUAAUUGUGUGAUAUCAAUGGGAAAAAUCGAAUGAGAAUCAUAUUGUGGUGUGAAUAAUAUUGUGUUUAUUUUACCAUGAAAAACAAUUAUGUGUAUGUAUAUCCUCAAACCUCUAUUUUACGCAAGCAUUCUCAAUCAAAUUCAAUAAUAAUGAUGUGUGUAGUGUGUGUAUCCAUCUGUUUGCAAUUUCAAUCUUAUGAUUGUAUAAAAAACUUGAGUCUUACAUUCCAAAAAAUAAAAAUCCAAUCUUAUAUGAUGAAUGUGAACACUUUAAAGUAAAUAGAGGUUCUUAAUUAAAAAAAAAAAAAAGGUGAUAGCUGUUGGAAGUUCCUAGCGUGAAAGACACGGUUGGAAUUUGGAAUAAAGAUAAAGAUAAACUUUAUUUUUCAUUCGUUUUUGCCCUUUUAGUUUGGCCCUACGCAAAAGAAAUAUCAACUUUAAGAAAUCUAAUAUAUGCAUAUAUUAUUAUUACAUACAAUAACCGCAUUAAGGAGGACUUGGACGUACGAAAGGGUUUUUGGCCUUUGUUUUUCAGCAAUUAUAUAUAUUCCGUUUAAUUAAUUUUUUCUAUAUGUAAUAAGGUAUAGUUGCUUUGCCUUUGGUUUCUUAAUGGUGGGGUUUUAUUAUGAUUAUGAUGAUAAGGAAUAUGUAGCAACUAGGAAGUUUGGUGGGAUAGUUGUGGUUCAACAUACUUGGCGUGUAUGCGUCGACUCAUUGAGUCAUUACAUUUGUCCUCUAUAUUGUUUAGCAAUUUAUAUAUAUUUUUAUUUUGAUAUAAAUAUCAAGCAUAUUUUUGUUGACAAAGUUUAACCAAUUUAUAUAUUCAUCAUCAUUACGUCAACAACCACAUUGGGUAAUCACAUUUUCCUCCGAAUAUGGGCGAUCUUGACUUUGAAAAAAAAAUAAAAAAAUCUAAACCAAUCACUAUGUUAGGAAAUGCUAAUCUUACAAAAUACUCGUUUUUUGAGGUUGUUGGCUGUCAUCAGUUGAUUUUUUUUUAAGAAAAAAUCAUAUAGAUGUCAGUUAUUUUGUACUAGUAUAAUUAUAUGUUAUUUGAGGGAAGAUUAGUUCUGAAAAUUUGGAAUUCGUUUAAAGUACAUAAAGUUUGGCUAAUGAUUAUUUUAGGGAUCAAACUCAAGCUCAAUAUUUUCGAUCAUUAUUAAUACAACUUUUUUAUAUCAAAAUUAACCUUCAUUUUGAUAUCUAAAUUAUCGGUAUAUCUUCUAUUUGAUCAUUAAACUAUAAAAAUGAUUCAUAGUUUUCUUUUUAAAUCUAUCAAGUUUGUCUUUGAAUUAUGAUUCUCUCUCCUAUUUAAAAAGUAGUUGUAACCUAACUUGACUAGGAAGCCAAAGUUAUAGACCAAAUAAAAUGUUUAAUAGUUAAGUUAUAGAUCAAAUAAAAUGUUUAAUAGUUCUUGAUUUGUGAAAAGAAUAAAGGAUCGUCUCUGGAAUUUGGUUUUGAUUUUCGUCCCUGUAAAAAAAAAAAAUUUGAAAUACAUCCCUGUAAAAAAAAAAAUUGUUUGAAAAAGGUCUCUGGUCCUACUAUUCAGCUAAUUUGGUAUGGUUUUGGCCACGUGGCAGUUGGUGACUGUGCAACUUUUGCCACGUGGCGUGCCACAUAAUAUUACAUUUAAAAAAAAUUAUCUAAAAAUUGUUUUUAAAAUUAAAAACAAUUUAAAAUACUGAAAAUAAAUUUUAAAAUAUUAAAAUAAUUUUCUGAUUUAUUUUUUUGUAUAAUUUUCAAAAUAAUAUAUAUUAUUAAAUUUUUGAAAUUUUUUUUUUAAAUUAAAAUUUUCGUAAAAGAACAAGAAAUUAGAAAAAAAAAAUUAUAAUUAUAAUUUAUUUUCAAAAAUUUUAAAUUUAUAACUUUUGAAAAUAUAAUUGUCAUUAUUUUUGAAAAAAUUUUAAUAUAUAAUUUUCAAAUUAAAAAAAUCUAUUUUUCAAAAAUUUAAUUUCACAUUUUUUUUUCAAAUUUUAAUUUUAAUAGUUUUUAUGUCAAAAAAUUAAGUUUUCGAAGUUUUUUUUCAGAUUUUUUAAAUUAAAAAAAUAAAUUUUCAGAAUUUUAUUUUUAGUUUUUUUUAAUUACGUGGAUUGACACGUGGCGAAUAACAUGCCAAAUCAGACAUGAAGUGGGAUCAGAGACCUUUUUCAAAUAAAAUAAAUUUACAUAAAUGUAUUUCAAAAUUUUUUUUUACAUGAACGAAAAUUAAAACUGGUCCAAAUUAUAGGGACGAUUAUCAUAUUUAAGCUGCGAAUAAAUAAGUAAGUAUCUAUGAGAAACUAUUAUUAAAUAAUGCUUGUGUUGAGAGAGUCUUCAUAUUCAUACAUACAUUGUUGUCCAAAUUCCUUCCUUCCAAUAUGAAUCGUGCCUUCACUAAACAGCAGCUUUUUACUUGUUUCGGCAGUCAAUCCAGCCUUGAACAACUAAUCCGGCAUGUUCUGCAAAUCAUAUUAUUUUAUUAAUCUCAACGUAACGUAUUUGUCAUCAAAAUUCAAAACUCAUACCCAUUCAAACUUUAUAAAAUAUUGAUGACAAAGUUGAGCUGAAUUGGUAUUUAUUUUAACUUCCCAUUAUUUGUCAUUCAACGCGCUACUUUUGGGACAAAUACAAUGUCAAUACUUACUUAUUCCUCUCUUUAUACACAGAAAACAAAUCAUUAUUAUUCUUUUGACAGAACAUAGAAAACAAGUGUUAUUUGAUAGAUUCUUCGAUAUAAAUACAUGUCAACUAACUUCAAUAUAUUUACGUUACUCUUCAACAAAAAAAACCUUUAAUCCUUGAAUUGAUGUUCCAAUGAACCAAAUUCUUAUAUAAAAGUAAAUAAUGACAAAUGAUAAUUUAGAAAACACUUGCUAUUAUAUUUAGAAAAAUAAAUUAUGUUCACUAAAUUUUUUAAUUAGUGUAGAAUUGAUUCUUUUGGUUAAAAUAGUACUUCAUCUAUCCCACAAAUAAUCAACUUAUUUUCAAAUAAAAUUUAUCCCAAAAUGAUUAGAGUACUUUUGUAAAACGUACUAUUCAAUUUUUUUCUUAUAUCUCCCCAAGAAAAUUUGAAGGCUAAUUUGUUCAGGUAAAUGAAAUACAUUUAAAGAAUUGACAUCUUCCAACAUAAAUUUUUUCACAUGCACCGCCUAUGAAUCGAGUAUUUGAUCAAAUGAUCAAGGAACCCAACUGUAUCGGACGAAUGGAAUAUUAGUCCAAGAGAAGUAAGCAUUAAGCAAUCAAGUAAAUUGAUUACUCUCAUUUUUUAUCAUAGGUUUCCUCCAGUAAAUUGACACUUUAUUUUGAUAACUCUUCUAGCCAUUAUUCGGAUAUUGAUUUGUCCUGUUGUGAGUAUGUAUCUCUUUCCGCGAGAACGAAUCGUCGUUGAUAAAUUUUGCUUAUACAAAAAAAGGUAAACCGUUUAUGAACAUAAUACAAGCGCGUCUAUAUUUCAUUUUGGUUUUUGACCAGUGCCACAAAGAAUAAUGUGUAUCCUUUCAAACAAGGAUCUAGACCAAACACACGUUAACAUUGCUCAUGGCCCAUGUUAAUUGCCGCAUUUCUCUGCCUCAAUAUUCUUGUGAAACAAAACAAAGUGCGACAUUUUCUGGCGUAUGAUAAAGUUUUGACCCAAAUAGUAGAAGUAUCUUUAAUCUUCACACGAAAUCUUACAAGAAAGCAAGUUGCAUUUGUGCUCACAAGGAAAAUGGGAGAAUUUUUACUUUGCACCACAAGUCACAUGAGGAACAAAAACAAUAUGCUAGCUACCUAUACUUUUCCAUGAUACAAUCUCCAACGUCCCUAUAAAAAAAUUGCUUAGACCCUCUGUACCAUUUCCCUUUCAAUUCAAAUUCAAAAAGAAAAAUGUUUCAAUUCAAAUUUAAAAAGAAAAGGACACAAACUAAUUUCAAUUUCAAUAAGUAUAACAAUAAAAUCUCCUUUUAAUCGUCAUAGCUAUCUGUGUCUUGUAUUUGAACGAAUUGUGACACCAUGCAAAUACUUUGUAUAUCCGACCAAGCUGAGUUUUCCAUCAGAUUUUCUGAUCCAAUCACCCAUUAGAGAGUAAGCAGAAGGACCCAAAUUCAUCUCCUGAAAAAACACAAUAUCUCGACGUGUUAAGUAGGUUAUUUUAUGGCGUUUUAGAUAAAAUUAACACAAAUCGAAUGUGCAAACCUGUGCCAACUCUUCGACUGAAAUGACACGGUUCCCUGCCUCGUCAAAAUAAUCAUAAGCUGUGGUGGCAAUUCUUUCCCAUUCUGGAUGAACUUCCAGCUGGUAUACACUGAUUGCAGCAGCGCAAAACUCUUCGAAGUCCAAUCUUUUAUAGGAGAGUGGAUCCAUCUUAUUUCAAGAAACACACAUUUCAGAUAUUUCAUAUUAGAUUUGCAUUCAAGAAGAAAAGAAAAAUGCUUUUAAGGAAAACAACAAAAUGUAUAAUAGUUCACGUAAUGAUAAAAUCCAAAUAUGAUCAUAUACUGAUACCAUCUGAACAUUUUUAAAAUAUAAACAAAUUAUAGUUACUUCCAACCACCUGUUUUCACUAAAUACCUCUGUCAAGAAAAUGAGCAAGACUUAAAGGUUACAACAUUUAAUUCAUCACAGUGGCCCCUUAUAUCAUCCAACUUCAUUUAAGUUUAUCAUAUGAAUCAAUCAAGACAUGGUACAUGAUAGGUUUGGAGCAAAUGGAUGAAGUUUGAAGAAAUAUAAAUACAUAUAUGAUAUAUAUCACAAAACAAAUACGACUUACCAAAUUUAGAAUGUCAGGGACCCUUGCCUCCUUCAUGGCGUCAGUUGCAUUUUUCAUGAGAGCCUGAAUUUAUUAUAAUUUCAGUUUAGAGAUUAUGGUUGUUUGUUUAAGAACACGUCUUAAUGUCAUAGAAGGAAUACAUUCGCAAAAAAAUCGUGCACUUACAACUCUGAAAUUCUCAAGUGAAAUGCAACCAUCUUUAGGUUCCAAGAGGCUAAAUUGUGCUCUGAGGUAGGUAACCUCGUCCACCGGCAAUGCUUUUGAGAGAGCCUGCAUAGAUACAGAGAAAAUUGAAAACAUAAAACAUCACUCUUCUUUCAUUGUCCACAGACCUCACAAAGGGAAAAGGAGGGGAGGAUAAAAAUGCAUUUGUAAUAAUGGUAGCAUAACAGGUGACUACCUUCAGUGCCGCACGUUUCAAUGGCGAGGCGCGCACAUAUGACUUGACUAACUUGUAAAUCAAAAUAUCUAAAGGAACGACAUUUUUUUCAUCUCUCAACCAUGGGUGAGCUGCAAAUAUGGAGGCAAUUUAAUAUUACAAAUCACGGAAUAAGAUUUAGGAGUGUUUGUGUGUGAGAGAAUUCAAUACAAACAAUUAACCAUUAAGUUAGGCAUGGUCUGAGCAAAAUAUUCAAAUGAAACAUACAUAAAGCUUGAGCAGCAGUCAUCCUUUUCCUGUGGUCCUUGUUCAAAAGUCUCUUCACGAAGUCUUUAGCUUCCGGUGAAAUUGAUGGCCAAGGUGAAUCAUCAAAGUUAGGAUUUGCUCGUAACACAGACCGGAAAAUUCCUGAUUCUGUCCGUGCCCAAAACGGUCUACUUCCACAUAACAAUAUGUACGAUAUAACUCCAACACUCCACAAGUCUGCUUCAACGCUGUAAGAUCUAUGGAGCACUUCAGGUGCAACAUAGUAGGCACUACCAACAAUAUCAUUGAGGCGCUGCUCUGCAUGUUUAUAAGAAGUCAGUGCUAUCAGUGCAAAAAUCAAUAGGAGAACAGAAAUGUUCAUAAAGCAGAAUGAAUGAUAUAUAGGAGUACUUAUUUUGAACAGUGGAGGGAGUCCUAAACCUAGAACUAAUGCAUUCCUGAGAUUCAUCUAAGCCUAUAAAUUAGUGAAAAUCGUUUGACAAGCAAAUCGAUGUAGGCCUGUAGGGCUUUGUAGGGUGGGAUUGAGAAGAAAAUAUAGAGAAAUCUUACAUUUAUUUUUAUGGUGUGUUUUUUUAGAGAUUGAUAAAUUAAUGUUUAUAAUUACUAAUUUUAAGAGUAUUAUAGCAACAUAGAUUGGAUUCGAAGAAUUUAUAUAAACCCUCCAAACUCCUCCAAUAAAAUUUUUUAGUUACUUUCUUUUGGGAGGAUUUUGUAGUAUAAAGAAAAAUAAACCCCUCAAAGUCCUCCUCCAAAAGUUUCAAUUUCUUCCACUUCUUCUUUCCUUUUUUUCAAAGCCCUCCCUUCCAAACUCACCCUUAGAUUUAUCUGUCCAUCACAAAACUAAUGACUGAUGAAUUGUAAUAUGGUAAAAUAUCACAGUUCCUAAAAUGUACUGUGUAGGUAUCCCACAAAAUAAGGAACUGUCAGACCAUAUUGCACAAAACAUGUGCUAUUUUAUUCCUCGGUUAUUCUACGAAAAAUUGAAUGUGAGAACUGAGAAUUCUACCAUGCAAGUGCAUAAUAUACUAGAGCUGAAACUAGGAAGAAACUUAAAUACAUGAAAGUUAGGUUGUUUCGAUCACAUUACCUGGUCUAACAAAAUCAGAUAGACCAAAAUCAAUAACUUUCAGAACAGCAUCCUCAUCUUUUGAGACAAAAAGAAAAUUCUGCAAAAUAGGCAAAACAUUUAGGGUUACAAGUUUAUAGAUUAGAGAAGUAAUUAUACAAACAAAAUAAUUCCUUGUUCACUGAAAGGCGUGGCCAAGUAAUGUAAGUAGUUCAAACUUCACAAUGCCGUACCUCUGGUUUUAGAUCGCGAUGAACAACUCCCUGGAGAUGACAAAAGGCAACUACAUUCAGAAUUUGUAGAAGAAUAACUUUGGCGUCUUCCUCUGUGUAUCUUCCACCUCUUCAUUAAAUAAUUAACAUCAAAAGAAUCCAAUUACCAUCAUGUUAUUUAAAAACCGAACUUCUGCAAGAAAAGUAAACAAAGUAACAGAUAGCAUAAAUAAAAAAACAAUCUUUCAGUUUUACCUAUCUAGAAUUCUGUCCAGUAAUUCUCCACCCUCGCACAACCUGACAAGAAGAAUAUCUCAUUAAUUCGACAUAAAUUACUGAUUUAACAGUUGUAUGUACUACCCAGCUGCAAAAUCGGUUCAUGUUGUGAACAAUAUUGAAAACAUGUACUUAUGAUGAAGUCCUUUACACCCAAUAACUUCAUGAGAACACAAAUCAACCGGUUGAUAAUGAAUAAAAUCCUAUCAAGACUGAAAGCAAUUUUCAGAUAUAGUUGUUUCUAUACAUACUCCAUCACAAUGUAGACGUUAUUCACAUCCUCAAAUGCAUCAUAAAACUUGACCAAAUUCCUAUGUCCAGAUAAGGCCUUCAACAUUUUCACCUCUCUCCUCACAUCUUCAAUUGCUAUUGCUGAAGUCAUCUGCCAUAUGAAAAUCAGUUAAUCGCAAUAAACAUCACAAAGCAAAAAUUACAGUGUGAGAUCGGAAAGCAAAAAAAAUUAAAUCAUAUAUCAAUUCAUGUUGAUAUAUGUCAUAAAAAAAAUAAAGCAACAAACAACCACAACAUAACAAUAAGUAAUUCCCCCACCCUAAAUUAAAAUUUACUCUCAGACACCAAUUUGAUUGUUUAGAGAAUAAUGAAAAGUUGCAGGAGUAUAGAGUAAGCUUUAGUUCAAGCUCGUCCUAGAAACGUCACCCAUCAGAGCCCAAGUAGCUAAAGUAAAAGUUCUAAAUUGUCUGAUUCAAUGUACAAUUCUUGUAAUGUUCAUCAAUAAGAAAGGUGUUGUUUGUUCCCUUUCUCCGUGAUCUCAAUUUUCCUCUCAUUCUUUUCUUAUUAAGCAUAUAUGCUACACUCCAAUUCAGUUCAUAAUGGAGUUGAAAAACAAUUGUAAAUCCGAGGUUGGUUAUAUGCGGUUUUUACUAAACACCAAUAUGUUUACCAAUGAUCUAACCAGAAGCCUAAAACAGCUUUUGUCAAACAAACGAUUUCACUGCACAAACAAAACGGUUUCGCCCAUCCAUGUGUUUUGGCAACAAAGGGAUAAUGAGCGCCACUACACAAACAAAGGAGCCUGUACCGGUUGAACCACUACUAAUUGGGCACAAAUAGAACCAAAAAUGCAAUGAUUUGCCCUUAGCUAUAGAGGUUGCAACUUCACAUUUUUCUUAAUUGUCUCAUGCCAUAUAACAAUUUUUGCCACCCAGUGCUACAAAGCUCCCACCACAGCAUGAUCUAGGGAAGGGUUGGACCCUUUGGAGGUGUACUGUAAGCAACCUAACCUUGCAUUUGUAAAGUAUAUAUGCAGAAACCCAAUUUUAAGAGCCAUGAUUUUCUACUUCUAGUCUCAUACUAACAACUCCGACUAUUUUGCUACCCUAAUCUCAACAAUUUAUUGCGAUGCUCCCAAGAAAUCAACCAGAGAUAAAGAACCGGUUCAGCCAAAUGUAGGUGUUAUCUGGCAUGAUUAAUCCUGCAAUGUUUGGCUUUCCAUACUUUUAAAUUUUAUUGGAAAAACAGGUUUUCAAGCAUUUUCCUUUCUCGUACUAGCAUCUACGUAGAUCAUGGCAGAUAAUGGAGUGUGGCGGCUAACUCCCAAAACACUAUAGUGGUAUGGCGGGUAGCAGUAUGGCCGUUACGUUGAAGUUUAAUGAAACAGUACAAGAAAUAUAUACCAUACACAUACAAACGCUAAAAAAUAGAGAAAGUUAACGCAAAAUUAAAGACAUAUUCAUAGUUAAUAAUCAAAAUUUAUUGUUACCAACAUUCAAACCAAUUUGAAUCGAUUAAGUUUCAAGGUAAAAUGACCACCAAGUUCGAAAGCAAAAAAGCGGAGGCACUGACUAUAAUUUGGCGGCAUGUUCGGAUUUUCGCGGGAGCUUCAUUGUAACGGUAACUACGCAACUGUUCGGCUGCUACUGCCGCUACUAAAAAUGUAACGCAUUGGAGUUUCUCGUUUAGCGCCUAUAUGGUACGCAACACCACAAUAGUAGCAGCCACUAUGGAAAACGACAUCUUACAUCACCAAUAAAUCCAUUUCAAACUUCAAUGCAAAACUACUACCUUACCAAAUUCCGUAACGCGUUAAUGGUAUUGGUAUGAUAUCCAUUCCGAAUAUAUCGACUAAACUCGAAACAAAUUCAAAUUCAGCAUCAUAGUUUUCCAAAGAGUGCUUAACCGCUAAAUUGAGCUUCCAAAUUCAAAAAGUAAAAUGGAAAACACUAUUCACAUAUUACAUUUCCCACUACAAUAUGAUCACAAAAUUCAAAUCAAUUAGAAAAAUACUCAGAAAAGUCAACAAUUGAUCCUAAAUUGACCAAGAGUACUAAACACGCAUAAAAUUAUCUUAACAAUUGACCUUCAAAUUUUAAAGCAAUCAUAAUCAUAAUCAUAUAAUCAAAAACAAAUAAACAAUAUAGUAUGAUCUUAAUUUUCACCUUAGCUUUGGUAAUGAUUUUGACAGCUACUGAAAUUCCCUUAAGUUCACCUUUCUUCCCUUUAGCCCAACAAGUAUGACCAAAAUGCCCUCGACCAACUUCCUUCCCAAGCUCAAAUUUCGCCCCAAAAUUCUUCCCAUACCCAAAACUCUUAUCCAACGUUCUCUCUCCACCACCACCACCUUCUCCAUGCUCCUCCGGUAUAGGUCCAUCUUUCGGUUUCAUCUUCCGGUAAAGGUCCAUUAUAGGCUUCGCUGGUGACGGUGGAGGAAGUGGCCACCUGAAUUUCCUCCCCGGAGUCUUCGUCGCCGGCGACGGCAUCACACCUGCCGGAAGAGGACUAUUGAAAGGACUUGUGGAGAAAGAGGUUGCCGGAGUUUGUCUUCCCGGAGUAGCAUCACUGACGCCGGAAACAGGUUGAGAAACCGAAAGCGGUGAUGGUGUGUGGUGCGGUGGUGGUUUGUGGUGGUGAUCGGUGGCGACGGUUUCGUUGUCGACUGCGAUGCUUUUGCUGCAGCAAUGACCCAUGGUUAGGUAGCGUAGGUCGGCGGUAGUGGAUUGUUAUCGGUGGUAGUCAAAUAGAGAGAAGAAAUGUCGCCGGAGAAAUUGAGAGAGAAGAGAAAAUAGUGUAGAGAGAGAAAGAGAAAGUAGUAGCAGAAGAAAAAAAUUAUUAAGACAGAACGCAAAUAAAUGAGUUAAAUUUUUAUGAAGUUGUAAGAGAGAGAGAGAGAGACUUGUUUUUUUGACACAGUCCAACUGUAUUCAUUUAUGUGUGAAACUAAAUUGCUUCCUACGUUAGUUGGUUGGCUCUUUUUGUCUACUUGCAAAACUGUAUAUACUAAUUUAUCUAGUUAAAAUGUUGAUAAAAAAAUUCUUUAAAAAAAUUAUUUAUCAUCUUAUUCAAGUGUUAUCGGGUCUUUUUUUAUUUGAAGUGUUAUCAAGGCUACAUUCUUUAGAUCUUUUAUGCAAUUUAGUAUAUCUGAAUUUGGAUUUUAAAUGUUUUUAUUCUACAUGUUAUUUUGUUAAUGUAUCUUACUUUAAUUUAUUGGUUUGAUUUAUUCUUUAUAGCAUAUCAUUUUUUUUAUUUUUUUUUACAAAAUAAUGUGUCUUUUCCAUAAUAGAAAAUUUAGAUAUGGGAGGUACGCCUCAUACAUACAGCAUAGAAUCUCUUAUCUUAUUGUGAGUGUAAACGUAAUAUUCAAUUAUUUGCACUGACAAUAAUUGUUGAAAUUAUGUUGCGUAAUAUUUGUAUAAUUUACAAAUGAUCUCGAAUUUUAGAAAUCAAACGAUUUUGUUUGAUAUUUUUUUUUAUGAAAUACUUCAUUUCAUUUUUAAAUAAAGGUGCAAUACAAAUAAUAUAUGUACAUAAAAUGGAUGAGGUUCAAUUAAAUAAAGAAUAUUUUGUAAAAAAUAAAAUAAAAAUUAUAGAAAAUUUUGCAAGUUAUUUUUGGUUGUUUGAUAAAGAGAUUUUGUAGGAUUAUUGGAAUUUAUAAUUUGCUUAUCUCCGAAUAAACUUCACUAAAAUUAGUCAACAAAAAUUAAUUAAAAAUUAUAAACAAAGAUAAAAGAAUAUUUAAUUAUUAUUAUAAUAUAUAAUUAAAAACUGAAAAUGUGUAUGGCAGGUAAAUUCAUAUUUGAAAAAUUCACCAGAUUCAUUGAAUAGUAAUGUAUAAAAAUACGAAUGAAAAAAAUUAAUACUCAAAAAUUAGAAGGACAGAAUAUGAGUUAUUUAUUUUUUCUUUAAAAAAAAUGAAUUAGUUAUUUUUUUUUGGAGGAAAUUAGUUUUUUUGCUACAGUAUGAAUUUGUUUUGAAAUAACCUAAUAGUGUGUUUGGGUGGGGGAAUAUUUUGAGGUGAUGUAAUGUUUUGAGGGAAUUCAAUUAUCUUUAAGUGGAUUCAAAGAGUAGAAUUCACCUCAAAGUAAUUGAAUUCCCUAAAAAGAUUACAUUCCCCAUCCAAACACAUUCUAAGAUUAAUCAAAUUUGGAAAAUUGUACGGGCUUGGAAACAAUGAUUAUUUAAUUAUGAUUUUGUUGUCAAAAAAGCUAAUGAGAUAAAAACAUAGUAUUACCUUGGAAGACAGAGGAAUAUUCGAGGAUUUUGCCAAGAAAAGAAAACCACAUUUCUCAAGAUCAACUUUAUUGUCUUUUGGCUGAAACUAUUGGUAUUUGAUCAAGGAAUGGCAUCACAUUAACAAUUUUGUGGUAUACUUUUCUGAAUAAUGUGGUCUUUUUUUUUUCCCUUUUUCGGUCUAGUUACGGUUUUUUCUUUUCCUCUUUGAAUAAUGCCACAUGCAUUGAAAUUUGAGUUUGGUGUUGUUGAACUACAUUAAUUGCAAUAGCAGAAGGGGCAAGGCACUUGGAUACAACUUUCUUUUGGGUUACGGUUCAAGCAAAUUAAAAACUGAAAUUUUGAUAAAAUUAACGCACCAAAAUUAGUAGUUUAAUGCCAUGAAAUUCCUUUUUGAGAGAAUGCCAUGAAAUUCCUGCAAACCAUUUGUUAUAAGUUUAGAUUAAAUACUACACCGUGAGUAUAAUUCAAAUUAUAUAUAAAAGUAUGUGCUGCUCUCUUUCCUUUUACUGAAAAAGUUUGUGCUACCAUAUUAUAUAAUUCUGUAGUGUUGCAAAUGGUUUCCGUGUGCUUACUUUUUCUAUCUCUACUAUAUGGUCUAAGGGUUGACGAGACAAGUAGUAGUAUUAAAAAAAGAGAAAAAUACGAUACUACGUAUGAAUUUAUGACCAUGCAUCUACGUUGACUGAAACAAAUCGCCGAAUUACGUUGUCAUCUUAUCAUCAUCGGACUUUAUGCAUUUUUUGUGCAUUUCUUUUAUAUUUUGGUUACAAUGGCAAAGAAAACAAAAAAAACAAGAAAAACAAAAAGAAGAACCUAAGAUCUCAAAGUUCCAGUAGCAUCAUUCCUCAGCAAGGGAAGCAGGUCAUUUGGGGGAGACGGGUGAAGAACAAAACCAUCAUCUAAAGAGGCUCCUCGCUUAUCUAGAAAAGUUGCGCAUUGAUUGCCUACAGGGAGCGUGUGCUAGAGCGCAUAGUUGGCUUGGGCAUGAAGCACUUUUAUUUCGUGGAUGUGAAUCGUGUGAACAUGGAACCUUGAGGUGUUGCCAACAAUAAGGUUGAUAGAGAGGAGAGAGUUUGAAUAACAAACCAACUCAGCGAUACCCAUCUAUCUUGCCAUGGAGAGUCCAUUAAAAAUUGAUGUCAGCUCGACUUGAGAACCCUACUAGAUUAAGCAUGUGUUGUUACGUAUAAUGCCACCAAAAACUACUCAAGUCGAGCUGCCAAUACAACUCCCAUCAACUUUGAGGAUUGCACAAUCAAAAUUAUUGUUAUUCCACCUGAUAUGCCUUUCGAGAGGUACAACUGGAUUGGAAGGGGAGAAGCUUAACCCCUGAUAUCUUCCGCUAAAUUCUUGAUGUUCAAUGUCAGUUGGUUAAGAGUCAUUCAAACACAUUGAAUUGCGGCAUCUCCAAGUCCACCACAAACCUACUAAGAAAGUGAUAGCAUUAGAUUCCUUCGUUCCAUCCUUUAGCCAACCCACCACACAAUCAUAGGCAAGGAAGGAAGGAUCGGUGUAGCCUAAGUGAAGCCAAAUGGUCCUCGAAAUCAUGUAGUCAUGAAUGCAGUGGAAAAGGGUAUCUUCGUGCACUCCACAGCGAGAGCAAAUCGAUGAAGGAGCAAUAUUUCUAUGGUGAAGUAGAGAUAGAGUGGGGACAACAUUGUGACAAGCUAGCCAAAAUGAGAGACUUGUAUUUUUUCGAGAUUUUAAGUCUCCAAAUCCAAGACCAGGAGAGAGGCGAGUUGGUGACGGUGUCUGUUCCGGGAAUAUAUAGGAGCCAGUUUAACCGCUUUUGGUGGAAUAUACUCCAUUCUUGUUGAGCGGUCAAAGAAAAGCAUCUUUUAUUGCAUCAUUGAAUCUGACGUUGGCGUUAUUGAUGAAAUUCACUACUGCUUGAGGAAGAGGGGUGUGCAGAGAUAUAGAUCGCUGCCUAUUAAUGGUGAGAACAUCUUUGACUGUGAGAUGGAUUUCAUGGAUGUCGAUUACAAGGACCUGAGAUCCGAGAAAACCAAAAUCAAUCCAACAAUUGGACCAAAACGAAGAAGAACCAAAUAUGUAUUUCUCUUUUUAAAAUCUAUUGAAUUUUCCCUUUAUUUAUUUUUACAAUACACACACACACACACGUGAGUUAGACUUCGAGAAAUCACUUUAGCCGAGUAAACAUACUUAUAGAGAUAUUUACAUAUCAUUUAUCAAAUAGAUCCUCACAUCGAUAGUGAGAGUUGGACUCACGACUUUGCAUAUAAGUCAUUCCUUAUCAACUAUACCAAUACUCAUUCAUUUGCAUAUAAGUCACAUCGAAAAUUGAGAAGCUCAUGUGUAAAAUGUCGUGAGGGUCGAAAGACUUUCAAUUCUCCUUUAAACCUUAUGAAGGGAGAUCGUGUGGUAUCUCAAAUAUAUGGGACACAAUUGUGUUUGUUGCGAAAUAUUUCUAUAAUAUGAAUAACACAUUAAUUGUAUCAGGUAUAUUUGCAACCCACAUCAAUCAUUAUGAUUUGUAGGAAAAUAUAUUUUUAUGGCAACAAUUAUAUGAUAGGGUAGUAGGUGAUUCUCGUAUGACUUGAUGUGUAUGUGGAGGUUUUAACGUAGAUAGAUAUGAUAUGGAAGCAAGUGGAUAGUUGAUUAUUCUAGAAAGGGUGGCAUGAGAAUUUUUAUAGCGUGGGAGUGAGAAAGCUUGUAAAACUCAUUAAGUUCAUUGGGACAAAAUGUGUUUACCUAAAGAGAAAGGUGGUUGAGUGUGAGAAAUUCAAGAGCUUUUAGUUUUGAUCUCUUAGAAAAGUGGUGUUGGAGGUUAAUAAGGAGAGAAGAUGAAUAUCUUUAGAAUAAAAACUUUGUAAAUAAAUGGGAUGGUAAAUAUGGAAGGAAGUAGAGAUUCGUUGUGGGGGAGAGACAUUUGUAGCAUCGAUAAAAGUGAUAAGGGGAGUUGAGAUAGUCGGCUGAGAAUGUAAUAUUCCAUUUGUGUGAGGAGUUAUGUAUUAUGAAUGAAACAUUUAAACAUAUUAACAUCUAAGUUAUGGUCAGAUGUUUUGUCUUGGCUUGGUUUGUUGAACAGCAACAUCAGUCAUGUUACACAGUUUAUAGAUUUAGUUUCUCAUGGGAAAAAAAACAAUGGAGCUUCUUCAUUUGAUGCAAAUGGCUUGCUUGUUGAUUAUUUGGUGGCAACAUAAUCAAAUUGUUUUAAAGUGUGCAUGAUUACAUUCUCAAGUUGAAUUCAUGAUUGUUAGGAGAUCCAAGAAUGACAUAGCAUCUAAGUUAUUCAUAAUCUAAAUGAACGAAGAGGAUUUUCAAGAUCAAGAUGGAGUUGAUCAAGCUGAAUCAAAGAUGCAAUUUUCUCUGGGUCAAUGAAAGUCAGAGGAAAAAGAUAAAAUGUCAUAUGGAUCAAACGUUGCUUUAGAAGAUUCGCUCUGAAGGAAAUUAAAGCAAUCAUAUAAAUGACAUAAACCUUAAGAGAUCAUAAUCAUCGUCUGGUCUACAUAAUUCGUUUAGACAAUCCAACAAGAAGGAAUCAAAGUUAACCUUUUUAAUAACUAUGAUCCUCUGAGUAUGCUCCAACAAAACAUCAAGUAGACUUUGUUCGAGAGUUUGGAGGGGAGGGGAGGGGAAGAGAGAGCUAUGAAGGGUGAUAAAUAUAUAGAAAAAUGAAAAAUCUUUAACAUUUUUCAAAAGAGCAAUUUUUUAGAGAAUGCUAAACUAAUGUUUAUGAUUAAUAUAUUUUUAAUUUUAAUAAUAUUAUAAUAAUGUAUAUUGAAUUUGAAAAAUUCAUACAAAGCUCGUAAAACCCCCCAAAAUCCUAUUCAAUAUAAAUUUUGAGUUUCCAUGUGUAGAGUUUUGUAUUAUGAAUAAAAACUCAACCUCAAAAACCCGCUUCUCCCACUGUCUUAUAUUUCUUCCACUUCCUCAUUUCCUUCAAAACUCUCAAACAAAACCUUAGAGUAUUAAAAAAAAAAAAAACCUUCUACAAAUAUUUUGAAGUAUAACGACGAGGCUCUCUCUUUCACUCUCAACAUAAGAUGAAGUACAUCUAUCAAAUAAAUGGAUAUCUUUUGACUUAUUAAUUUUUAACAAAUAAACUUACUGUUGUAGCUUAAUAUAUAUCAUUGAGGUAGCUAAUUUAAAAACAUACUAAAUUAUUCGUGUUUUUUUAUUUUUUUAUUUUUUUUUUAUUUUUUUUUAUAGCCAAAACUACCCCAAUAACAUGCAUGGCUUUGCCCCUAUUUCUCAAAACCAUUUUCACCACGAGAAAAUACCAAAGAGUAAUACAAUGACAUACAUAGAAUAUGUGUCUAAUGUAACCUUUUCAAUCCCAUACAAUCAAUGAAGAACAAUUUGCUCCGAUUCAAUUUUUUAUGAAUAUUAUUUAUGAGAAAAAGUUUAGAUUAGUCGAGUAACAGGAGCUCAUGAGGGGCAGCGCAAGUCUCAAGACUCAAAGCACGUUUGCUAUUGAAAUAAUUACAUAAACGAGAAAAGUAACAUGUAAGAUUGUUUAAAAAAUAUAUAAAUACAACAUAUUUGGUUUGACGAUGAUGUAAAAUCGAUACUUAAACCAAUAAUAAUCGAGUUUGUUCGGUUUAAUUCAGUUUUGGGAUAAAACAAUAUCUAAAUCUCAUGAAACUUGUGUUGUGGUUAAGCAUGACUCAAUGACAAAACCGUUUUAUUCAUUUUAAUUCCAGAUUUGACGGGAAUCAAUCACGUUGGUAGUGAUGCUAUUUAACAAGGUGCAAAAAGUAACUCAAGAAACUUAUGAGUGGGGGCAAUAGAGAAGGCCCAAAGAGAAAACAGACAAAAAGAAGCAGAGUACGAUGCACGCGCUUGUAAGUAGCGUGAGACGAUAACAUAAAAUGUAAGUAAAACAACGUAGUGAAAAAGGUGUAUAUAAUGGUGUUCACACCGUGCCGGUCGAAAUUCGCCACAACCAAUCAUCUUUCACCAAAAAACCCUUUUUCUCAUUUCAUUCUCUUCACCCUAAUCGCAUCGUUUUCUACUUUGAAGUUUGUUUUUUUCUUCUUCUUUCAAUUUCAAUUUCAAUUUCUAGGGUUAGGGAUUUCUAAUUUUCUAUUUAUUUUCCCCCUUCUGGGGCACUUUCGACUGUUGUUGUUUAAUGGAGGCCACGGCUGCCGCAGCUGCCGCCGCUCGCGGCGUUGCUCUUCAGUUGCAGACCCCGCCACGGAAAGAAUGGCGUGCUGUUGCUGAACAUCAUCAUUCUGCGAGAAACCCUGAUGAUGAGGUACUGAUUUGAUGUUAAAACACUUCACAUUGUUUUUUUGUAGUGUGGGUUUGUGCGUGGCAGAGAAAAGCGUUUUUUUUUAAUUGGAGUUAAUCGUAGUUGAUUUGGGUUUUUGGGUGUUUUUAGGCAUUGAUUUGGGAUUAGGGUUUACCAUUUUAUGAUGAUUAGGGUUUACCAUUUUUUGCAGUGCUUUUUUGCUGUUGUCGUUUUAAGCAGCGAGUUUUCUUACUUUUCCAUGACUUAUGCAUCAGAAAAUCGAUGUCACAUGAUGUUUGGAGCGAAGAUUAUAGUUUUACUGUCGGGUUCAGUUGUCUUUUUUUUUUUUUUGGUUGCUUGCAUUGAAUCCAAAUUUUAAUUGAGAUUGGAAUGUGCUUUACUUUCAAGUUGCUGGCCAUUUGAACAAUGUAGUCUGAUUGCUAUUUUUAAGUUGAAUGUGCUUAGAGUUCAGACUUUUGCUGUUGAAGUUUAAGGUUACCAUAAAGUUUGAACUUAUGGUUUCAUUUACCGAGUAAAGAUUUUUAGAUUUGAGUACCAAAUAUUUGAUAGCUUACCAUUGUGUAAGAUAUGUAAAAGGGAGCUUAAUUUUGAUUUUGUUGUUGCUGUUAAUUGUUGUGUUUGGUUGAUUUGGUUGUUGAUUAGCUUUUUUUGGGGUGCAGGAGUUAGAAAACCCAAAACUUGGGCAAUCGGACGAGAGAACCAUAUAUGAGGUAAGGUUUCGGUGUGAGAACCUGCCUUUAAGUUUUAAGGGAUCUAGAUCCCGAAGAUAAUCUCUUACUGUUUUUCAAGGUGCAGCAAGGAAGAGAGCCCCUGGAUGUUGAUUUUUGUUCGAUGACAAUGGAUGGAACACUAGACAUAGAUAUUUUACAGCAGCAGAUCCUUAGUGCUGUUAGUCAAAGGCGUGAAAUACUUCAAAUGGAGAUUGAACUAAAAGCUCAAAUCAUCGCCAGAUCUGAGCUGUUGAAAAUGCGAAACACCUAUGAUGCUCAACUGAAGGAGCAUGCUAACAAUGCCAGCAAGUUUCAGGUGUACAUUUAAACAUUUCAUACGUAUAUUUGGAUACUCAAGACUAGGCUGAUCUAUAACUUCUGAAAAAAUUGGUUUCCUCAGGUCAGGUGUUAAAAGAAAACCAAACUUUUAGAUGCUUAAUUGUAUCCUUUACAACACCUAGGAGAUUAUAACAAUUUUAGUGACACUGGUGUAGCAGACAUAACUAUUAUAUUCUGAUGGCUUAAAGGGGCACUUUAUCCUUAAGUUACCGUACUUUUAAGUUUAAAGAUUUGCUCCUAGCCUCCUACUGGUUAAGAAUUGUUGGUCGCUUUUAAAAAAAACUGUUUAUCUGGCCUUGCAGGAGCAACUUUGUGAAAGGGAGCGUGCAAUUCAUGAGCUGGAAAGGAAAAUGGAAGAGAAAGACAGGGAGCUACAUAAAAUUAAACUAGAUAAUGAAGCGGUGUGUUGAAUGCCUCUUAACUAUCUUAUUUCGGUUUUCUGGAUCUUAUUUUAGUCUCUUGAUUUCAUGCUAAUCUCUUCAAUUAUUUCAUUAGGCGUGGGCUAAACAAGACCUUCUUCGUGAGCAAAACAAAGAACUAGCAUCUUUCAGGUUAUUCUUUUAUCCAUAUUUAUGCAAUGCUUUAAGUUUUGCUUUCAUCCUUCGCUGCUUGCUUCAUUGAGCAAAUCGUUUUGCAGAAGGGAGCGUGAUCAUUCAGAAGCGGAAAGAGCUCAACAUAUACAACAAAUACAUGAUCUGCAAGAACAUAUUCAAGAAAAAGAUAGACAACUUAUUGAGUUGCAGGAACAGGUAGCAUGCUUGUAUUUUAUGUAAUUUCUUUUGAAAAUAAUUUAUUUAAAGUUUAUUCGCUUACGUGGCCAGCUGAUGUUUCUUUCAGAAUAGGGUUGCGCAGGAGACAAUUAUGUUUAAAGAGGAACAGAUUAGAGAGGCUCAAGCAUGGAUAACCCGUGUUCGUGAGAUGGAUGUUUUCCAAUCAACAACAAACCAGUCAUUACAGGCUGAAUUGCGAGAGCGCACGGAACAAUAUAAUCAGCUAUGGAUGAAUGUACAGAGACAGGUUGAUCUACAUUUCUUAUCUUCUACGAGGAUUAUGUUUCAUUUUUUACCCCAAAUAUUGUUGUAUGUCCUUUUGUACUUGUGUCUUUGUUUGCACCGUUUUGAAAUAGAUAUUCAAUUCACAGCUGUGAUUUGGUUUUGUAGAUUCUUUGAAUUAUUUUCAAAGAAUUUGAACUUCUGAGCUUUAUAAGCAUUUUUUGGUUUGUUAUAGUAUGUCAUGUCAUUACUUAAAAUAAUGAUGGAUGCUGCUUAACUCUAUACUUGUUUUUUGGUGGCGGUAGUUUGCAGAGAUGGAGAGGCAUCAUUUGCAUGCUAUGCAGCAGUUACAGCUUGAGCUAGCUGAUGCAAGAGAGAGGACUGGAACUUACAAUGAUGACUCUCGAAUGUCCCAAGUAAAUUCGAAAAGUAACGUAGCUCCAUAUGGACAGGAAAAUGGAAAUCAAUUUGACUUGAAUGGAGGCAAUGCUUCAGGUGGAAAUACUGGUCUCCUUACAAAUGAGAACUCAGAUAACGGUCCUCCAUUUUCAACUUCAGGCAAUCCGUCAAUUCAGGUGCAGUGCUUCAUUUAAUGAAUUAUAGAUAAACAGCUAAGCAUUUUACUUUUGUUUUAUUCCCAGAAAUUUUAUUUGCAAUGCGUCUUACAUGCCAUUUGAUUUUAUACCUAAAACAACUCUUUCAAGAUGUCAUUUGAGAUCAUAGAUUCAUAAUGACAUAGGUUAUGAAUGACUGUUUUGUAAAGUGCCAUGUGGGUUUUCAUCAGGUAUCAAAGCACUACAGUAGCUUGUAUAUCUUCUCAUGAACCAAGUGUAAGGGAAUCUGCUCCUCUAAAAUGAGGAGCUUUAGAGAAAGGUAUCGGAGCACUAGAGUAGUUUGUAUAUCUUCUCAUGAACCAAAUGUAAGGGAAUCUGCUCCUUUAAAAUGAGGAGCUUUAGAGAAGAAGUGAGAUGCUAACACCAUCAAUGUGAAGUUUAGAUCUAAACAAUUUUAUAUUUUGACAUACAUGUUAUACACACUUAAUUUCAGCUGUUGUUAUUUUCAUUAAAUGGCUUUCACUCCUGUCUCCUCCUGAAGUGAAUACAAAAUUUGAGACUGAGUAGCUAUACAUGGCUGUUGGUGUUCUUUAGCUCUGCCUUGUGCCGGUCUAUUGAAAAUUUUGUGCCCAGACUAGGAGGUUCAAAGUGAUAAUUGAUAUCUUUUCAAAACAAACUAUUGAAAAUGCAAUACAUGUAAUGGUUUGAUUUGAAGAUUGAGAUAGUUGUUAAACAGGAAUGUUGAAUCUUUUGGUUGACUGAUGAGAUAAUUUACGAGGAUCAAACUGAUGGUGCUUUUUUUUUUUAAUGACAAAUGUUAGUAUGUUGAUAGUUAUGUUAGUAUUUUCUCCCUUGCCAAGAUUCGAACCCUGAACCUUUAACUUUUAACUUCUUUAAUCCCUUAGCUCAACCAAGUGAGCAACCCAUCCCCCCCAAUGCUUGGAAGUUAUGGUAUCUUACUAGUUCUUUUAGUACAAACCCGGAUGUUAAUUAAUAGUACAUACCACAGCCUCAGCCCUAUUAAUAAGGAGUUAAUUUUUAUAGAACUUAUAUUUACUUUUAAUUUUUCUAAGUACAUCAAAGAUUGUCCCAUGUUAUUAGGUGGGUUAUACCUUUUGACUUUGAUCAAUACUUUUAUUAUGUUGUAAACUUGUAAUCCAUGUCUUUUACUUUGAUAUAAGAUUUGAUGGACAUGUUUUGUCAGGAGAUUGGAAAAUGACAUUUCUUACCCAUUUACAAUACUGUUGUGGUUAUUUUCAGACUGAUCAUACUCAUGGUGUCGCUAUUGCUCCAUCAUCUCUGAUUGUCCCCCACCCGUACCUUCCACCUGGUCAAGUUACUGCCUUGCAUCCAUUUGUUAUGCAUCAACAAGGAGUGCCCAACUCUGUUGCAUCACAUGUCCCUCAGUCUCAUGUUGGACAUUUUCAUCCAGUGCCCACAAUGUCACCUAUGCAACAGUGGCAAAAUCAACAGGUAUCUAGUGUUACAUAUAUGCCAGAUCUUAUUAUUAUUAUUUUUUUCUUUCUCUUUUUAACUUUUGGAGUUUUAAAAUUUAUACUUGUUUUUUCAGGCUGUUUCAGAGGGUUUGCAGGUAUCCAUGCAGGAUAAUGCCGCCUCAUCCCAAGCUGAUCAAAAUUUGAUCAGAUCAGAUGCAAAGUUUAAUUAUGACAUGUCUGUUAAUGGGCAAACUCUUACUAGAGACUACUUGGAUGCUCAUGUUCACCAAGGCGAGGAGGCACAUACUGUGGUUUCAUCAUCCACCGGGGAAACACAGGUUUGGUGACUAUUGGUUUUGAAGGUUUUUUUCUCCCAAUAUUUGUCUAUUAAAUAUAACAGCUGAUGAAUAAUUGAUUUUUUCUAAGGUUCUUCAGUCGGUUGAUAAAGAUCUACUUAUUGCUUCCCAACAAAGCUUACAACAGAUUUCUUCACAGUUCUCUGAGGCCUUGAGGUUGAACUCUUUUAAACCAAAUGGUGAAAUGAAGGUUUGUUCGGAAUUUUCCGCCCUGUUUGAUGCUUUACUUGUUUUUCUUUGUUUGAUAGACUAAAGUUCAUUUGGGGGGUGGUUUCAAAUGCUACUUUAAAUGGUGGUUAUUUGUGUUUCAUUGUAAAUCGUUAAUUUACAAAGAUGUCAAGAUAUUUUGGUUUUCCUACUAAAUUAAAGCGCACAGUAGCUUUCAAAGAGUCUUCAUGCUUUUGAAGCUUGUUCAGGAAUCACCACAAUAUUUUUGAAAAUAUUAGACUGUUUUGAAGAUGGUAAAAAGGCAUAUUCACCCUUGAUUUUAUUCAAAAUGCUUUCUUUACCUAUUAACAUCAAAGUUUGAACGCACCCUUAUUAUCUUCAAUGACAAAUCAUUUUUUUUUUCCCCCAUUUUAGAAGUGCCUUUUAAGGAAAAAAGCAAUUAGAAUAAUGCUUUUACAGCUGAGAGGGUGGGAGCUAACAAUUUUUUUCUUCCACAUGAGCAGAAUCCAGUGACAUCAUCUAAUGAUGAAGGACCUGCGAGCCAAAUAUUAUUAGCUGAGCAAGCAAGUUCUGCUGUAAAUACAUCAUCUGUUGCAAGUCAUUCUGUUGGUGAAAUGAUUCAGAACAAUUCUGAUAUUGUCUUGCCUGAAGCAUUCGCCUCGACUGUGCAGACAACUUCAACAACCAUUGCAAAGGCUCCAGAUGCUGCUCUUCUUGAUGAAAGGUCAUUGUUAGCAUGCAUUGUGCGCACUAUUCCAGCUGCUGGACGAAUUCGAAUCAGUUCAACGGUUAGUGUUUGUGGUUUAAGUGUGAACCAUCUAACAUUUUAUGAAAGAUACUGUCUUCCCCUGCUUACCUUAGUGUAAUUUAUUUGGUUUGUGUUUUAAAAACAGCUCCCUAACAGACUGGGCAAAAUGCUUGCACCUCUACAUUGGCAUGAUUACAAAAGAAAAUUUGGGAAGCUGGAAGAUUUUGUAACUAGUCACCCUGAAGUAAGUUUAGAAGUUACCGUUUGGACAGAUAGAAUUUAGUGUAGUGAUAUGCAACUGGAUGUAAUUUGCUAAAAUUUUAGACCAAUCAGCCCGUGUUAUCAAAUAAGGCUCUAUAGUGGCGCUAUAUUGCAUAUAGCGGGGUUUGAACAAACCCUUAUUGUUCUGCGAUACACUUUCUACUACAAAAUAUUGUGAAAUAACGACUAUAGUUGCACUAUAGCAAUGUUGUGUAGCAGAGUUUGAACAAACCACUAUUUUUUUUUACGAUUCACAAUUGACAACACUGAAACUAAAUGCUGAUUGUUGGAUGCAAUGAAGUGGUGGGAUCUGGUCAUCCAUCCAAGACAACUGCAUGCCAAGUUGUCUGUCAAUAUUUUUGGUUGGCUAGCAAUUUUCAUUGAGUUGUCUGCUUGUUCAAUUUCACAUUUUUCACCGGCAACAUAUUUGAUUAGAGGUUGAUGGGUUUUUUCCCCUUAUCAUUUCAGUUAUUUUUGAUUGAGGGUGACUUUAUUCAACUCCGUGACGGGGCACACAAAAUGAUUGCUGCAACCGCUGCUGUUGCAAAAGUUGCUGCAGCUGCCGCAGCAUCAUCUCCUUAUUCUUCAUAUAUGCCUACUGUAGCAGUUACUCCAAUGGCUCAAUCUCACCGCUUAAAGAAAUCUCCUUCAACUGACUCCAAUGGGGCGUGCUUCAGUGUUGCUGGAGGUCUUACGAAUGUUAAAAUUUUGAGUAAACCCAAGGAUUCUCCUGAAAAUAGUUAUGUCCAGCCUUCUGCACAAUUAUCUGUUGGAAACGGGGGAAGUCUUGACAGACUAAGUAUGAUCAGUGCUCAAAAUUCAGUCCCAGUAAAUGGAAGGUUAGUUUCAAACUUCAUUUCUAAACAGCAGACCCAGUUUGACAUUGGCUGCUGAAUGAUAAUAUACAUUGGCUGUUGAAAUGAUAAUAUGGAAUCAUACUUAACUUUUUCUUUAAACAGGUCAACUGCCGCUGCGUACCCUUCUCGAAGAUAGUGAGUCUUCUUACUGACACUUAAGAUGCUAUUUAUGUUCGCUUUGAAUUUUCAUUGAUCUAUUUAUGUUUGCUAGUAUAUAGUUUCUUUUGAAAAAACUGCAUUUGAAUGACUCCGUCGUCACUCCCAGAUUUCUAAUUUAAGAAUACAACAAUACAUGCAUGUGUUUCUGGUAUUUCUGUCUGGGAACAAUCGUGCCGUUUUUUAGAUUUAUCUCAUCUUUUUUUUGGUAGUGAAGAUUUAUCUUAUCUGAACAAAUAUAGUAUUAAUACUUUUUACUGAAUACAAAUUUUCGGCAUUUUGAAUAGCUCAAGCAUAUGUAUCAAUUAUGCCAUGCUUCAUAAUUUCAAUUGCUGUUUAUAUUCAGGGAAGGUGGAGGGGCAUAGGUUAACCUGUGUCGCCAGGUCGAGGAUGGAAACAUAUAUAGUCCUGUUUUACCUGUUUGCGGGAGAAUGUUUUCAAGCAAACUAUGAUUUGAGUUGUCGGCGCUAUCCCCAUAUUCUGCAGUAAUUUAUAUCUCCCCUUCGGUUUUAAUUUAGUGUGCUUCCGAAAAUUUGGGUCUGGUGCUUUGAUAUUUAUGCCUGCAUUGCAUCUUUUGACUGAUUUUUUGUGAAUGCUUGAAAGAUUAAUAUCAAUGAAAUUAUCAUUUUCUAAUUGCCAACGCCCCAUUUGUCCGUUCUCUAUUUCUUGGUAAAUUGGUCUGCCUGUAGCAAGAUCGUAGGAGGCAAGGAUGGAUCAAUUCCAAAAAUUUAUUAGAAGAUUUCUUGCUUAAAAUUCUAUUUAUGUUCUGAAAAAUUAAUGAAUUAUUCAUGUGUGUUUUAAUUGCUGCGUACUUGAGCAUAUUAAAUUAACAACCUCUGGAUGUAAUUUUCACCACAUAAAUUGAUUUAACACUAGAGAAAGUGUGAUCACUCACCAUGAAAAUUGGUUCACCGUGCAAAUUUUGUGUUUUAAUCGCUGCGUAUUUGAUUAUUAACAACCGGCGUGUUAAGAUGGGUUACAAUUUCAAUGAGCAUUUUAAGAGAAUGAAGUUAAAAAUUUGUACAAAUUGUAGUGUAAAAAUCUUUAUCCGGGCGUCUUUAUCGUACUUUUAGUGUAAAAAUCUUUACUCGGGCGCUCUCACAUGCCAACAUUUGUAACAUUCAUGAAUCUCUCCAUGUGAAAAUUACAUAGGAACUAUUUCUCUUUUGUAGAUUGGGAUGAGAUUGAGUCUAUCAAGAUUUAAAGCAGUCACUAUAAUUAAAGAAACACCAAUCAAUUAUAUUGUUGAAGUUAGAUUUCUCUCAAUUUCUCAAAAAAACUAAGACGCCAAUUACAAUUACUUGUUUUUUAUUUUUUUAUUUUCUCUUUGCUUCUUUUGAUUUUCUUUACUAUAAUUUUCAGGCGUAUAAAGAAUAUAGAGCCACAUGUUUUCAAAUUUAUGAUAUUAAUUGGACACCUUAUAGACUGAUUCAAAAGUGAGGUAUUUGGCUAUUAAAAUACAAAGGGUAUAUAUUUGCAUUUUUUAAAAUGAAUGCAAAAAGUAUAAUUGAGCAAAAAUAAAGGAGAUAUUUUUUCUACAAAAAAAAAGGAGAUAUUUUAUGAAUGCAUUUGACCCUUAUUCGUGUCUUUUUAACCACCAUUUUUACUGUUUUUCAAUGAUGUAGAGUUUGUGGUGCCAUUUAAUUUGGGAAAGGAAUGUUAUUUUCCACCAUGGAAAAAUUUAGAUUUAGCCAUUAGAUUAAUGAGGUGUAUUGAUCUUAUCAUGGUCCACCCAUACUUUAUUCAUCCUCUAAGAUCUGGAAUUUUACACAGGAAAUCAACUAAUCUUCCAUGUCCCCACCCACCACCACCAUCACCACCACCAAACAAAAGCUUGCUUCCUUCUUCUAUGUUCUCACGCAGUCAUCAUCACCGUGAACAUUACAAACUCAUAAAACACCAUCAUCAACAACUUGUUAACCCAAACAGAAUUAUUCAAAAAACGCGUUUGUUGUUUUCUAUUUCUGGUUUGUGUUGCCAAAUCUAUUUCCAAAGAAUUUGAUUCUGGAUCCUUUUGAUAAUUUGUUCAUCAUUGUUUUGAUAAAUGACUUUAUGAUAUUUUUUUAUUUUAUUUCAGACUUAGAUCUAGCUGUUGAAAGAUUGAUUUGAGGUUGUGUUGUUUCUAGUUUUUGAUUUUGUUUUGUUUUGGGGAAGAAUCGUCACGGCGCUAACGUGAGGAAGAGGAUAGACGGCGGUCGGCAGUGAUGAUGGAGAGAAGGAGAAGAAUGAGCCUGAUGUGUAGUUGAAAUCAGAAGUAGUUAGUUUCGAUUGUUAAACAGAACACAUACAUGGUUUUGGAAAAUAAGAAAUAGUGAAGAGGAUAGAGUAAAAAGUAUCCACAAUUGUGAAGCCAACGUCGGAAGUAUGGAGGUGAGAGAGGAAGAUACGGCGACGGAAACAGUGGUUGUAAGCGGCAACUGCCAUGGAAGAGGCGUCAGAAGAAUAGAAGAAGAAGAUGAUAAUAGAGGAUGAGUGGUUAUUUCUGGUACUGACAGACCAUAAUAAUAUUAUGUUCCUUGCAUAAUCCAAUAAUCCAAAAAAACUUUCCUAUGGUGGAAAAAAAGUCUCCUUUCCCAAAUUAAAUGGCACGAAAGUUUGUUGGUUCAACACCCAAUCCAAGUGCAAGUAACAAUAACAAUGUUCAUAGUAGUAACUUCCUAAUGUUAAAGAGGGUUACAUCAGUUGAGACAUGAUCUAAAUAAAUGGGGGUAAUCCUCACCUCCGACUUCGGUUGAAAGAUGACCUCGAUAAGUGUUUAUAAGUGGAGUCAAUCCUCACAUCACAAUUCGAUUUU
Molecule: long non-coding RNA, 102849 nt
Filed under: Medicago truncatula (barrel medic)
Lineage: Eukaryota; Viridiplantae; Streptophyta; Magnoliopsida; Fabales; Fabaceae
Description: long non-coding RNA (MTRU_LNC001060)
Rfam family: MIR2630 microRNA precursor family (bases 50792-51020)
Source: RNAcentral